Molecule: long non-coding RNA, 172735 nt
Filed under: Citrus maxima (pomelo)
Lineage: Eukaryota; Viridiplantae; Streptophyta; Magnoliopsida; Sapindales; Rutaceae
Description: long non-coding RNA (CMAX_LNC001454)
Rfam family: Plant small nucleolar RNA R71 (bases 50284-50392)
Source: RNAcentral
CCAAGUCACAUCCAUAUAAACAUAGUUUUUCUAGGUAAACCAAGUAAGGAGUAUCAUAAUUCAGACAUAAUCAUAAAAAGGCCCAUCUAACUUAAGAGAAAAUCUCAAAAAGAGGGAUGCUGAGCUAUCAGUCUUGUAUCUAUAAGCAAUAUCAAGACUUUACAUCACCUGCUACAUCGUGAGUGGCUACACAACUUUCAGUGGUUUGUCUUUCUUUGGCAUGCCUAACUCAGCUUUGAUGUUGCUGAGAUAUUGAUAGUAGAGACACAUGAUACUUCUAGCUCAUGCAUUCUAUCUAACUCAUCCAACAACUAUCUCUUUUUUAAUUCAUUAGUGUUUGCUAAACCUCAUGCUUAAAAGUCCUGUUCUCCUAAACAAAGUUUCCUAAGAAUGACUUCCUUAGCACCACAUUUGGACACUUUUAGAGCAAUUUUAUUUGGGGGAAAAGAAUUUUCAAGGUGUUAACUAAUAAAUUUUUAAAAAAUAAUUACAAUUUGUCCUACGAUCAUAUGACAAUUUAUCUGGGAUGAAAGGAUACAGAUAGACAUCUUCCACUUUCAAGACUAAUCACUACUUCCGUAGAUGUUGUGCAAUAAUACAAAUACUUGACCAGAUGGUAGUAAUGGUAGAAAAAAAUUUUAUUGCUCCAAAAUUAAAAUAAGAAUGCAAUAUGUUAAGCAAAAGGCUGUGCAACAUCAAAUUAAUUGAUAAGUUUGUAAUUCAGUAAAUUAACAACUUUCAUGGUAAAAUACAACAAAUUUCUUUUGAAAAAAAUAAAAAAAAUAAAUCUUAAAAGACAGCAUUCAAUUUUGUGCGCAUCUUAUUUCUUAAGAUUUUUCAGGAGGAGGGCAAUAGAGGGACUUUCACCUAUGCAAGAGAGCAGAAGCCUUACUUUCCCUAUAAAGUAGACGUCAUUCUGAUUAAUAUGCGUUUGCAAAUCAGCUCCGUUUGAAUCAGUAUUCUGAUAGACACACGAGGCAUUUACAUCCAUUUCCAAAGUCACAUGUUGCGAGGAGGACUCAUUUGAUUGCUCCUAUACGAUCAUCUAAUUCAAGUAGCAAGGGUUGGAAGAGAAUAAAAAGUCACAAUUAUUCUUUUGCAUAAGUGAGACGAAAAUGAUAAAUGCAAUAUUAUCAGCAGUAAACAAGAAGAGAACGCUCCAAGAAAUAGAUAGAUGCAGACAAGCAAGUUAAAAUGCAUAGUCCCAAACCUCCGCAUACAACUUCUCUAAAGUAGCAAUAACGUGUUGAUGCUAUGUUUUCUCAGCAUCUACCUGCAAAGGCCCGAGACCAGGAAAACAACAAUAAAACCACUAGCUGAAGGAGAAAGCAAAGAAAGAAAUACACUUGACAUAAAUCUUGACAAGAAGCACAAUUUAAGACAUAACAAACCCCAAUCAUAUUGUUUAGAACUACCAUUCGUUAUUUCGUUAUUGUAACAUUUCGAACAAGUGUUGACUUAAUUCAACAUUGUUGGAAAGAUAGGCUUUUAGAAGCAGAAGAAAGCCUCUCAAACCAAAGUGCUUGUCCUUGUAUUGAUCAAGGGAUGUAAACAUAUUACAUUUGCAGGAUGAGAUUUAAUCACUCCCCUGAUUUAUUUGGGUUGCAAUAAAACUAAGCGAGCAACUGUUUGACUUUCAAGCAACAACUAAAUCAGCUAUUAAAAUUCAAAUAAAAUCAUAAUAGAAUAAUAACAGGCCAUCUUGCAUCAAAAAUUAAGUUUAAUUUGUGAAUUUUUUUCUAUAGACAUGUCAGUUUCUGCUAUUGAAAUGUUAAAAGUAUUGAAAAAUUAUUCAAUAAAUUAUGCAAGCAUUAAAAUAGAGGAAAAAUUAAAAAGUUUCUAAUUACAAUGUUAAUAUUUCCUAUAUUUUAGCAUUUGCAUAUUUUAAUUUAUUUAAAAGCUACGUCGAUCAACUUUGGGCAUGAAGAUUUUAGAUUCUACGAGACUUGAUUGGAAUAUGCAUAAGAGUGUUAAAAUAUGAUGCAUCCAACGAAAGACAAACCACGUGUAGUCUUUUAAUUAAGCCAAAGUAGCAGCUCAAACAAAUGACACUUGGACCAACAUGCAAUCAUGAAGUGGCCGGAAAAAGGACAAAUGCUACUUUGGCUUAAAUAAAAAAUAACAUGUGACUUGACUUUUGCUGGACAUGCAUCAUGUUAUUACAAGACAACAGAAAUCAGUAUGAUAGUAAUAAAAGUUGACAAUAACAUGAAGAUAAGAGGCAGAAUGUCAACACAUGCAUAGGCACACACAAGAAAGUAUUAACAUAUAUACCAUAGCAAAAACUCUUUGAUAUGUCAUCUGUUGCUGCUGUGAUUCAACUGACAGCAUGGCAGCUGUCGCUUCUCUACCAAGAGCCAUUAUUGUAGAUUUAAGCUCGGUCAAUCUUGCUUCUGCAUUUCGAAGCUUCACAGCACUCUCUGCUGAUAUAUCAGAUUCCCUAAUCUUUGAUCGGUGCCUAAAUACUUCAGCUGCCUGGUGAAAAUAUUCAAUAUAAAUCUAAUAUAAUUCUCAUCUUGCCUUAUACAUGCAUAUGUUACCUCAAAGCUUACCUGGGCUUCAACUUCAUGUCGAAGUUUGUCAUAACGAUGAGUCAGGUGUUGAGCAUCUUCCAAAGGUGCUCUGUUGAUUAACGCCCGUAGUGGCUCAGAUACCUACAUGUCCAAAAACCUGUAACAUAGUUAGAAAAAUGAAAAGAAAGAGCGAAACCUAAAUUAAAAAGUUCCUCCAACAUAAUCAUGGAAUUUGGGCCUACUUUAAGAAUAUAUAUAAGGAUAAUUUAUGCAAUUUUGGGUCUUAGGAUGAUUGGUAUUAGGUUAGUGUUCUUCUCUUCUGUAUUUAAGGUUAAAAUAGAAAUAAACCUAUGCAAAUAUCUAAAUUAGGCCUGUAAGACAUCCACAUGCAUCCUUCAGUCUCAUGGAUUUGAUUUUACUAUAGAUGCAAGUGUCUUUAUCGAAAAUGCUUGGAGUCAAUUGAGAGAACUCAUGGCCAAUAACUUGUCACACGCUAGUCUUUGCUAGUGAUGUAAGAAGUCACAAGGUCUCUUCAACAUUUGAACCAAUAAAAUUAUUAAGUCAUGGAUGUCACUAGCAAUGAUUUUAAUAUAAAACAUUAAAUAUUUCAGAGUUGUAACUUUAAAAUGGAUUCUUUUAUUCAAUAUCAUAGAACUAAGUUUCCUUAUGAGAAGAUAAUAGUUUCGAUAAUAAUUUUACAUAUAAUUUUCUAUAUUUGAAUUAUUUUCUAGUUAGGGAUGAACUAACCUGAUCACGAAGAAUCCCGAGCAAAGUUUCCCUCUCAUUUUCCAUCAAAUCAUGUGAAGUGCCAAAUUGAAGAGCAGCUCUUGCAACGCAAGAAUUGUCACUUUGAUUCUCUGCUCCAUACUUGCAACAAUCUUCAGCCAACUUUCUCGCUACACUAUUUGAAUACAAAAAUAUUGUACACAAGAACUAUAAAAAACGAAUGAAAAAUAAAUAAAAUCGAGAAAUUUCACUAAUUAAAAGUCUAAAUAUAAUUUUUGAAAAAAGAAAAGAAACGGACUUGCUGCUGCUUGGCGACUUGUUCUCGGAGCUUGAUUGCCUGUUUCUUGAUAGUUUCCAUACUGUUUCUUUCAAAAAGCGACGACGGCUCAGCUCAUGGAAGUGGAAAAAAAAAAGUGUGAUCUAGAAAAAUGAAAAGGCGUGAAUAAUUUUUGACAAAAAGCGAAAAUCAAGGAAAGCCGGCUCUUUCCAGAAAAUAAAAAAAAGAAAAUCAUAAGUUUGAAAGGAGAAGAUGAUAGUGGAAGUAUGCGGUGUGGCUGCCAGGUACUUGGAUUGUAUUGUCGGGUAAGGUAAUAGUAGCGAAUUAUAAGUUUGAACAGAGCAUGUUGGACUUUUGUUGACCAAAUUCAAAAGCCCAAUGGCACGGCCCGGAAGCUUUUGAAUAGAAAAACUUGCUAGAAAGCAUCAGUUUAAAUCACUACUUAAACGCUUGCUUUAACUGCACCGCUUUGUACUGUUUUAUGUAUGUAGCGGUUGUGUGGUUGUAAUUCACGGCUGACGCUAUGUGUUUGUUUGUACUGUUCUAUUCGGUGAUUGGGUAUUAUUAGUUAGGCCAAAACUAUGUUGCAAUAGUGGUAUUUCAGUCAUUGAAUCUAUAGUUGUACAGUUACAUUAAUAAGAUCUAAUGGCUGAAAGCAACAGUGGUACCGUACCACUGUUGCAAUAUAACUGGACCCUAUUAGUUAUUUCAAAGGGAUAAAUAAGAUUGCUUACAACAAACCUACUAAUUUUAUAAAAUUCAAGUAAUAUAGAAUAAAUUAAAAAAAUAAAUACAAAAUUGACUUUUAUUUUUUAUGGUUGACUAUAUUUUGUGUUCUCUCUGCUACAAUUCUUCCCUAUAUAUCAAUUACACCACAUACUAUCGACACAAGAAAUGAAAUCUAAUAUCACCCGUUUAGUUAAAAAAUCACUCAUGAAAAAAUUUUACCAUUUUGAUUUGAGGAUCCAUAUUUUAAACUGCAAGCUAAUGUUCAUCAAGAAUUACUGAUGGCCGUUGAGUAGAAAAAUUAUUUUUGGACAAAUUAUUUUUGUUGAUAGAAGAAUUUCUUUAGGGACUACUAAAUUAUUAAUAAAAAUGUCGAACACACCCACAUAUCAUCGACACAAUUGAUUUUGAGGAUCCAUGCUUUGAACUGCAGCCUAAUGUUCAUCAAGAAUAGAGUAUGGCUUGUGAGUAGAAAAUUUUCUUAUUUUGGCCCGAAAUAAAAAGAAAUUAAAUUGGAUGAGAAUCUGCCACUUUCUCAUGAAGAAAGGCAUACGGAGCAUACCAUGGUACCAUACAAUAUAAGGAGCCUCUAUUCUUUGGUUUUUCAAACUCUGAACGGGCCAAUAUUGCCAAAUUCCCCCUUGAAAAUUCUGAUUACGACAUUAUUCAUCGCUUGAUGCAAUCAAAGUAGUGACAAAGUUAGGAAAAAUAUGAGUCCUAAGUAAUUGCUAGGCAGGGUUCCUGAGAGCAAAAUUGUCCUAAGCAUUAUAUGCAUACAUGGUGCGGUACAUAGAGCACGUUAAAUUCCCCACUAUAUCACAAACCCAGAAAGACAAGUAAUAACUCAACUGAUAUAAAGACAAAAAGAAGAUAAAAUGAUAUAGAAAAAAGAAUUUCAAAGAGACAGCAACAUACGAUAGACUGAAGCCACUUGAUCUGCUCAUUGAUUGCAGCCUUAAACUUGCAAAUAGUUACUGUACGCUAGUGCUCUAAGAAGUGAAAAUGAUGCCAGCCCUGAUUCCCUUUUGACUUCCAUUUACUGUCAAACAUUCUAGUAAUACAAAAAAUUGUUUAGAUAUCUUGCUAUAAAUAUAGCCGUUUGACUGUCAUAAUAAAGUCACAAAUAACCAUUCAUAUUGAUCUACUGUCACACAGCAUGCUUUAUGCAUACAACAGCUGUAUGUAUACCAACUCCUAACCUUAUCAAUACAUUUGGCAAAAACUUAAGAAGAAAGCUAUUUCUCCAUCUCUUUUUUGAAAUUUCACAAUAACCAGCACAAUGUGAAAGCUAUGUUCUAACCUUAUGAUAAAUGCUCUAGACUCCAAAAGGAUUUUAUAUAUGAGAGUUUGUUGCAGCAGAUAUAUUGACUUAUCAAGUAUGAAUCAUUGUCUGGAUGAACUAUCUUUAGAUAAAAGAAUAUUAGAACCACUGUAGAAUAUCUUUACGCUGCUGGUUCUAACAGGAAUCUGCAUGUGGCAACAAUUGCUAGAUCCACAAUUCCCCAACUUGAAAUACAUAGUUGCACACCAUGAGAUAGUGCUACAAUCUACUGAGAUCUAACUUAUAUGGUACUUUAAGCUACUAAUGUUUGCAUAUUUCUACAUGUUAAAUUAACACUAUUAUCUAUAAUCACUCCAAAACAACAAAUGAUAAGCAGCUUUUGGCCACUUAGUACUAGCAUCCACAAUUAUAAAUAAGAGAUCAUGGGUUUACUUGUUGCACCUACUUAAUUAUCUGCAGUUGACAUCCUGACGCAAGGUUUAAAUAGUGACUGCUUAGAACCCUUGUAGUUGGAUCUUGACCUCUCCCAUUGUAGCCAAGAUUGGUUACUCUGGUAAUGAAUCAACACUCUCCUGCUCAGGGCCAUGAAGAUCUGAAAGCUCAGCACUAGUGGAGAACUUCAUCAAUCUCUUCUUCUCAGCAUACUUGAGACAAGGCUGCCUUACGAGACCAAUCACCACAGCACCAACGCUUAAAACUGCAACUUUUAAAGAAGAAAGAGCCAACACAACACAACACAAAUCAAUAUGGUUGGAGGAAUACACAUGAUAAUGGCUCCAACAGUGACAGUGGGUAUCUUGUAGGGACGAGAUGCAGCAGGAUAUUGCAUCCUUAACCAUACAAAUGCUAUGAACUCCAUAAUCAUUCCAAAACAGUACAGGAAGUUCUCUGCAGCUACAAUAUCUCAAAAGCUCAGCCAUGAUAGCAAAACCACACCAGAUGCUGAGAAUAUGAUUCCAAUCAAAGGAGUCCCAUAACAAGACCUCUUAGCAAAAAACUCAGGUAGCAUUCCACGCUCAGCCAUCCCCAAAAGUUGGAAAGAGUCGCUGCUCAUCUCAGCCACAAACAUGCCCAUAUUGGACAUUGCUGCAGCCCCCUGGAUGCACCAUCUCAACCAAACUCCUCCAAGCACUUUAGCGAUAUCUGAAAAGUAACCAUUGGUCCACAAGUCGCGAUCUAAUGGAAUAGCUCCAGUUCCAAGUAGAAGGGGAAAGAAAUAUCCAAAAACGACCAAGAUCAAAGCAUAAAACAAAGCCUUUGGAAGAGUCUUCUUUGGGUUAUCCACCUCUCCAGCUAGUGUACUUAUUGAGUCCCAGUAGUUGGAGAUUCCAAAACAGGGUGUUCAAAUACAAAUUCCAGUCCACUUCACCUAAAUUUACUACAAGCCAUCUUGAAGGCUCUAACUUGGGAAGGGACACAAGUCCCAUAACCACAAAAGGAAGGAAUGAGAAAAUCCCUAAAAGAACAGCAGCCCAUCCCACAAUGGUUAGACCCCUAUAGUUCAUGAAAGUGAGAACAAAAGUCAAAGCUAACGCCGCAAAGGCUCUAGGUAACCCAUCGCCCAAAGCAGGGAUACCAGACUUCAAGUAGUCAAGAAACAGAACUGGGUAUAAAGCAUUAUCAAUAACCCCACUUAGCCACUUCAUCCAAACUUGCUGAAAACCCCAAUAUGGGCCUAAGGCAGAUGAAACCCAAACCAUAUAACCACAAUUUUCAGGAAACACGGUACCCAUCUCGGCAGUAAUUAAAGCUUCAGGGACACUCCAUAUAAUCGGAAACACCAAGAAACCAAGAAGUGCUAAAAGAGGACCAGCUGCCUUUACACUAUCCUCAACACCAAACGGCCCCCCAGAAACCUCAUAGAAUAUAAGGAAAAUAAGUGGCAAGAUUGAUACUUUUUAGCGCCAUGGACUCUAGGAGAAGAUGGUUGGUCAUUGAUAUUAACAUAUUCAACAGCAUCAGACUGCCCCAUUUCUACUGAAAGUUGCCUAUUCACAGUGUUCCUCAAUUUCUGCAUCAAGUUUAAGCAUAACUAUCAAAAGGGUAUCGGCAUCUAAAUUAUGAAACAAAAUGAGCAUUUACUUAUUAAAAAAAAUCAAAAAAACAGAAAUGGAUUUCACAGAAUACAUGAAUUUAAGUUCAACAUUAAACAGGCGCUUAAGAAAACAAAAGGGUCUGUUCGUAAAGCCAUCAGAUUGCAAGAUUGAACAACAUUAACGGAAUCAAUAGAAUAGAUGUAAAGAGAUCUGAAAAGAAAAUAAAAUAAAAGAUGAAGAGAGAUAAAACGAACCAUCAAAUAAGUGCAUGCAGAGCAGAGAGGCAGAUACUAGAGAAGCUCCGUCGUGUUAGAGUAGGGGUGGCAAUAUGGGUCAGGAUUCGUUUAUUCGAUUCGAUUCGAUACGAAUUAAAUGGGUUUGGGUUUGAAAAAAUUAAUUCGUUUAAUAAAUGGAUGAAUUCGAUUCGAUUCGUUAAUUAAACGAAUCGAAUGCGGGUUUGAAAAUUUAGAUUCGUUUAUUCGUUUAAAAUUCGUUUAAUAAAUGGGUCAUAAACGAAUAGAAUACGGGUCGAUUCGUUUAAAAUUCGUUUAUUAUUUGUUUAAUUAAAUUACUUUUUUAUCCUUAAAUUUAUUUGAAAGCUUUUUAAAAUUUGAAGGUUAAUAUUGUAAUUUUAAGUAAAUAACAAAAAAAAAAAAAACAAAGUAGCGGAAACCUAAAGCUAAAUCCCUAAAAAUUCUCCCUUCACUCAGCCGCCGCUCUCGUUGCUCUCUAGUCUCUACCUCUCUCACACGAAUCACACUCACCCACCCAUACCAAGUGAAGCAAUCAAGCAACAAAAACAGCCGCCGGUAGCCACUGUCAUUAACUCACAGCGAACCGACGAUUACAACCACCAUCGUUCAUCCAUCAUCGAUUGAGCUUGAGGGACGCAGCCACGCGAGUGCAGCCCGCAACUCGGCAGCAACCCAGGAGCAUCAGCCGCGCAACGUAUUAGCAGCCACUCGAACCCACAGCAGUAGCUAACUCGUGCGGCGGUGCAGCAGCAGCAAACCCAGGCGAGCGCGACCCGAACCAGUGCCCAGGUUCUGAGUGAGUUCCUCGUUUAGGAAGAUCGCUUUUAAUCUUUUUGUAGUUACUUUGAUUUUAAGUAACAUAGACGAUGAACCCAACAGAGAAGCUGCAACGAGCUAUCCAUUUUUGAAGCGGCUUCUGUGGCUCUGCGUAAAGAGCUAAUUAACCAGCUGCAUCUUGGACCAAGAGAUAUAAAUGAAUAUAUUUUUCUUUUGCGCAGUACGAAGCAGUAAUUAAGUUGUUCUCUAGGAAAUCAAUCCAUAAUCAAGGUUUUAAUGCUAUUAAUGAUAUACAGUAUGUUCUUCUUUAGAUUUUAUAAGUGUAUAACACCUCCUUUGACAUAAUAUAUAUUGAUGUAGACCUCUCGGAGUCAGAUGGAUGAUUUGCCCAGGCCGGCUGCUUUCUGCAAGACAAUGCCAAAAAAAAAAAAAACCUUUUGCUCGCAGUUUAUGUGUUUUAUCCACAUUUGACAGGGCAUUUUGUAAUUUAUUUGAGCAUUAAUUAUGCCAAGUUUCAGUUCUGUUCUCAUUUUUCUUGGACUCGUAACAGCAAUCAGCAUCAGGAAGAUGCAAGGUAGGUUUAAGUGCUUAUUUAAUUAAUUCCCAAGCGAUCCGAAUCAACAAGCCAUCACCAACUCAGGGUAAUAUCAUGAGAUUAUGGUUGAAUUAUUGAGAAAUUUUGUAUUGUAGAAUAUUAUGAGAUUAUGGUUUAGAAAAUGUUUUGUAUUGUUCGGAAAAUAUUAUGAAAUUAUGUAUAAAUUGAUUAUGGUGUUAAAAAUUAUCUGUAGGAUAAGGAAGAAGCCCCCACAAAUAUUGGAUUAAUUUUUUUUUAGUAUUAAAAUUUAUAAUUUAUUAUGUUGUAUUGUUAAUAUUUUGUGUAUUGGAAUAUUGUGCAUUAGGAAUAUUGCUGGGUUAGAAUUUGGCAUACAUGAUGAAUAGAUUUGAUUUUUGAAAUAUUGUUAGGUAAAGUUUUUAUCUUGUUCAAUUAUCAUUUCCUUGAAAAUGCUACAAAUUUGCUAUAUAUUUGAUUUUUGAAAUUUUACAAUGACUAUUAUCAAUAUUGCAGCAUGUUAAUAACAUUUUAUUUACUUUUUGGUGUAGGAUUUUUGUUUUCAAGGUGACAAAGACAAAUGAAGAGAAUUAAAGAAAUUACAUUUCUUUAUAAUUUGAAUUUGAAUUAUUGUUAUUUGUAAUAUUAAGGAUUUGGUAUUUGGUAUUUGGAUGACUGUAUAAUAUAAUUUGAAUUAUUUGUAUUUUGUUGUGGGAUAUUAAAUUUGUUUUUUUUGCUUAAUUUUGUUUAUUAAUUAUAUUUUCUAAACGAAUUGAAAACGAAUCCUAAUUCGAUUCGAUUCGUUAUGGAUUCGUAAAUGAUAAACGAAUAAUAAACGAAUCCGGAUUCGAUUCGAUUCGUUUAUCAAUUCUAUUAAACGAAUUAAACGAAUCGAACCGAAUAUUCGUUUAAUAAACGAAUCGAAUCCGAAUCCUGAAAUUUCAAUUCCUUUAAUAAACGAAUCGAAUUCGAAUUCGAUUCGUUUAUUCGUUUUGCCACCCCUAUGUUAGAGAGAGCCUAAUUCAAUCAGAGCUCACUGAGUUUCUUUUCAACCGACCGGCAAAUUUGGAGUGCCACAACAUAAUAUUUUUACUUUUAAUUUUUGGAACACUUUUGAAUAGAAUUUUUUGUUUUUAAAAAAGGUAAGGGAGAUUAGUAUUUAUUUAACUUUAUAUUUUUUUAAAUACUUUACAAAUAUUUUUGUCGUUAAAAUAUUAAUAUUUUUAUUAAUAAUUUUUAUAUUUUUAAUUUAUUUUUAUAAUAUUAUUUUUUUAUAAUAAUUUUUUAUUUUAAUAUUAAUAAAAAAUAAUUAAAUUAACAAGUUAAUCCUAAAAUAAAUAAACACGUGUUUGGUUUUGGGCUUUUUCUUUUGUUCGUUUAAUAUCAUCUGGCUCCCUGAUUUGUGACUAAUUAUCAACGGAAUCCCGUUGGUUUCUAAAUUGAAAUAAUAGAAGGUCAUGAGACUAUUUACUCCAUUUAGCACUGCAGACUUAGGUGGCGUUUGUUUUUUAACUUAAUGACUUAAAGUGACUUAACUUAAUUAAUUAAGUUAAUUAGAGGUGUUUAUUUUUAUAACUUAAUAAGACCUUUUAGAUAAUUUUGACUUAAUAAAAUAAGCCAAUUUUUUUGGCUUUUUACUUAAUGGAGAAAUCUGAAUUAAGUCAAUUACUUGCUAAUGUCAAAAAUAUCCUUGCUUUAUAAUUUAUUUUUUAUGUCUAUCCCAAAACUCACCCAUAGACAUUUACCCCACACAAAAAUAUCCUUAUUUUUUCUUUCUUAUAUUAUAUACGAUAAAAUUUAAAAUUUAUGAUAUUUUAUAUAUUAAAAUUCCAAAAUAAUUAUGUAUUCACUUGAAUAUAGUUUUACUUAUAAAUGUUAAAAUAUUGUGGUAUUUAAUUUAUUAUUUAUUUGACAUUCAAAUUUAAUAAGGAUACAAAUGUAAAAGUACAUAUUUUCAGCUUUUUAAGUUGAAAAAAACAAACAACUUAAUACUUGUUUUCCGAGAUUCAGACAAAAAAAUAAACAUAUUAUUCAGAUUCAGACAUUCAGAUCUAUUCAGAAUUCAGAUUAAUUCAGGUCUAUUCAGAUUUCAGACAAAAAACAAACGCCACCUUAGAGUAUAUUGAAAAAGCUUUGUCAAAUAGUAGUAAUAGGGGCAUAAGAAAUAAAUUAUAGCUAUCACAAAUUCGUUAGAAGAAUUUCAAUUUUUUCCAUCAAUAAUGGCUAUGAAGCAAAAUUACCUUAGGUUAUAUUGCAAUACUAAUACUUCAAAUCCUGAUAAUAAAUUUGAUGACAGUCGUUUUUAUCAUGGUUUUAACAGAUAUAAGAAGAGAAAAUUAACUGUUCAAACAAAUUAGAAGCAAAUUCUUUCAUAUCUUUCUUUUAUUUUUCCGCUUACUUUCUUAGCAUCCAAACAAGUUAAAGUUAAAACGCUGUUAGAGCCAACAAUAUGCAGGCAUCAAUAAGCAUAGUAGUUUUGUAUAUGUAUUCUAUACGAUAUUCUAGGGAUGUCAAUUGUAGAACAUUUUGUGGUAACUUUUUUACAUUAAUUAAUGUUUGAAGAACUUGUUAAAAAGAAAAUGGUAAUUUUAUCAUUUUGAAAGACAAAAAAAAAAAAAAAGAGUGAAAGUGGCGUUACCUCAUGGUCAUUAGAGACUUGUUGCAAUGAUAGCUCAAAAUUAAAAAUUUGUGAAGAAUUAGUAGACAACGACGAUACUAUAUUUAUACAGUCACCAACGUGUUGAUUUUUGUUUAAUGUUUGAUCGAUAGAAACUUUCGUCGUCGUCGCCGUUGUUGAAUUCGUGCUUAGAAUAUCACAAGAGAAGAAAAAAGGAUGAAAGGGAAGAGAAGAAGAGAGAAGUGGUGGAUAGCAAAUAUGAUAUGCUAGCUACACACAGGCCUUAGAGAGUUUUUUUUUAAUAUUUAUUGUAUUUUUGUUUUUGUUAUUGGUUUUUCAUAUGCUUCCAAGGCAGCAAUGCGUUACAUCAUAAAUUGGACCUUUUAGGGGAGGUGGUAAAAAACAUGAGAGCAAUGCAUUCUAGCGCAUACAUGCAGAAAGAGUUUCCAAAUUUUCAAAAGUUUUUUUAUUUCUUCCACCUUUUUUUGCUUAAAAUAAAUUUUAAUUGUAUUUUGCAUUAACUUAGAGAAAAAAAAAAUCCAGUUCUAUACAUAAACGCAUACAUUGAUUAGAAAAUGAGUUUUAUGGACACAAAGGGACAAUAUAAGAGAUUCUUUUUGUUUAUUAGAAGUAACAUAACUAGUUAGUGUAACAUGUAAUUAUAAGCUACCAAUAAUUUGCACUGAUGAUAAUUAACGGUAUAGAUUUUGAGCUAUGAAUGUCUUGUGGCUAGUUUAAUUGGAUUUUCGAGUUUUCAGCAGAUCUAUUUUAAUGAUUAUUAAAUUAUUUUCACUUCUUAUGCCUUAAUAAAAAAAAUCAAUAUUUUUUGUUGUAUUCUAUAUUUUAAAACUUAAUUUUUAGUUCUUUAUAUUGCAAACCAAACUGAGUCAAAUCGAGUAUGCUCUUCAAAUAAUUUUUCCAUUGCCUUCAAGAAGAAUUCAUUUUAUUUUUAUAUAUUAAUUUAACACUUGUAAACCGGGCCGUCAGAUUGCACAUAAAGCAAAUGAUCAAACCGUUACAAGACCGGCCCAGGCCCACCGACUCUAUUUUCUUUCAUUUGACCAUUAAAAAGCUUUUGGCCACCCCCACCAAAUAAAUAAGCUCUUGUUCUCUUUUGUUCCCUCUCAAAGGAAAAUAUCUGAUCACCGAAUAAUGAUUCCGGUGACAUAAAAGAUCGAAACACCCCCCUAAAUUCCCUAAAUUUACGAUAAUACCCCACCAUGGAUGAUUAUGUUGAAAUGCCGCCUUACGAUGAAAGGCCUAAAAAGGGUUUUAACUUCACCUCCAUGCGCUUGAUCUUAACCCUCGUUUUCCCAAUUUUAACUUGCUUUUUGUUGGCAUUUUUUAUUGGAAUCGUAGCUGUUUUAUUCGGCAAAUCAUCAGUUUCCAGUUCCAUUUUUGUCCCUUCCCAGUGCAAGAUAGUGUCCAGCAGUAAGCUUUUUUUAACAUUUUCAAUUUUUUCCAUUUAUGAAGUCCAAAAAUUUUAUUAAUUUUGAUUUUUUUGAAUGAUUUUGCAGGUGUUGAUAUAAGUUCAUCAAAAGUUUGUGAACUUGGGGUGUUGAAUUAUAAGGCGAAGCGUGUGUUUUAUCCAUUUGAAGCAAGUAAAUUUCGAUGUCGGUAUGAUUACUAUUGGGCUUCUAUCUUCAAGGUAUUCAUACAUUUUUCCCUGUACUAUAAGCUUCUCAGUGGCGUUCUUGUGAGCGGUAGUGAGCGGUGUGGCUGACAGCUUCUUGAAAAUUAUAAGUUUGAACAGAGCAUGUUAGAGCACCACCAAAAGCCUCUUUAAAUAAGAUUUUAUUAUUUAUUUAAAGAGUCACAUCAAUAUUGAAAGCUCCAAAAGACACUUCAAUUAAAAUUCUUCAAAUAAGAAUUGAUUCUCUCUCUUCAAAUUUGGAGAGUUAAUUUCUCCCUCUUCAAUUUAUAUUUUAUUACUUUUCAUUGAAGAAAUAGAGAAGUGCUUUAAUUGCUAUUGACUUUUCCUUUAAAAAACUAAUUAUAUGAUUAAAAUAAUAUUAACUUAUUUAUAUUUGAAGAGUCUUUUGGAGAAUAUCAUAUUUUUUUCACCCUUCUAUUUGCCACAUAAGUAAACAAAUAGAUAUUUAAAAAGUAAAAUUUAUAGAAGCUUUUGGAGAUGCUCUUAGACUUUUGUUGACCAAAUUCGAAAGCCAAAUGGCACAGCUCAGAAGCUUUUGAACUGAAUAACUUACUAGGAAGCUCCAAUUUUUUGUUGGCUACAGUAAAAGGAUGUUGUUUUAUUCUUCUUAUACUUUACGCUUGCAUCAGCUUAAAUCACUUCUUAAACGCUUUGCUUUAACUCCACUGCUUCGCUGGGGGGAUUUACCUUGGAACAAGUGGGGACUUAAGUCCCCACUGAAAAAAAAAAUUGUUUUAAUAAUUAAUUUGAUUUGCCAAAACUUCUCAAUAAAUUUUUCUUAAGCCCCCCAUAAUUUCUUUCAACAAGCAAUUGAUCUAAAUGAGUUAAUUUCUGUCAGUUGUAUCCAAAUGAGUUCUCUGCAAUUGAUAUCAUGGCACUUGAAAUUCAACUUGAUACAUAUAUUUUGGAUAUGCGCACUAGUGCGAGACUAAAAGACAUAAGGUAUAUCCAUUGGUUUACUUGUUAAUAAUAUUAGCAUUGACUUUACCCGUUGCCACUGCUAGUGUAGAGAGAGUAUUUUCAGCCAUGAACAUUUUGAAGAAUUGGUUAUAAAGCCGUGAGUAAUGGAUGAAUGAUAGUUUAAUUAUUUACAUAGAAAAAUACUUAUUUAAUAAUAUUGAUAAUGAACUUGUAAUGCAACAUUUUUAAUGUAUGAAAACUUGAAAGGACAAUUGUAAACAUAUAUUGAAGUAUGAUAAAUCUUUCAAAUUUAUAUAUUUAUUACUUUUAAAAUUUUUUUAUAUUGCCGUUGAAUGAGCCCCCAGUCAAUCAAUAUGUUGUCUUCGCCCUGCUUCGUACUCUUCUAUAUAUGUAUCGGGUAUGCAGUUGUAGUUAACGGCUGAGACUACGUGUUUGUUUGACGUGGUAGUAACGUUACGAGUCUGUUAAACAUUCGAUGAUUAAAGUAUUAUCAGUUAUUUCAAAGGGACAAAUAAGAUUAGCUACAACACACCCACUAGUUUUAUAAAAUUCGAAUGAGAUGGAAUAAAAUAAAAAAAUAAAUAAGUAAAUUGACUUUUAAUUUUAGUGGUUGAAUAUAUUUUGUAUUCUCUUAGGGCACUGCUGUAAUUAUUCCUUAAACGUCAGUCAUACCCACAUAUAAUAGACACAAGAAAUGAAAUCUAAAAUCACCUGUUUAGUUAAAGAAUCAUCAUGAAAAAAUUUUGCCAUUUUGAUUUGAAGAUCCACAUUUUGAACAACCAACUUAUGUUCAUCAAGAAUGGAUCAUGGCCUGUGAGUAGAAAAAUUAUUUUUGGACAAAUUAUUUUUUUUAAUAGAAGAAUUUUUCAAGGGACUAAUAAAAUUACUAAUAAAAAUGUCAGACACACCCACGUACCAUCGACACAAUUGACUAUGAGGAUCCAUGUUUUGAACUGCCACCUAAUGUUCAUCAAGAAUAGAAUAUGGCUCGUGAAAAGAAAAUUUUCUGAUUUUGGCCUGGAAUAAAAAGAAAUUAAAUUGAAGGAGAAUCUGCUACUUUCUCAUUAAGAAAGGCAGACAUGGUAUACCAUGGUACCAUACAAUAUAAAAAGUCUCCAUUCUCUGGCUUUUCAAACUCUGAAGGGGGCAAUAUUCCCCAAUUCUCCCGUGAAAAUUCUGAUUACGACAAUGUUCAUCGGUUGAUACAUAAGUACAAGUAGUGACAAAAUUAGGAAAAAUAUGACUCAUAAGUAAUUACUAGGCAGGGCUCUUGAGAGCAACAUUGUACUAGGCUUUAUAUGCAAACAUGGUGUGGUACAUAGAGCCCGUUGAAUUCCACACUAUAACACAAACCCAGAAAGACAAGUAAUAGCUCAACUGAUAUAAAGACAAAAAGAAGAUAAAAUGAUACAGAACAAAGAAUUUCUAAGAGACAGCAACAUACAAUAGACUGAAGCCAGUUGAUCUGCUCAUUGAUUGCAGCCUUAAACUUGCAAAUGUUUACUAUAGCCUGGUGCUCUAAGAAGUGAAAAUGAUGCAAACCUUGAUUCCCUGUUUACUUCCAUUUACCAUCAAACAUUCUAUUCAUAAGAAAAAAAAUGUUUAGAUAUCUUGCCGUAAAUAUAGCCAUUUGAUUGUCUUAAUAAAGCCACACACAACCAUUCAUAUUGAUCCACAUUGCCACAUAGCCUGAUUUAAGCAUACAACAGCUGAAUGUAUACUGACUCCUAACCUUAUCAAUACAUUGGCGACAACUUAAGACGAAAACUAUUUUUCCAUCUCUUUUUUGAAAUUUCACAAUAAAACAGCACAAUGUAAGAGCUGCAAUGAAAAUGGACCGUCUGGAACUAUGGCGGAAGCUUCAACUAGUGUAGUGAUUUGACCUUCUUAUUAACCUAGCGAGAUCAAACACUGCCGUUGAUCUUGAACAGAUCAAUACGAUACGCACAACUUAUGAUUGAAUCCAGAAACAAUCAAAUCUUUAGCAAGAAUAAUUAAUCAGAAUCAAGAAACAAGUUUAAUGAAUAUAAACCUAUAAUUGGAACAAACACAGCCAAAGAACCCAAGAAUGACACAACGUACACCAAGGGAGAAGCUUUCCAGUGAGAUUAUAUUGAUGAUCAAAGAAGAAUCUUUUUACAAAGCUAACAAAAGUGAUUUCAGAGAAUAAGCUAUGACCCUCUCUCUCUUCAAUCUCUGUCUAGUUUGUUAACAGUGAUGACCCCAAUCUGCUUUGUUAGCCAGCUUCAUAACUGCGUCAGUGACAAACUAGCAAACCCAGAUUGAGCAGACUAACGACACGUGCAUAACAGCUUUAACGAACUUGGUUAAAGAACUGCUCACAUGUUCGUCACGCGUGUAGCUUAAAUGAUAGCCAAAACGACUUCAACCAGAUGCCGUUUUGAAGCUUAUGAAUUAUAAGUGAAAACACGUGCUUGUCUCGUGACAUUUAAAUGCAACAACAAGCCCAAAACACUGCCGUUCCACUAUGUUGAGUUUGCCAUCUCCAAGCUUCACAACUAGCAACGGACAAGAUGAUAAUUUAAUUGACAUGGAGAGCUUUUAUAUCACUUUUACAACAUUCUAUAUAAUUGUGAUAUUGGUAAUCGUCGGUGUUGUAUAUGUGAACCCUCGUUGGCGACACUGGUGGUUUUAUCUUUAUUGAAAUAUGGAUGACUUUUCGUUACUAUUUUGUUGUACAUAACCUUAUUCACAGGAGAUUUAAUCAUUGAAAUUAACAUGUUAGUUUCAUUAGAAGGCUGAGUGGUUAGGGCUGCUACCCUCCAACUUGGAGGGCAAUAGUUUGAACCCACAAGCGCAAUGUGGGGGUAUUUCAUUCUUUAAUUACAUUGUAUAAUUGAAUAAAGAUAAUAUUCUCUCUUACCUAAGUGUGAGUGGAGUAGACAUCCUUCGAAUAUUAGUGAGGGUCAAAACUUGGGCAGAGCUCAAUAAGUAUUGAUAUAAGUUGGUCCUAAUAAUAGUCUGAUUUGUAAAUAUCAGUUAUAGUCUCAUGUUUCCUUCCUUAGUUAUAUUGUAUAAUUAAGUAAAUGUACUCUUUUCUCUUACCCAAGUGUGAGUGGAGUAAACAUCUCUCGAAUAUUAGUGAGAGUUAAAAUCUGGGCAGAGCUCCAUAAGUAUUGAUGUAAUUUGAUCCCAAUAAUAGUAUGAUUUGUAAAUACCAGUUAUAGUAUCAUGUAAUAUGAGUUGUAAUUUGAGUAAUAAUUUCAUGUAAUUACAAAAAAAAUGUUACUUUCAUUACUUUUUUCUUCGUUAAAAUUCUCAAGUAUCAAUUAUGUUUGCUUAAGAAAUAAAAUUUCAUUAUGAAAAUUGUAGCAGUAUUUCCGAGCACCUCACAUUUUCAAUGAUUUUUCAUAAAUCAAUUAAUCUGCCAUACCAAUAUCAGGUUUAGUUUUUCAGACUAAAUGAUCAAGAAAGCAAACAUACAAAUUCACAUUUUAGAGGGGUAAACUAGCUUUUAGAUUUUAGAACUAGGCUAGCUACCUCACCAAAUUCCAAUCUGUACAGUGAACUACAAGAUUAAGAAAAUAAUGUAUUUAUAGUUUAAUUGAAUCAUGAGAAAACAAUGUAGUCAUAGCUCAAUCGGACAUGAUCACGGAGAGGCAUAUUCUUUUCAAGUUAAUUUGAUCCAUUUAUAAGAAAUGAAGUGGAUUGAAGUUAAAAGUUCAAAUAACAAAUCCUUAUUCUUGAGUUUUACGACGUCGUUACUCCUUCAAGAGGCUGAUUAUGCAAGUGAAUGCGGAAACAGAAUGCAUUAUCCAAUUUCACUCAUAUAGAAAAUUAAUUUUUUAUAUAUACUAAUCAACACUAGAUUGAUUAUGUUUUGUAUGUUUAUAUGCUAAUCAACAAUAAAUUAUAUUAAAUGAAGAAAUGCUUCAAAAUUUUCUAAUUUAAUUUAGAAAAUCAAUUAUUAACAUUAAUAUUCCUAAUAAAAAUUAUUUUCCAUCGGUAUUCAAAAUUUUCACUUAUAGAAAAUGCGUUUUACGUGAAUACAAGUUAUUGUGUAAAUUUGAAUGAUAGCGAAAAAUAUUUUUUUUAAUAAUUGUAAAAAUAAUUAACCAUAACAAAUCCCUUGCGUAAAUAAUAAUCGUUAUUUAAAAGGUAGAAAGAUGGUUAGUGCACAAUCAAAUUUUAAGCCCCUACCUCCUCAGCCCAAGAUUCAAACUUAGAUGAUCAGCCAAAUAAAAGUAUUUGAAAAUCAUUCAAUCAGGUUCUCGGGGCAAAAAUACAAGAUCCUUAUUUGCAUGAUAUAUAUGAAUUAAUGUAAUUUAUUUGAAUUAUCCAAAUUUAUUAGAGAUAAAACUAUAAAAUAUACCAAAAAAGUUAGAAGGAAGGGUGUGUUGGGAUAUUUUACAAACUAUAGGAAUCUAGUGAGAUUUUGAGCCAAACUGUAGGGAGUUGAAGGCAUUUGCCCAAUAUGUUUAGACGUACACUAACCGUUAUUUGCUCUUGUUGUUGGUCCCGGAUGAGCUGUAGUCUUAUUUUAAUUUUAUUUAAACUCACCAUAAGAUUCGCGGAGCUCCUAACUAACUUAAAUGACUCUGCAGAGCAUGUCAACACAUAGCAUGUUUAACCGUUUUAUUUGUAGAAGAAUUUAUGAUUUCCCAUUAGCAUUAUUAUUGAAGUGGGGCGGGUCAAAUCUCAAUUGCUUGAAAAUUUUUAUUAUUAUUAUUAGUCUUGAAGUGGGGUGGGUAACGUUCGCUCAAUUCGAGGGGAAUCAAAUAUAUCAUCCAAGGUAGAAUUGUGGAAAAUUAAAACAAAAUAAGAAAUAUGGAAAGAAAAGAAGAAAGUUAAGAUAUGAAAGACAUAUACAGUUGAAAUUGAUAAUCAUGUUCCUAUUUUGUUAACUAAUCAAAUGGAAAGCUGAACUGUAAACAAACAUUAAAACGUGUGAACCAAGCUAGCUGUCCUACAAGUCUACAAUAAUAAUUGAGUACUUUGAUUCAUCCUUCUAUAAAUUUCUACCCAUAUUGACUCCACCGAAAUUUCCACAAAAUAAAAAAAAAAAAAAAACUGAAUUUCCACAAAAUGCAAAACCCGUAGAACUUAAUUUUUGGUCAUGUGAACUAAGAUGUAAAUUAAAGAAAAAGUAUAAAAUUAAAAAAAGAUAAGAUUUCUAAAAUGUGUGGAAGGUGAUUCAUGAUUCACUGACACUACUUACUCCAAAUAUGAAGAUAAAUCUAUCUAAUUUCAUUAAAAAUAGUUGGAAAAAAUUAACUAAUAGAAAGCUACGGAAAUUAACCCCCCACAAAAAUGACUUUUUAUGGAAGAAUUUAUGUUUUUUAAAAUAUGUUAUCAAAGUGUAUUUGAUCAAAUCUCAAUUGGUUAGUAUGGUUAGGAUUUUGUGAACAUCACUAAAAAGUGAAAAAUAUGAAUGAUAGGGGUGAUGCUUGCAAUAUGAAUAAAUAAUGGACUGAUUCAAUUGAUGAUUACAUUUAUAUAUUAUUGAUUAUUUAUGAAUUUUCAGACUUGUUAUGAUGUAUAACUAUGUGAUUUUGAAACUUGAAACCGUGGCAAACAUUGAAAGGAAUUAUAACUUGAAAUCAUGACUCACGGGGUAUGUCAUGAUUCACGUGCACAAAAAAGGUAGAAUUGUGGAACUUGAUAACCCAACGACAAAUGCGGAAAGAAAGGAAGAAAAUUAAAAGACUUGGGGCCUAGCCUGCGUGUAUAAAUUAUUAGAUUUCUUUCUAUUUUAUAAGCGUAACCAUCAAUUUACUCCAUAACAAUCUUUAAUUCAUUUCUUAAAGAGUAAUGAUAUAGCCACAAACUCUUGUACAAACUUAUUUUGUAUAAAUUGAUGUGGCAUGAUAAGAUUUGUUGAAUUAAAUAUUACUUGGCCCAUAUGAUUUGUUUUUAUUAUUUUAUAUUUUCAUUCAACCAAUGAAUUAAUGUCAUGUCAGUUUGUACAAAAUAAAUUUAUACAAAAAUUUGUGGCUGUAUCAUUACUCUUUCUUAAAAUAUCAAAACUUUAAUUUAUCUUUUAAAUAUCGUUACCUCUCCAUUGGUUUUAACAGUUAAAAGGGUAAAAUUAUAUUUGUAUAUUUUCUUGACUGUUAACUAAAUAAUAAAAGUCAAAAUUCAAUCUUGUUAUCUUGUUUCAAUCCUCUAUCAAUCAAACAAGAUUUCUAAAAUAUGUGGAAGAUAUUGCAUGAUUUCCUCAACGUACCUGGCCCGAACAUCAAGGUAAAUAUCUCUAAAAUAGUUGAUUAAAUCUCAGUUGCUAAGUAUAGUUAGGAUUGUGUGAACAUCACUGAAAACUAUGAUUGAUAGAAGUGAUCUUUGCAAUAUGAAUAAAUAAUUAACUGAACCAAUUGAUUUACAUAUUAAAGUUUAUGAAUUUUCGGACUUGUUGCGAUAUAAUAAUAGCAUAUGAUUUUGAAACUUGAAACAGUGGUAAAUAUUGAAAGGAAUUAAUUUGAAAGCAUGAUCCGUGGGGAAUGUGAUGAAUCGUGUUUACCAAAAAGGUAGAAUUGUGGAAAUUUAUAACAGAACGAUAAAUAUGGUAAAAAGGAAGAAAAUUGAAAGACUUGGGGCCUGGCCUGGGUGUAUUUUCUAACUGUCCAAUGGACAAAAUUAUAUUUGUAUAUUUUCUCAUCCCUAGGUUUCAUACAAUAGCUCAUUUCAUUUUUAUUUUUUAAAUAAUAGCCUAAAACAUCAUUCUAUUAACUCACUAUUAGUUGAAUGUCGUUUGUUAGUAAUUCAUUAAGGGUAAAAAAUCAUUUUCUAUCAAAGAGAAAAUUAGAAAAAUAAAUAAAAGUUGACAUAUAACUAAAAAUGAUUUGAUCUAAUCCCACUAAAUAAGAAAUACCAAAAAAGAUGAAAAAUUUAUAUUUCAAGCAAUUCUUUUUUCACUUAUUUCUAUUUUGGCAACAUGAAAGCCCUAUAAACCCUAGAUCUAAGUACUAAAAAUAUCACAAUUUUCUUAUUCAUAUAAGUAUACUCUCUAAUUGCAUUGUAAAAUGGUUUGAAUUAAAUUGAAAAUAAAGAAGAUAUUCAGCACAUGCAAGCACAUAAAAAUUGGUGGCAUUUUUUAGUUUUUCUUCCAAUGAUUUAAAGAUAUUGUUUUAAUUACAGUUUGUUCCUUAUGACAAUUAUUCAAUGGCGAUAUCAAACUAUAUCAUCGUUGAUUUUAUUUAAGAAAAAGUUAAUGAAUUUUGCAUAUUUUGUAGUGUUAUUUAAUUGUGUAAAAAAAAUUAUUUUAAUAUAGUUUGUAUCGCUUUAAUGAAAAAUCAUAUUUUGCCCCCAAUGAAUUACUAGUUAACGAUUUUACAUUAAUGGUGAGUUAACGGAAGGAUAUUUUAGGCUAUUGUUUGAAAAGUAAGGAUAAAAUGAGCUAUUGCAUUAAACUCUAGGGAUGAAAAAUGCUUUUUCCCCUUUCUUAUCAAUCAACUAUCUGAUAAAAGUCAAAACUCAUAUUUUUUUUUUCCUUGUUUCAAUCCCCUCUCAAUCAAAAAAGUUUCCUUGUCUAAGCAACGAGGAAUAUGGCUAGAAAGAUUGUUAUUAGAAAGAUUUAUCAAUAGUAAUUGGUUCACAACUGAACAUUUUUAGAUUAUUGUGAGUCAAUAUAGGUCCUGUUUGGGAUUGAAGUGUUGCAGUUUUUAAGUUACAACUGCUGUGGAAAAAAAAACUAUAAUUAUGAAAUAAAAGUUAAUAAUAUAUAAUAAAUAUAAAUUUUAACUAAUAAUUUUGAUAAAAUUAUUAAAAAUAUAAUAGAUUUUUCAUAAUACAAGUAAAAUAUCAUAUCUACAUAGCUUGCAAGGUACAACAGUUAGUAUUUACCAAAUAGUUUAGUACUAUUUGUAAUGUUGUAAUGUCGAGAGAUUACCCAACCAUUAUGGAAUCCUACCAAGAUGAUUGUUACCACUAAGAUAAAAUCCUUCUAGUGAACAACAAUCAGACAAAUUUUUUGGGGAUCUCUCUUACAAAGUGAUUACCAUCCAAUCGCAAUUUUGAAUGAAAAUAAUUUUUUUUUAUUGGGAGUUUGACCUUAACAUUAAAUUUAGACAAUAAAUUUUAACUUUCUUCAAUUAUUAAACAGAUUACAGACAUUUGACAAAUUUGAAAACACUUCAUCCAUCGAAAGUUCAAAUUAGAGAUGGAAGCUAGGUGCUACAGCUAAUGGGAACAUUAAUUCCUGUCCCUCAUCACACUUUAUUUUGGGUCUAAUAAUUUUACGGCAGCAUUGACCACUGCUCAAGGUAAGUAAAACUUACAAAUGUGUGGCAAAAUAAAUAAUUAAGUGCAUAAACUCUUAACUAAUUUUCUUGAUAUAUACAGCUAAGGUACUUGUUCCUUUUUUUUUAAAAAAAAAUGUUAAAAAAUUUCGGCUGAGCCUGCUUGUGGUUUUGAUAAAAAGGAGGGGCUGGCUUCAAAUAUUUGAAUAGGCAUCUCCGCCGUACCUCAAACAAAACUGUCAUUAUUAGUGUCAUGAAACAUGUUUCGGCCGUCAAAGUCAUGAGAGGGUUGAUGACGCUACUACGUAUGAUGACACACCAGCCGACAGUGUAGUAACAGCUCAAAAACAAAAUCUACCAAAAUCAACGAAAGUUAAUAAAAUUUUAUUUUAUUAAUAAAAAAACUUUUUAUUUGUGGAGAUAUGUGUAUUUGAGUCUGUGGACUGAAAUGGAAAAUAUGAAGACGUUCGUUGUGUAGAUUGACUUCAGUUGAACGGGUCUAACUGGUAUUUUAUGCUGACGUGGCACGAAUUAGUUAUAAUCUGUUAUAACGAUUCCAGAAAUAUCAGUAUAAAUAGAAGCUGAUGAGCAGUGCCUGUUGUACGAUCCUUUUCUUCUUCACUUGUUCGUCAAUUUGCAUAGCAUCUGUUUCAUUGUGAUCUAUGCAAAGUCUUCUGUAAAUCCACUUAUGUUUGAUUAGUUGUUGAUCAAUAACGAGAGUAAAUUUUUCCUUCAAAUCUUGCUGCUUCGUGCCCCUGUUUCAGUUCUGGUUUUUUUUUUUUUUUUUUUUUAGUUCUGGUUUCUUAAUUCAAUUGAAUUUCUUGGUGCUUAAUUCAUCAAGAUUCAGUGGAAUCGACUUGAAAAGGACUCAAUAGACUCAACAUUAUUUAACGACACUCUGACCGUGGAGUACCGUUAUAAUAAUCUGAUUUUAAGAAAAUUAUAACUUAUUUUAAAUAGCGCCACAAUAUAAUUCUAAAUAUUUAAAAGGAAAACAUUAAUGACAUUUUGUUUUGAAAAAUUCAAUUAUUAAACUCUCACGUUUCAUGUGUUUGAAGUUAAAUUAUUCAUUAACUAGAACUCUGUUCAAAAUUGACUGUCCUGUGUUCCCAAAUGUAGUUGCAAUAUUGAAUGAAAGUAAAAACUUUCUAUGGCGAGUUUAAAUCUAAAUCUGGACAAUGAGUUUUUAGUUUCUCAAUGCUAUUCUAAUUACAAAAAUUAUAUUGAUUGAUUUAUUGUUACAGUUACUAGCCUUUGAAAAUGGAUGGAUUUAUUGUUUCCGUGACCCAAUUAUGCCUGUCUAACGCUGCAACUACUAAAAAAUCUAAUAUUUAAUGCACAUGUUAAAAGAUUUAAAAUUUUAUGCAUUUAUUAAUUGUUAUAAUCUAAAAGAAAAUUAAUUCGUUCAGGUCAAUCUGAGUUGGUGCAUCUGCAGAGCCUUUUUCUUUUUUCCCCUUAUUGACCAUAAUGAUCUAAGGGGUAUAAUACGACCUUGGUUCUUGGUAAAAAUGACAUCUCCUUCAACAUGACUAUUGACUAGGAGCAUGUAAAAACAUGGAAACAGAAUUUCCACAAAAUGCCAAACGUGUGGAACUUCAGUUUUGGCCAUGUGGACCAAAUGCAAAUGAAAGAAAAAGGAUUUUCCCAGCUAAUGUACAAAUAAAUGAACAACCUUGAAGCCUUAUUAUUCGCAACAAAAAGGGAUUACUAAUUGGAGAAGACUACACACAGUUUCUCUCACACUUUCUCUCUGUCAAUUUCAUCUAGAAGUCCCUCUGAAAGCAUCUCCCAAAACAGUUAGUCAUCUUUUAUUCUCUGUUUUCUGGAAACAGAGUCCUAACUAACUUAACUGACUGUACAGAGCUGAUCAAGAAUUCUGUUUUGUUAACUAAUCAAUUGCAAAUCAUAUAUUAGUGUUGAACGGUGAACAAAAUUGAAAAAAAAAAAUUCUUAAAAAACGUGUGGACUCGGAUAGCCAGACCAGAAAUCUAUGACAAUAAUUAGCUUUGAUGCUGGGAAUCUUUUAGUUUCUGGCCGUAUUGACUCCACCAGUGAAGUUUUUAAAAUAACAAGUUCCCAUUCUUCGUUUUUUUUUUUUAAAUGUGCUUAUAAUAAUUUUAGAAUAGUGACUUAUUUGUAGAAGAAUUUAUGAUUUUCCAUUAAUAUCAAUAUUGAAGUGGCGUGGGUCAAAUCUCAAUUGCUUGAAGAAUCUAUUUAUUAUUAUUAAUAUUGAAAUGGGGUGGGUAACGGACCAACGGUUCACUCAAUUAAUAUGUGGGGAAUUAAUUAAAUAUGACCAUCAAAGGUAGAAUUGUGGAAAAUUAAACCAAAAUGACAAGUAUGGAAAGGAAGGCUGAAAGUAAGGCAUGACGAAAGUCUUUGAGAAGGCUGAAGACCACCAAAGAAGUCAACUGAAAGCUAGCUGGGGCCUGGUAUGUAUGUUAGAUGUGUUUGUUAUAAAUAACAUAGAGCCCUUUUGUUAUUUAUAGUUAUAGAGAAAGAGAGAAUGUGUGUUUUUUAAUAGUUAGAGAUAUAGCUAGAAUGGGUGGUUCAAAAUCCAAAAUGGUGACGAUGUUAGUUUUGGGGGUAGAGUGAGGGAUGUUUGGAGCUUGAGAGAUUUGCUCUUUUGCGGCUUAAGCAUUUCUUCAAUUCUCCUUAUAGACUUUAAAACUGGGUAGACGAGCAAAGAGGUUGUUGUCAGUGGGAAACCGUUGAGUGCAGCAAAGUGAAAUUAAUUUCUCCCUAUUCUUAGUCUUACCAGGAGUAUCGAUCUGGGAGAGUGGUAUCUGAAUGCUUCUCUAUUUACUCCCUUUCAACAAAUUGGCAACAAAAUAGCCGGUUGGGUUAAGAACGAAGGUCCUUCACUUAAUUUAAUUUACUUAAUUUAAAUUAAGAAGAAGUUCCGUCAUCAAUAGAGUGCCUAGCUGAUCGUAAAACGUUGCGUUUGAGUAAGUGCACGAGGCUGAAGAGGCUUUCCAUCAAGCAUUUGUAAAUUGAAAUCUCUUCUUGAGCUUUAUCUCUAUAACUGCUCAAACCUUGAAAGUUUUCCAGAAAUCAUGGAGAAAAUGGAACGUUUAAAGAUAUAAAUUUAGCAAGGACGGCCAAUUACAGAGCUGCAAUCUUGAUAGCCUUCGGGAUUGGUAUCAUUUUCAAGCAAUUUUCUCAAUGCAGAGGUUUGGUAUCAUUGCCUCCAAUAUUAUUGUCAGGUUUAGUUUAUCGAAUUUGUUACAGCUAAAUUUAAGGGACUCUGCUAUAAUGGAAAUUCCCCAAAAUAUUGUUUGUCAAUCCUCAUUGAAAAUUUUAAAUCUAAAGACUUGUUUGUUAACUAAUUGAAGUAUGUAAUUAAUGCUUUGUUUUUGUAAUUUAUGUUUGAUUUUGAGAUAUUUACAUUUGAAUAAAAAAGUAAACUUUUGUUACAUUUAUCUAAAUUAAAAAAAAAAAGGCUAAAUGAGAAGUAAACUAUGUUCAAGCAAUUUUUUAUUUAUAAAAAUAAACCAAAUACUACUUAUAUUCAUAUAUCAAAAAAUGAAAAACAAACAUGUUAUUCAUAUGUUCACAUACAAACUUAUUCGAACCUCAGCUAAAUACAAAUCCAUUUUGAUUUCAAACAAAAAAAAAAAAACUUCGUAAGUGGGAAUAACUUUGAGAUUUGACUUGCAAAUGUCAAGCAACUUGCAAGGCUAGAAUAUCUUGACUUGAACGGUUGCAAUGAUUUCUCAUCAUUGAGAGUUUAUCAUUGUGCUUCAUCAUCAUCAUCAUCAUCAUCAUCAUCAUCAUCAUCAUCAUCAUCAUCAUCAUCAUGAUUAAUAAAAAGGUAAGCAAUUAAGAGUCAAAUUAAACCACUUGAAAAUCACUCAUCCACGCUUUUGGGACAUCAUUCUGCUCAUUAUUUUUAUUCCGUAUCUUCAUUGUUUUAUUUGGUAAUUAUUACCAUUAGUAAAUAAAGGGAUUAGUUGAUUAUUGUGAACUAACUAAAUGGAGCUCACCCUUAAAUGUCGGCUUGUAUCAGGGAGGUGCCUUAGGGUUAAUAAAUCAACUAAUCCCAUAAAUUGUUGAUGUAGGGUCCUAACAAAUUAUUGCCGUAGAACAGCACACAGCUCGAAAACAUAUUUGAUCCACACAGUGAAGAUGAUUCAAUAUUAAGCAUGUCAUAUAAUCUGGAGUUGGAUAUUGGAUCAAUUUGAUGAUAAUGAGUUUCUUUCAGUCUCAAUCUUUAUCUUCUUCGCAACAUGACUAGCCAUUGCGCAAAUUCAAACUCUGACAAUGAUUUCUCAAUCGCUUUCUAAGACGAUGAGCACGUAUGUAUAUAUAUGUGUGUGUGCGCGUGCGCACGUGUGUGUUUGUGUAUGUAUAUAGGGAGAGAGAGAGAUAUCACACGUGUGUGCUUUCCUUUUGUCAAUAAGAUAUGCAGAGAGCUUAAUAAUCAUAGAUUAGCUUAUAUCCUUCAAACCAUAUGCUAUGAAGUAAUUUCACAAACACUUGUUGAAUGUUAUUGAAUCAGUAGUUCACAGUUCAAUACAAUGUAGGUUUCCUAUUUGAAGUAAAUGAUUAUGGUGUGUGCAUUUUUCAUAAAGCUAACAACUGAAUUUACCAUUGAAACUUGCAAAAUGUAACAGAGAGAUGCAGAUAGCAGCCACGAAACACUAAGAUUGAAAAUCAGGACUACUGAAUUCUAUUACAAGCCCUUAAAAUAGACAACAAUCAUCCUCAAAUGUAUGUACUGAAAAUAAGAAAUAUUAAUCGUAAAGUUAUGCAUUAACAAAACUAUUGACUACUUACCUUUAGCUAUAUGUUUUUAAUUGUAGCUCCCUACUUUGUUCUAAGAACUAGGCAAAAGUAGCAUAUCUUCAAUCCAAUCAGCAUAUAUACCGCUCAUCUUCUCCAGUUCUUUCCACUUUGAUUUGCAUUUCAUACCCUGCACUUGCUGCUUAGAAAUAGUCAUAGUUUGCACAUUGACAGUAGAAAAAGUACUUGAAGCAAUCAUUGGCAUAGCAUGGGAUUCCAUUGAGUCGCGGUCUCCAAGCUUUCAUGGUUCUGUAAAGAAAAUGACAAAAACAUCAUGCUAUUGGCAUUCUACUUUUAGCAAUUUUCCACAAGCUGAGCUAUUUCAUAUCUCUCUAUAAAUUAUGAUCGAUGAGUGGACCACUGAUGCAUGCAAGUUUAUUAUCACUUGUAACUGCUGGUUCAACCUUCAGAUAAGUUUGUGAUAAAGGCAUCUAUGAGUACAAUGGGAAAAUUACAUGAACUUAUGUUAUCAAUCAUUGUUUUGCCUUCUCGUGAUAGAAUUCUGUGCAACAUAAAACAUGAUAUAUUUGUACCUUACCAUGCCAUGUCGUGAACCUAGAAGCAAUGCAAAUUGCAAGGAACAUAUUAAGCUAUCUACUGUAUAUAACAAAUUCUUAUUAGCCCACAAUCUUGUGCCGCCACAUUGAUCAAGUAACACUAUUAUAUCAUUUCCAAAAUGGCAUAUAUAAUCUAAUGUUGAACAAACCAAAUUGGGAAUCAUCAUUCCUUACAUUAAGCUGACAUUCGUACCUGCUAGUCCAUGAGCAAAGUUGCUUAUAUUUCCACACAGGCAGCUCCCCUUAUCUCUCGGUUCCGACAGAGCUUGGUUUUCCCAUCACCAGCUUUGGAUUCAUUCGAUCACUGAUGCUCCGAGUUAGCAAGCCCCUUGUUGUGUUCCCAUUGAACAGACCCACUUCUGUUAUCCACAGAAGAUCCACCACUCAAAAUGCUUAUCACCGAACUAUUCCUAAACUGAAUAGAAACUUCCGCACAUCUCUCGGCAUUUACAUGAAGAAAUCGACACCCACCCCCAUAUUUGCAAGUUUUCUGAUAAUAGAACGGUCUACAAAGCUGCAUUUCGUUAGGCAAUCUAAUCUCUCCAUUCCUAGCAAAGUGAUAUUGAUUCCCGUAUUUGUAAUUGCCUAAUUGGGGUUUUGGCAAUAGCCUGGUCUUAAAAUUACCACCCAUUACUUUGUUCAAUGCCACUGGCAUCCUCUGAUUAGGAACAUUUUCACAAUUUUUAGCCCUGUUAGUCGAAUCACAUUCAACGGGAUAGUGAGGCAGUAUUUCACUAACAGAUUCAAUUUGACUACUCAUAUUGAUGCACAUAUAAGAAUUUGAAAUCACUUUCUCUUGGAAUAUUUAAUGACCCCUGAUGAAAGUUCUUGAAUGGAAUUAUUUAAUUUGAUUUGAUUUCCAACAAAUUCAAGAAACCCCACAUAGUAGCUAAACAAAAAUCAACCAAUAAUACGCAAUGGGUUUCUUUCUUUUUGCCUUUGGAGGGCCAUGGAGAUCUGGAGUGGGCAGUAAGUAAUAGCCUUUAUGACUGGAAUGACAGAUUUGCAGAAGAUGAUAGCUCAAAACGCGUUGCUGUGGAAAAUUGUAGCAAAAUUAAAAAUUGGAAAGAAAGGGAAGAAAAUUAAUGCAUGAAGACUUGGAGAAAACAACCAAAUUAAUCAACUAUAAGCUAGCUGGGUGUAUAAAUUGUUAGAUGCAUUAUAAGCAAAUAGCGUAGAGCCCUUUGGUUAGUUACAGAGACAGACAGUGUUUGUGUUUUUUAAUAGUUAAAGAUAUAGAUAGAAUGGGUGUUUCAAAAUCAAAAAUGGUGAUAAUGUUUGUUCUGUUAUUAAUAAUAUUAGAAGGUGGGGGAAGUGAGGGAUGUUUGGAUCACGAGAGAUUUGCUCUUUUGCGAAUUAAACUGUUCUUUGAUGAUCCUUUUAAUUAUCUUCACGAUUGGAUAGAUGAUGAGGGAGCUACUGAUUGUUGUCAGUGGGAAAGGGUUGAGUGCAGCAACACCACAGGCCGAGUGAUACAACUAAACCUUUUUUUAAUUGGGAAUUGGGAUUUGGGAGAGCGGUAUCUGAAUGCUUCUUUGUUUACUCCCUUUCAACAACUUGAGUCACUUUAUUUAAGUUGGAACAACAUAGCUGGUUGUGUUGAGAAUGAAGGUGCUUCGUUUAAUUUUAUUAAAUUACUUGCUCUCUCCUAAUUUAAGUUGAAUAUCAAGACUGAGCAACUAUAUGCAUAUCCAUUCAGUUGACAAUUCUGACAUUUUUUUGAAGUGAUUAAUUAAUUUUUGAAAUUACACCAGCAUCUAUGAUCCUUUUUUAUGUUACUUGCAGGUCUAGAGAGGCUAUCAAAAUUGAACAACUUGAAGAUGCUUAAUUUAAGUGAUAACUCGUUCAACAAUAGCAUCUUAUCAUCUCUAACUCAUCUUUCAUCAUUAAGAUCAUUAGAUUUAUCUUACAAUAGAUUGGAAGGAAGUAUUAAUGUUAAAGGUAUGUAAUUAAAACGUCAUCUCUUCUCCCAACUCUUUCAUUAACUUGCUAAAAUAAGAUUCAAGGUUUUGAAUUCAAUUUUUUUUAUGAUUAAUAUUAAAGGAAAAAAAACAAUUUUAAGAAAUUCAUAAAUACAAGUUCUAAUGUUUCUCAUAAUUUCAUCUUGUACUUUCAUAUGUCUUGAAUUUAAGAUUUAAAAAAAAAAAAAAACUCUAAUAGCGAACCAAACACCUCCACAACUUAUUAUUAAUAAUAUUAUUAUUUUUUCUGUGAGGUUUGAAACAUUAAACUCAAUUUGUACUCUUUACAGAAUUAGAUUCUUUGAGAGACUUAGAGGAGCUAGACAUUGCCGGGAACAAGAUUGACAAAUUUGUGGUCUCAAAAGGUGCUACAAAUACCAUAAAAAAUCUAAACUUUUACAAAUUAGCUAGAUUCUUUGCCAUUUGGUUAAUUAUUUUGCAGGUUUGAGGAAGUUGAAGUAUCUCGGCUUAAGUGAUGUGGGAUUCAAAGGAACAUUUGAUGUUCAAGGUAAGUCUAAGCCAUAUGCUUUCUCAUUUGAAUUCAUUAAGGAUAUCAAGAUCAUCGACAAAAUUAAAACAUACUUUAUUUUACUUCGUCAAUCAAUUAAUUAAAUACUAUUUGGCUUGGCUUCAUCAAUCAAUUAAGUCUUAUGUCUAGGCAUGUCUGCAGAAUUUGAUUCCUUGAGCAGCUUAGAGGAGUUGGACAUGAGCCGCAACGAAAUCGACAAUCUUGUGGUUCCUCAAGGUAAACAAUUAAAAUAUUAUUCAAUUACAUUAAUUUAAUUCAUUUGGUUAGGGAAGGCCCAAAAGGUACAAAAAAUAAAGGAAUAGAGAAUUUAUAUUAUUUAAAAAACAGAAUGUAAUAAAGAUUUGAUUCAAGUUCUUUAAUCUUUACAGCGAUUGAAAAACGAUCUUGCUCCUUUCCCAAAGCAUAAAAUACGAAUUGACUCCUAAUUAAAUUAAUCAUUUAUUUCUCUCAUCUCUGAAUUUAAACAAUGAAUUUUGAUCUUCAAUCCUAUUCUAAUUAUUAUUAUUAAAUAGGUUACAGAGGUUUGAGGAAGUUGAAAAGCAUGUAUCUAUCGGGAGUUGGAAUUAGAGAUGGAAGCAAGUUGUUACAGUCAAUGGGAUCAUUUCCAUCCCUCAACAUUCUUCACCUUUCGGAUAAUAAUUUUAUAGAAACAGUGACAACUACUACUCAAGGUAAGUAAAUGGUACAGAUGUGGCCAAAUUUGUAAAUAAACUAUUAAUUAAUUAAUUAAUUUUCCGUAUUGUUGAUAGUGCUAAAUUUGUUGCUUCGAAACAGAGUUGCGCAAUUUCACCAACUUGGAAUACUUGACAUUGGACAAUUCCUCUCUUCAUAUAAGCCUUCUGCAGAGCAUUGCAUCAUUCACUUUGUUAAAAAAAUUAUCUAUGACUAACUGUAAAGUCAAUGGCAUCCUAAGUGGUCAAGGUAAAAGAAAAGUGUUGAUUAUGAAUAAGUUGUUAAUUAAUUAAUUUUGUUGCUCCUUGCUUCUAAACAGAGUUGCGUAAUUUCACAACUUGAAUAUUUGACAUUGGACUCUUCCUCUCUCCAUAUAAGCCUUCUGCAAUUGCUUGACGAAUUUAUUUAUUAUUAUUAUUGUUAUUGUAUUGAAGUGGGGUGGGCAAGGGUUCACUCAAUUAAUAUGUGGGGAAUUAAAUAUUACCAUCCAGCAUAGAAUUGUGGAAAAUUAAAGCAAAAUGAGAAAUAUGGGAUGAAAGGAAGAAAGUUAAGGGCAUGAAAGACUUGGAGAAGACCGAAGACCACCAAAAUAAGUUAUGUGUUUGUUAUAAAUAACAUGGAGCCCCUUGUUGGUUGCAGCGGCAGGAGACAGAGAGAGUGUAUUUGAUUAAUUAAAAUUCAAAAUGGUGAUAAUGUUAGUUUUGCUAUUAUUAAUAAUAUUAUAAGAGGGACUUAAACAUUUCUUCAAUUCUCCUUAUAAUUUUUGUCAAGACUGGGUAGAUGAUGAGGGAGCUACUGAUUAUUGUCAGUGGGUUGAGGUUGAGUGCAGCAGCGCCACAUGCCUAGUGGUAUCUGAAUGCUUCUUGGUUUACUCCUUUUCAACAAUUUGAGUCACUUGAUUUAAUAUGGAACAAUACAGCCGGUUUUGUUGAGAAAGGUGCUUCAUUUAAUCUAAUAAAUUUACUUCCUCCCUCCUAAUUUAAGUGGAAUAUCAAGAUUGAGCAACUAUAUGCAUAUUCAUUCAAUUGACAAUGUUGACAUAUUUUUUAAAAUGUUUAAUUUCGAAAUUACACCAAAUAGAUGUGAUCUCUGUUUUGAUUUUACUUGCAGGGCUACAGAUGCUAUCAAGAUUGAGCAACUUGAAGAUGCUUGAUUUAAGUGGAAACUCCUUCUACAAUAGCAUCUUAUCAUCUGUAGCUCGUCUUUCAUCAUUAACAUCAUUAGAUUUAUCUGAGAAUAGAUUGGAAGGAAGUAUUAAUGUUAAAGGUAAGUAAUUAAAACGUCAUCUCUUCUCCCAACUCUUUCAUUAAUAUGCUAAAGUAAGAUUUAAGGCUUUGAAUUUAAUUUUUUUAAUGAGUAAUAUUAGAAAAAUAGUUUUAAGCAAUUCAUAAAUACAAUUUUCAAUGUUUCUUAUAAUUAUAUCGUGUACUUUCGUAUGUCUUGACUGUAAGAUUAAUAUAUAUAUAUAUAUAUAUACUCUAACUGUGAAGCAAAUCCCCCCAUGACUAAUUUAUCAUUUUUUCCAGUUAAAAAUGAUAAAAUUUACCAUUUGUUUAUAUUUAUUAAUUAACUCUGUUUUAAGUCUUGGCGUCUUGGCGUGUUUGCAGAAUUUGAUUCCUUGAGCAACUUAGAGGAGUUGUCCAUGAGCUACAAUGAAAUCGACAAUCUUGUGGUUCCUCAAGGUAAACGCUUAAAAUAUUAUUCAAUUACAUAAAUUUUAUUCAUUUGAUUAGGGAAGACCCAAAAGGUACAAAAACAUAAUAAAAAUAAAUAAAUAAAGAAACAAAACGUGGUAGUAUUAUUUCGAAAACAGAAUGUAAUAAAGAUUUGAUUCUAGUUCUUUAAUCUUUACAAUGAUUGAAAAACUAUACUGCUCCUUUCUCAAAGCCUAAAAUACGAAUUGACUCCCAAUUAAAUUAAUCAUUUAUUUUGUUCGUCAUUUAUUUCCCAAAGCAUAAUAUGUACAUCCUAUUCUAAUUACUAUUAAAAAACAGGUUAUAGAGGUUUGAGGAAGUUGAAAAGCCUGCAUCUAUCGGGAGUUGGAAUUAGAGAUGGAAUCAAGUUGUUACAGUCAAUGGGAUCAUUCCCAUCCCUCAACACUCUUUACCUGAUGGAUAAUAAUUUGACGGAAAUAGUGACAACUACUACUCAAGGUAAGUAAAAAGUACAGAUGUGGCCAAAUUAUAAAUAAACUGUUAAUUAAUUAAUUUUCCGUAUUAUUAAUAAAGCUAAAUUCGUUGCUUCUUCUUUCUAAUUCUAAACAGAGUUGCACAAUUUCACCAACUUGGAAUAUUUGAGAUUGGACCAUUCCUCUCUCCAUAUAGGCCUUCUGCAAAGCAUUGCAUCAAUGUUCCCUUCGUUAAAAAAUCUGUCAAUGUCUCAUUGUGAAGUCAAUGGUGCCCUACGUGAUCAAGGUAAAAGAAAAGUGUUGAUUGUGAACUCACUCAAUGGUGUCCUAUGUGUUCAAUGUUUUUUUUUAUUUAUUUUAUUGUUUAAUGUUUCUGCUAGGUUUUCCUCAUUUUAAGCGUUUGGAACAUUUGUACAUGGAUUACGCGCGCAUUACACUCAACACCAGCUUUAUUCAAAUCAUCGGUGAAUCGAUGCCUACUCUUAAGUACUUAUCACUGUCAAAUUCUAGUCUUAGCACUAACAGCAGGACUCUUGAUCAAGGUUAAUGAGAUGCUCCCACCCUCCCCUCUUAAUCUAUAAUAUUAAUUUUCGAUUAAAAUUAUGAUUACACAAACCAAUCACUUCUAUAUGAAAGAAUGCUCUGCAUUUGUUAAUUUUUAUAUCGUACUGAUGGAUGAAUUAAUAAAUUUUCAGGCCUCUGCUCAUUGGCGCAUCUGCAAGAGUUGUACAUUGAUAAUAAUGAUUUAAGAGGUAGCUUGCCUUGGUGCUUGGCAAAUAUGACAUCCCUCCGAAUAUUAGAUGUUUCUUUCAAUCAACUUACUGGAAGCAUCUUCUCAUCUCCCCUCGCUCAUUUGACAUCCAUUGAAGAGCUGUGGUUUUCAUACAAUCACUUCCAAAUCCCAAUUUCACUUGAACCACUUUUCAAUCACUCAAGACUCAAGAUAUUGCAAGCUGACAACAACGAAAUAAAAGCUGAAAUAAUUGAGUCACAUUCUUUGACCCCAAAAUUCCAAUUACAAUUUCUCUCCUUGUCCUCCGGUUACGGAGAUGGUUUCACAUUCCCCAAAUUCCUUUACCAUCAACAUGACCUACAGGAUGUUUAUUUCUCACACAUAACGAUGACUGAAGAAUUUCCAAUUUGGUUGUUGGAAAACAACACAAAAUUAGAAUUUCUUUUUCUCGUCAAUGAUUCUCUUGCAGGACCUUUCCGAUUGCCAAUUCAUUCACACAAGAGGUUAAGGUUGUUAGAUGUCUCUAACAACAACUUGGAAGGCCACAUUCCAAUAGAAAUUGGAGAUAUUUUACCAAGUUUAUAUGUUUUCAACAUUUCCAUGAAUGCUUUAGACGGUAGCAUUCCCUCUUCAUUUGGUAAUAUGAACUUCCUCCAAAUUCUGGACUUAUCCAACAAUCAAUUGACUGGUGAAAUCCCUGAGCACUUGGCUGUCGGUUGCGUCUACUUGGAGUCUCUUGCGUUAUCAAACAACAACCUAAAAGGUCACAUGUUUUCUAGAAAUUUUAAGCUGGUAAACUUGAAAUGGUUACAAUUGGAGGGCAAUCACUUCGUAGGAGAGAUCCCACUAAGUUUGUCUAAAUGCUCUUCGCUAGAAGGAUUGUAUCUUGAUAAUAACAGUCUCUCAGGUAAGAUUCCACGAUGGUUGGGUAAUCUCACAUGGUUAAUACAUCUUAUAAUGCCCAAGAAUCAUCUUGAAGGUCUUAUUCCAGUGGAGUUUUGUCAUCUUCAUUCGCUUAAGAUUUUGGACAUUUCAGACAACAAUAUAUCUGGAAGUUUACCAUCUUGUUUCCUUCCUCUCUCUAUUGAACAAGUUCACUUGUCAAGAAAUAUGUUACAUGGACAGCUAAAAGAAGGUACAUUCUUUAAUUGCUUUUCCCUUAUGAAGUUAGAUCUUAGCUAUAACCAGUUAAAUGGUAGCAUUCCAAAAUGGAUUGAUGGGCUUUCUCAGUUAAGCCACCUUAUCUUGGCUCACAAUAAUCUUGAAGGUGAAGUACCAGUUCAACUGUGCGAACUGAACCAACUGCAAUUGUUGGAUCUUUCUAAUAAUAAUCUUCAUGGUGUUAUUCCUGAUUGCUUUGAUAACACCACACUUCAUGAAAGUUACAACAAAAAUUCUAGUCCUGAUAAGCCAUUUGAAAUGUCUUUUUCUGUCAGAGGCCCUCAAGAAAAUGUAAAAAAGAAAAUCCUUGAAAUUUUGGAAUUCACAACAAAGAACAUUGCCUACACUUACCAAGGAAAAGUGCUUAGCCUCCUAUCAGGACUUGAUCUUUCUUGUAACCAGCUAAUCGGUCAUAUUCCUCUUCAAAUUGGAAAUUUGACCAGGAUUCAAACAUUGAAUCUAUCACACAACAGCUUGAUAGGAUCAAUCCCAUCAACAUUUUCAGAAUUGAAGCAUAUCGAAAGUUUGGAUCUUUCUUACAACAAAUUGAAUGGGAAGAUCCCUUAUCAGCUUGUGAAGUUAAAUACAUUGGCUAUUUUUAGUGUGGCAUACAAUAACUUAUCAGGCAAGAUCCCAGAAUGGACUGCACAAUUUGCAACCUUCAACGUGAGUAGCUAUGAGGGAAAUCUUUUUCUUUGUGGAUUGCCAUUGCCCAUUUGCAGCCCACCACCAACUAUGCCAAGGGCUUUAACUAGCAAUGAAGGAGAUGAUAAUUUAAUUGAUAUGGAUAGUUUCUUUAUCACAUUUACAACAUCGUACGUAAUUGUGAUAUUUGGAAUCGUCGGCGUUCUAUAUGUGAAUCCUUAUUGGCGACGUAGGUGGUUUUAUCUUGUUGAAAUGUGGAUAAUUUCCUGUUAUUAUUUUGUCAUAGACAAUCUUAUUCCAACAAGAUUUUGUUAUUGAAAUUAAUAAGUAGUUUAAUUAAGAUCCUUUAAGUACUAAUCAAGUUUGCUUAAGAAAUAGUUUUUUUUUUAAUUGAAAACUACAAGAAAAAUAGUAUAUGACAACAUGCAAAGAGUGUUGUAGAAGGGAUAUCACAACAAGCAUAUGAACGUUGCGGUUCUUGAUGUAGCGAAAAGUAGGUAACUUUCGACUACGUGCAAUUCACGUUGUUGAAAAAGAUAUGAACGUUGUUAAAUAUCAUAUGACAACUUACAAUGAUUGUGGUUAAAAAGAUCAUGUGCUUCCAAACUUUCGACUACAAGCCUAUGAAUGUGGCUAUAAAUUAUAUAGCAACAAGCAACUAAAUGUCGCCAUUAAUUCUAAUUUUUAUUUACAAUAAACCACAUAUCCUGCAUGUUGUCAAAAAAACAACAAUAUAUUAUUAAUAAUUAUUAUUAUCAUUAUUAUGACUACUAAUAUUAUCAUUUUUAUUACACUAUUACUGCCGCCAUAUGUAAAAUUCAUGCGAACUAAUUCUACAAUUUGACUUGUUAUAAUAAGUUUUCAUAAACUUAGUAAUAAGCACACAUCACAGCUAAGGGUCACACCAACAUUUUUGUAUUCAUACAAAUUCUAUUACAUAGCAAAUAUGAAAAACACCAUAUACCAUCAGUUUAAAUUUCAUCUAGCCAAACACCCAAAAAAUUAGUAAAAAAACACAUUAGUGGCUGUUGCAAUUCCAUAAAUAUCAACUUAAAAAAAACCAUCUCCAACGAAAGCUUCUUCAAUUUAGCAAUUCCAUCAAAAACUUGUUCAGGGCAUAUAUACACUCCUAAAAAAAUAUUAACUGAAUCAAUAUUCAUUUGUUGCAUUUGGAAUAUAAUUAUACACACACACACACACCCAAGAAGAAUAUUUUAUGCCUACAUACCUUUUUUAAAACAAUUUGAUACAACUUCCUGAUUAUUUCUCAUUUCUCUAAACUUCUUGCUUAUUGCCUGUCCGGCAAAUAUUAAAAUGUAUAAUUUUCAUAGACAUGAAACUUAACAUGGAUACUAUAAGUGCAAUGCUACGGACUAGCUUACUUUAAAUUCUGGAGAUAAUCUUUACUUGACAAUAUUAGCCCAAUCUUCUUUGAAAAUUAUACUUUUUUGGCCUAAUAAGAGCAACCAGCUCUGUCAUGUACUUUUUUGGUUUCCUUUAUCUUAGUUGUUAGCUCUGAUUUGUAUUGUCUCCAACAAUCACCCAUCGUUCUUAAUGCCAAGCAUUCAAGAUAAAAAAUGUAUUUCUAAAUAAAGAUAAUUACUAUGUAAUUCCAUAAACAUGCACCAAGGGCCAAUAGUUCGCUGUCAACUAAAAGCUAAUUUUCAAUGCACACAAGCACAUGCUCUCAUGUUAUAACUCUAAUAAAAGUGCAUAUUUGUAAGAAUUUACACCUACUAGCUGGCCAUAGUCGUUAAAUUCAAUGCUUAAUGAUGGAGAACAAUCUUGAAUCAUUCCAAGUUUGGUUGGACCUCUUUUGUCUUUUGGUGCAUCUAUCAUCAGAUUGAGGUUUGUGUGCAUUUUCCCUAUUGCUAGUUGCUAAUGAUCCAUUCUCCUCUUGAAUAGUUGCAUUUUCUCUAAAUUUAUCUCGACUUGCCUAGAAGACUUUGUAACGCAUAGCAAAAUUAAUGUAGGAAUAAACAUACUAGAAAAAAGUAUAUGAACAUGAAAAAGUAUAAUUUAAAGUUGAACAAAAAAAAAAAAUUCUUACUUAUACUAAACAAAAUGUAAUCACUCUCACUGGCCAAUAAUAAAUCUUGGAACCCUCUUUGUGGUUUUUUCAAUACUAAAUACUAAUUUGAUUUUUCAUUAUCCUUAGAAUAAAUCCAAAUUGGCUUUGUCCCUCAUGAAGUUUAACCAAAGUGAAUCCUUCGUCAACUUUAACACCAUUAACUAUAUUAGUUCAGUCACAUUUGAAAAUAGGGAACUAAAAGUAUUGUAAUCAAGCACUAAUAUAUCUCUCAAAACUCCAUAGUAAGUAACUUUUCCAAAAGAGAAAUCCAUUUUGAAUUUUAAUUAUACAAGGGGGAAACAGUACCUCAAGUUUGCUCUAUAAUCAGAUCCUAAAAUGUCACAGCUGAUUCAGGAGAUUAAUGGCAUUAACAGAAGUAACUAGUCAACAACGCCAAUAAGAGAUUAAAAUUGUGCCUUUCAAUUGAAAAAAAAAAUCAUUAUCCGUCUCACUAGUAAUAUUUACUCAUUUAAAUUAUUUUUACCGAAAUCAGUUUAUCUUGAAAAUAAAAUAUAAUCUUCAAAAUUAUCUUUUCCAUGUAAAAUAUUUAGCUUCAGGCGUUUCAAAAGAAAAUAAUCUUUUGGUUUCAAUCACCCACCACAGAAAAAGUAACAUUUAUUUUAUUCAUGCAUAACAGAUGAACCCCACAAGCAAUAAAGAAUUGUGCCACUUACCAAACAAUGAAUCUACAAUGGGACGAUGUCGAGUGAUUUUGAGUGAGAAGAAGUAUAGGGUGAAGACCCAAAUCUUCUAAAAACAAAAUAGGUGGAAAGAGUAAAUUAUUAAUUAAAUGGAAUUAGGGAAGUGAAAGUGAGCUUUAUCAAUGAAAUUGAAAAGAAGAGUACCUGAUACACUCAUUUCCUUGGGUGGGCAGCCGCCAUUACGAUGAAGAUUGAGAGGCCUGCUUUGCUUUAGUGGCAGAGAAAGAGUAAAGUGGUACUGCAAAGAGAACCGAGGGUUUCACUAAGUCAAUUUGUCUCUUUUUUCCCCCCUUUUUACCGCGCUUUAACCCGUGCGCGCAAAAUGAAAUUUUUUAUUUAUUACACAUUAUUUUCUAUUACUUUACUUUUAAAAAAAUAUUGUAGUUAAUGAUACCCUCAAAAAAUUUAUUUGUUAUAAUACUUUUAUGCAUAAAUUCCAUGAGCAACUAUUUAUGUUUUAAUUUUCACCAAUUUCAUAUUAAAUGAGAUAACAAAGAAUUUUACAAAAAAAAAAAUAUUUUCAACAACAUGCAACAUAUAAACGUUCUUAUUUAAAUAAUAAUUUUUGCAACAGGCAAUUCAUUGUUGCCUUAAAUAAUUAAUUGCAACAUGCAAAUUAUGAAUGUUGUUAUUACAUACUCCUAUACCGCAACAAAUGGUCGCUCGUUGUCGUAAGGUUUUAGACCACAGUCACUUUUUGCGUGUUGCUAAAACUUUAUAUUUACCAACAUGCAGUUUAUGACUGUUGUUAAUUAUAAAUUUGACAACAUUCCAUCUGUGCACGUUGUUAAAAUGAUGUUGCCUUAUCCCAAUUUUCUUGUAGUAGUAUUGAUCAUUAUAUCACUUCCAGCUUCAAAGCACCUAGCAUUUGUCUCUACACUUAGAAAGCUGGAUGAUUUUGCUUUGCAGAUCUAGAUUUGAAGUAGGAUGGUUCCAAACCCAUAUCUAUCUAUUGUAGCUUACCUAUGUUGUACAGCAUACUUAAACGAUAACACCAUCUCCAAUGUUAAAAGUAGCCAUUAUAUAAGAUUCUUAUGGAAACUAUAUUCGAAAUAGAUUUAUAAUCAUACAUAGGAAAUGAAAAACCUUGCUGCACUUGCUCGCCUAUUUUACUCUGAGCAAGAACAUCAUCUUUUUCAUUUGCAGCAUUAACAUCAAACCAAGGGAUGGAGACCCAGACAUUUCAUCAAGAAAGGCAUAAAUCUACUAAAGUUGAAGCUUUGACAAAAAAUUCAGUCGAAAGUCAAUGUCUGACCACAAGAAAGGGCACAACAACAUCAUUCUAGAAGAGAUGAAGCAAUAUUCUCAAAGCUAACGCUCUCAAAUACACCACACCAGAAUUUCAUAUCUCCUCGUCAAUUUUAAAAACUAAAGAUAAUUAGGAUUUAACAUUAGUUUGUUAUACAUUAGUUUCAUAAUUUACAAGCCAAUGAAGAUGAAGAUUAUGCCAAUGAAUUCAAAUUAUAUCAUACAUUCUCUGGAUGUUUCCAAAAAUUUACAAGUCGAUCCCACAUAUUUCAUAAUUCUAAGACUGGAAAGUUUCAUUAGUUAGAAAUUCAUUAUCUUCAAGUGGAAGAUGAAGAAAAACAUUAUGCAAGUGAUUCAUAUUAUAUCAUACAUUCUCCGAAUGCAACUAAAAUCAACAAGUUCAUGCCCACAAAUUUGAUAACAUUAUGAUUGGAAAGUUUCACAGAGACUUGAGAAAGGCAUUAUGAUUGAUUUGAGUUACUUUGUGAUCAAGCUACUAAUAUAACAUUCAAUUCAAGGAGGGAAUAAGUUGGGAAGAAAUAGUAGUAAAAAUUUGUUACUACAUAAUUCUCCUCAACUUUGAGAUAAAUACAAAUGUGAAAAUGUAUACGAUCUAAUAUUACAGAUAUGAAAAUGCAAAUGAUCACACAUAUUACUUGCAACUUAGCAAGCUUUAACUAAGAGGAGCAAUCAAACUACUUAUCAAUUGUCGUAGACAUUCCGUAAUCUAAAAUGGAAAUAUAAUGCAAGAAAAAGAACAUACAGAUACUUGGCAGAAGUUCAUUAAGAACUCCAACCAUAUUCGAGUCAUGAGUUUGCUUUUGAUAUCUUGUUAGCUGGGGUUUUCUCCUGUCUAUUGACGUAUGCUGAGGGAAAUGACACAACUUAAAAGUAAUUUUUAACUCCCAAGUCUAAGAGUGUCUUGUUGUAUUAUAACUCGGUGAGCCCGAUGUCGAUCCACAGAGAAAAGAUUUAAUUAGUUUACUUUAUUUUAACUAAAAAUUGAAAUUAAAACUUAAAUAUAAACAACUUAAUUUAAAUGAAACUAUGAAAUUAAACUAGUUAUGAUUAUGGAUCCACUCUUAGAAGUAAAUAAAACUUAAUAAAUUCUUUUUGCCCUUUUUUUACAUUUAUUGCCCAAAAGAUUAAUUAUAUAAAUUAUUAUUAUUUUCCCUUUAAUUUUAUGAUGGAUUAAGUAUUUAUUGUGCCAAAAUUUAAUUUGUCUACAAUAAGUCAAAAUACCAUUUUACCAUACCUUAUAUUAAGAUAUUAAGAAUUUAUUGUGCCAAAUUCAUUUGUUUGUCUACAAUAAAUCAAAAUUUCAAAAUAUAAAAUAUGUAUAAAAUUAAAUAGAAAAUAAUUUAAUUUAUAAAAUUAAAAAUAGAAUUUGCUUAAAUCAUAUUUAUUUCCUAAGAGUUUCACCUUCCCCUAACUAAUAUUAUUUAGUUAAGCAUAAUUAAAAUAAAAAGAAGUAGUAAAAUUGAAUUACUUAUAAUUAAAAGAAAUAAAAACAACUAAAAUUGGAAAUAAAAAUAAUUUUAUUUAUAAAAAUAAUUAUACAAAAGAUUAAAAACACACCUGGAAAUCAAGAUUAUAAGGAGAUGGAGAGAAUUUGAGAAGAAAAGAGUUGUAGAGAGAUGAUUAAAAACAUAAAAAUGAGGCUCUAUUUAUAGAAAAAUAAAUUCAUAAUCCAGUGCUUUGCGGUCCAUCAUAAGCUUCAUGCAUGUGCUCCUCACAACCUUUAGAUCAAGAUCCAAUGGCUGGUCAAACUUCAAAAGUCAACAUCACACGUGGCAUCGUUUGACUCGUUCGAUUUGCCCAAAGAACGGUUGAGAUUUGGAGGGUUAAUGGGUGGAUCAGGUCGACCCGAAUACAAAGAUUCGGAUCCUCCAACUUGCUUCACCAACCAUUGCCACGUGGCACACUCAUGGCCAUUGAAUCAUGAACGGUUGAGAUUUAGUCAAAAUUGCCAGCUAUCCCAUGCACUCAUACCUAUUGUAAGCUCAUUUCAUCAUCCAAUCAGUGCUUGGUCAACAGGAAAAGUCAACUUUUUUUUACACAAGCCCAAUUUUAAGCCGAUCUUGACUGAUUUUAAGGUUUUCGGACCUCCGGAAUCCAAAUUUGACCUUCGUUUAUCUGUUUGGAGCCUCGAAUUACGUGAAAUCAAUAUUUUUCCUAAUAAACACAUAAAAAUACAUAAAAUUAAAUAUAUUUAAAACAUAAUUAAUAAUUCCUAAUAUAUUACAUAAACAAAAAUAUAAAUUAUAACAUAAGCAUAAAAUAACAUAUUAUCGCUUGAUAAUUAAACAAUUUUUAAUACUAAUCACACCCCCCAACCAGCUUAUUGCUAGCCCUCUAGCAAUUAAAGCGUUAUAUUAAAUUAAGAUUUAUAAAAUUCACAUGCAAGUUAAUAAUUGUUCAUCUAUCUUCUAAAUUACCAAAUAAAUGAACUCUCCCAAAUUUCUUUACCAUAUUGAUGUUCCUUCAUUAUCCAGAAUAUCAUCAAACCUUCUUUUGUGCUCCAGUAAUUAACACAAUACUUAUGGGGCUUCAUUAAAAGAAAAACAACAUUUUCGUUACAAAAUUCAUUAGAAAUUAUAUCUUUAGGCAAUAGAUUAUUCACACACACACACACACACACACACACAUAUAUAUAUAUAUAUAUUUUAAAUAUUACAUUUCUAACCCGUGUAGCAAGCUUUAGGUCAGUGACUCCCAAACCAGUUGACCUUAGGGCACUAGGUGUUGAAACACCCCUACGGACUUAAUUACUCGGGUUUCUAGAUAUAACAAAAUUAAAAACAUUUUUUUUUCUUUUUUUUCUUUUUGUUUUUGUUUUUUUUUUUUUUUGCAAUAUACACUUUCUACUACCUUAGAUACUAUUCCUAAUAAAUCAAAAGAACUAAAUGCUGUAAAAUUUUAACUUACAACCCACUAGUAUGUAUCAUAAUGUGUGUGUGAAGAAUGAUUCAACAAUACCUGUUAAAUGAGUAAACAAUUAAAUAACUUAAUAACCAAGUGGAGAGUUCACAAAUUCGGGUAAUUCAAAGAAAAGGGAACAAAAACAAUUUACUAUGAAUCUCAAAAUCAAAAUAUAAUACAACAAGACUAUUAGGAUGCGUCUCAAAAGUCGUGACUCUUUACACGGCCAUCCUAGACAAAAACAAAAAUGUUUUUUUUUAAGAAAGAAAAGAAAAAAGAAAAGAGAAAAACAACACACAUAUUUAAAAACAUACGUCAAUUAUCCCCACUCCACAACCUAAUCUAAACAUUAUCUUAACAUUUUAUAAUUUUACAAAUAUGCAAAAAAUAAUAAUAAUAAUAAUAAAAGAGAAUAAUAAAAGAAAAAGAAGAGGAGAUCUCACCUGAACUUGAUGCAGAAGCUUAAAAGCGGAUAACAAAGAUGAAGAAAAAGUCAAUUUUUUUUUUUUAACAACACCCUUAAGACUAAGAAGAUGCGUUUCUAGAGGUACUGCAUUCUCUAUAUCCUGUCAUCUUCGACUCAAAUUUGUCCUAAGUUAGUCUUUACAGAAAAAAAAAAUUUUGUUUUUUUGUUUUUUUUUUUUGUAAACACAUCACCAGGACUAAGACAUUCCACAAUUAUUAACUAUUCCCUCCCCCUAACCUGAAAAAGACAUUGUCCUCAAUGUUUUAAAAGGAAAGAGAAAGAGUUUAGAAGACAACACAUGAACACUACAACAGAAAAUAUUUAGAGACGGAGAGUUAAAUCUAAAUCGCACUUCUUAUUACUGCUACUGUUACCGCUACCAUCAUUAGUUGACCAAUUCAGUGUAAAAGUUUUUGGAUUUGGCUCUGGUGUAUAAGCUUGUAAAAGAUCAAGUAACUCAUUAGUAGUAGAAGCAGAAAUAAAGAGUUUUUUUUAUAGAAUAUGGAACAAAAUGAUUCUUUAUUGCAUGGUUAAUAAAAGUUAGCAAGCCGUCAUAAAAAUUAUUAACAUUUAACAAACCGAUGGGUUUUUUAUGAAUGUUCAAGUGGGCCCAGGAUGCAAAUGUAAUUAGUGCCUCAAAAGUUGCAAGAUCUCCUGGCAAGAAAAUAAAAGCAUCAGCAUGAUUCAUCAUUUCAGAUAUUCUGUCUUGCAUACUUGAUACCACUAAUUCUUCUCCAAUUGGUGGGCCAAACAACUUCUGAGACAAGUCUUGAUAACCCUCGUUCACCUCCUCCAUAUGCAAGAUGCAGUUUCCUCUCUGCUAUGACACGACCAAGAUCUACAGCUGCCUGAACGAACUCUUUGUACUUUCCAUAGUAAAACCCAGAAAAGCACACAAAUGUUUUUGAAUUGUUUACUCGAAGAUGCUGCCAUUGGACUAAUUUUCAAAAACAAGUUGUGAGUGUUUGAAAAACGAGCUCAUAUUUAAAGAUCUUGGUGACAUAAAUAAUGAGAAACAGCUGUAAAUGGGUUGGCAUAUUUGUCAAAUGAAGAGUAAAGCUCGUGGCUCAAUAAUUCAAAAAUAAACAGUAAAAAGAAAAUAAUGAUUAGAAAAAGCAAACAGUAAAAGAAAACAAUAUUUAUUAAAUACAAAAUCACAUCACUAAAUGCAAUAAUACAAAUGAUAAAAUAACAGUGAAGUGAAAGGAUAUUUACUGGUAGUUGUGAUUGCGGCUCACAUCUUCCUCUGGUUUUACGUCCAGUAACGGCUUGAAUGCCCUCUAUGGGUCGAGGAUCGGCUUGCCAUCCAGUUUUCUUAUAAACUGGCAAACAUGGUCUUUUUGAGUCAGAUUCCCAAGACUAAACUGUGUACUUUAUUUUUGGAAUACUAUCCACAAAUUAUAAAUCUCAUGUUGCACAAAUUCACUUCAAUGCGUCUCAAGAGAUCGUAAGAUAUCAUCCAAUGAUUCUUUACUCAUGCCAUCUUUAACGAAUUUAAUUUUAUCUUUACGAGUAUCAGAAACCAUUCCUAAAGAUUUACAAUCUGGUCGUUUGCAACCAAGUCUUACACAGUUAUGACAUUUUGAGCCAAGUCGUUUAGCUCUCCUUUUCUUAGCAAACGUACUUUUACCAAAACCAGGCAUGUAAGAAACAAAUGGAUCAGAAAACUCACCUGCUAAUCAGACCUUUGCUUCAAUUAACCAACGAAUGUCAGAAGGAAUGCCAUUGAUCAUUAACAAACGCAGUCGUUCACAACGAGCUUUGUAAAUUUUCCUGAGGGCAUUCUGAGGGAGAGAGGGAAAAUGCUUAUUGAGUUUAUGUUGUAUUUCUUCCAUGUUUGAUUUUGGGGUUUCAGUUAUUGUGGGAAACUGAAGAUACCGACUUAAGAAGUCACGGAGUACCGUUAUCCGCCAUUUAUACGGGAAAAUAAAUCAAAACACACCAAAAUCAAAUCUGCAAAAUCAAAUCAAACGUGAAAGCGAGCAAAAAGAAACACACAAUAUAAAAGGAAAAUGAACUUACAUUCGUCCUCUCAUUGAGUUAACCUCAAGCUCUAAUUGAAAUUCAUAUAUGCCACUCUCUACUGUUCUGAGUUGUCCCUCUAAAUCCUCAACAUAAGACACGAAUUCUGGUGGUUGCAGAUCCCAAAGUGGAUGUGAUUUACAGCUUUGUAUCAGGCCUCUUAAGUGAAAUUUCACACGCAGAAAUCUUUUUAGAUGUGCGAACAUGAAUUUUCUCAUUGAGGUGCUCAUGAUGUAAAAUGAAAAUUGAUGAAAGAAUGUACAACUGUCAAACAAACACGCUUACACAAGAAAAACAAUGUUAAAAAAAAUAUGUACAGUGCAUCAAUCUAGAGAAAAAAAAAUCAAACAAUGAAAUGGUAAAAUAAUAGUAAAACAAAAAUAAAUAAAUAAAUCAUUAAAGACUUAAUCAAGAACUGGUAGGUCACCCAAAUUAAUUUCGGUGUCCUCGUCACGUGGGUGAUGUUCCAGAUAUGGUUUUAAUCUUUGACCAUUAACUUUAAAUGUGACACCAUUCUUUGAAUUCUCAAUUUCUAUGGCCCCAUAUGAAUAUACAUUUUUUACAACAAAUGGGCCACUCCAUUUUGACUUUAACUUCCCUGAAAAUAAAUGAAGACGAGAAUUAUAAAGCAACACUUUUUGACCAAUCUCAAAUGUUUUUCGAAAAAUUCUUUUAUCAUGAAAUGCUUUUGUUCUUGCCUUAAUAAUUCUUGAAUUUUCAUAUGCAUCAUUCCUUAAUUCCUCAAGUUCAUUCAAUUGCAAUUUUCACACAUUAUCAGCAUCAUCUAAAUUUGAAUUAAAAGCUUUAAUAGCCCAAAGUGAUUUAUGUUCAAGUUCAACAGGUAAAUGACAAGGUUUACCAUAAACUAACCGAUAAAGUGACAUUCCUAAUGACGUUUUAAAUGCAAUAUGAUAGGCCCAAAGUGCAUCAUUAAGUCUAAGCGACCAAUCUUUUCGGUUUGGGUCAACCGUUUUUUUCCAAAAUUUAUUUUAUCUCCCUAUUUGCUAAUUCAACUUGACCAUUUGUUUGAGGAUGAUAAGGGGUAGCAAUUUUAUGUGUAAUUCCAUAUUUCUUCAUUAAAGACUCAAAUGACUUAUUACAAAAAUGCUUACCUCCAUCACUGAUAAUGGCUCGAGGGAUUCCAAAUCGACUUAAAAUAUUUUCUCUUAAAAAUUUAACCACAGUUUUACUAUCAUUAUUUCGACAGGAAAUUGCUUCAAUCCAUUUUGAGACAUAAUCAACUGCAACUAAUAUAUACACAAAUCCAAAAGAUGAUGAAAAUGGACCCAUGAAAUCAAUUCCCCAACAGUCAAAUAUUUCAAUUUCAAGUAUGGGAUUUAAGGGCAUCAUGUUUCUUUUUGUAAUUGAUCCCAAUUUUUGACAUUUUUCACAACUUUUGCAAAAUUCAUAUGUGUCUUUGAACAUGGUAGGCCAAUAAAAUCCACACUGUAAAAUUUUAGCAGUAGUUUUUCUUGAAGAAAAGUGACCACCACAUGCUUCAGAAUGACAAAAAUUAAUGACACUACUUACCUCAUUAUCAGGAAUACGUCGCCGAAAAAUUUGAUCUGGGCAAUAUUUGAACAAAUAAGGGUCAUCCCAAUAAAAUUUCUUUACUUCAACAAAAAAUUUCUUUUUCUCUUGAGCAUUCCAUUGCAAAGGCAUUAUACCUGUAACAAGGAAAUUAACAAUGUUAGCAUACCAAGGCAUUGAAGUAACAGAAAAUAAAAAUUCAUCAGGGAAAGAAUCAUUUAUGGGUGUUAUAUCAUUGCAGAAUUCGGAUGUGAGUCUUGAUAAAUGAUCAGCAACAACAUUUUCAGCACCCUUUUUAUCUUUGAUGGUAAGGUCAAAUUCUUGUAGUAACAACAUCCAACGAAUUAGUCUUGGUUUGACAUCCUGUUUACUCAUCAAAUAUCUCACAGCAGCAUGGUCAGUAAACACAACAGAUUUAGAGCCAAGCAAAUAUGAACGGAAUUUGUUUAAUGCAAAUACCACAGCAAGUAAUUCUUUUUCAGUUGUAGAAUAAUUCAUUUGAGCACUAUUCAAAGUCUUACUCGCAUAAUAAAUCACAAAAGGCUUACCAUCCCUUCUUUGUCCUAAAACAAUACCAACAGCAAAAUCACUUGCAUCACACAUUAAUUCAAAUAACAAAGACCAAUAAGGAGAUUGCAUAAUAGGUGCAGAUGUUAAAAGACAAAUUAUUUUUUUAAAAGAUUUUUGGCAAUCAUCAUUCCAUUCAAACGGUGCAUCUUUUAAUAAGAGGUUACAAAGUGGUUUAGAUAUGGCACUAAAGUUUUUUAUAAACCUCUUAUAAAAUCCUGCAUGUCCUAAAAAGGAUCGCACAUCUCUAACUGUUUUUGGUUGUGGCAAUUUAGAUAUGACUUCGAUUUUUGCUUUAUCAACUUCAAUUCCUUUAAUAGAAACAACAUGACCCAAAAUAAUUCCAGAAGUAACCAUGUAGUGACAUUUUUCCCAAUUCAACACGAGGUCUUUUUCAACACAUCUUUUUAAAACUUUCUCCAAAUUAUCAAGGCAAUCAUCAAAAGAAUUCCCAAACACAGCCAAAUCAUCCAUAAAGACCUCUAAACAAUGUUCAACCAUAUCACAAAAAAUGCUUAACAUACAUUUUUGAAAUGUUGCAGGAGCAUUACAAAGCCCGAAUGGCAUUCUUUUAAAUGCAAAUGUUCCAAAAGGACAUGUAAAUGUGGUCUUUUCUUGGUCCUCAAGUGCUAUAGGAAUUUGAUAAUAGCCUGAAUAUCAAUCUAAAAAACAGUAGUAGGGAUGUCCUGCUACUCUUUCUAAUAUUUGGUCAAGGAAUGGUAAUGGAAAAUGAUCUUUUCUAGUGGCUUCAUUUAAUUUUCUAUAAUCAAUGCACAUGCGCCAACUAGAUGUAAUUCGCGUUGGAAUUAAUUCACCUUUUUUCAUUUUUAACAACAAUGAUUCCAGAUUUUUUAGGCACUACUUGUGUAGGACUUACACACUUACUAUAAAAAAUAGGGUAGAUAAUUCCCACAUCAAGCAAUUUAAGGACUUCUGUUUUGACAACCUCUUUCAUGUGUGGGUUUAAUCUUCUUUGAGGUUGUUCACAUGUUUUAGCAUUUUCUUCCAAAUUAAUUCUAUGUGUGCAAAUUAAGGGAUUAAUACCUUUAAUAUCAUUUAAAGUCCAUCCAAUUGCAUUUUUAUACUUUUUAAGAACAGGUAGUAACUUACCUUCUUAGUCGCUUGUUAAAAUAGAAGAAAUCACAACAGGAUAAGUUUGUUCUUCUCUAAGAAAAGUAUAUUUCAAUCCUUCAGGCAAAGGUUUCAAUUCCAUUUUAGGUGCUUCUUGUUGUUCUGUCUUUUCAAUACUUCCAAGCUCCUCAAAUUUUGGCUCGUCAUCAUAAUUUUGUGAAGUCUGCACAGAAUCAAGCAACGAAUUUAUAUUAGAAAUAUUUAGUUCAAGUUGCUUAUUUGACUCAAUUGAAUUAACUAAAUAAACAUUUGAGAGUUUAGAAAAAUCCCCUUUUUGAAUAUUUUUCUUGAUACAAGAUUCAAACAAUUCAUUUUGUUCAUCAGUAUCAUCUUCAUUCUCAUUUUCUUUAUUAGGUUGCCUGCACAUGUUGAAAACAUUUAAUUCCAAAGUCAUAUUCCCAAAAGAUAAAUUCAUUAAACCAUUCCUACAAUUAAUCAAAGCAUUAGUAGUUGCUAAAAAUGGUCGACCUAAAAUUACAGGAAUUGGUUUGUAAUUAUUCACAACAGGUUCAGUUUCCAAGACAAUAAAAUCUACAGGAUAGAUGAAUUUAUCAACUUGUACUAAAACAUCUUCCACUAUUCCUUUUGGUACUUUAACUGAUCUAUCGGCAAGCAAAAGUGUAGUUGAAGUUGAUUUUAACUCACCAAGAUUAAGUUGAAGAUAAACUGAAUAAGGAAGCAAAUUAACACUAGCUCCAAGAUCUAGUAAAGCAUGCUCAAUUUUGUGAUUACCAAUAAUACAAGAAAUGGUAGGACAACCAGGAUCUUUAUAUUUCAACUUAUUAUUAGUAGACAGAAUUGUACUUACCUGUUCGGCCAUGAAAGUACUCUUUCUUACCUUCAAUUUCCUCUUAACAGUGCACAAGUCCUUUAAAAAUUUGGCAUAUGAAGGUACCUGCUUGAUUGCAUCUAAUAGAAGAAUGUUAACUUUCACUUGCUUAAAGAUUUCAUAAAUUUCAGAAGAGUGGUUUAUUCAAUGCAUGCGGAAAUGGUGGUUCAGGUGGAACACUAGUUAUUUCUUCACUAGGUGUAAGUUCAUUUAGUCCUUCCUUACCCUUUGAAUUUUCAUUAUUUUCAUAAGGUUCAGGCAUAGGUCUAUCAACAACCUUACCACUACGAAGAGUUAUAACUGACUUGACUUGGUCUGUGGGUGGAUUUUGUUGAAUUUUAGGAUUUGGUUGUGGUUGAGCUGGAAAUUUUCCUUUUUCUUGAAUGGUGAGUGCAUAAGCAAUUUUAGCAAGAGUAUCUUUCAAAUCAGAAAAAGUUUGUGCAUUUUGAUUGUUAAUAACAUCUUGCUUUCUGAUGAAUGAAUGCAUUGUGCCUUCCAGAUUUUUCCAGGGUGGUGGAACAUAUGGUGCAUAAGGCUGAGGAUUUUGAAAAUUUUGUGGAGGUGGUGCUUGUGAAGAUUGUGCAUUAUUAUUAUUCCUCCAACUGAAAUUCGGAUGAUUUCUCCAACCAGGAUUAUAAGUCUAUGAAUAUGAGUUUGGUUUAUUGAAAGUGUUAAUGACAUUAGCUUGAUCAUUUAGACAUUCUUUAAGUGUAGGCAAAGUGGGACACUCUUGAGUGAAAUGAUCAUUCGAACUACAUAUGUUACAUGCAAUUUCUUGAACAUAUUUUACUUGAUCACUCUUUUUAUGCUCCAAAGCUUCAACUUUCCUAACUAGGGAUGCAAAUUUUGCUUGUAAAUCAUGAUCUUCCCUAAGGUUAUAGAUUCCUCCACUAGAUGGAGAUGAUUGUUGCUUAUUUGUCAAUUCAAAAAUUCCAACAGUAUCCCAAUGUUGUGUAUUUUCAGCUAAUUGGUCAAGGUAAUCUAGUGCAUCUUCAGGAUUUUUAUCCCUAAAUUCACCAUUACACAUCAUUUCAACAACCGGUCUACUUUGGGGUAUUAAGCCCUAGUAGAAGUAAGUGACCAAUCGCCAAGUUUCAAAACCAUGAUGUGGGCAUAUGUUAAGCAACUCUUUAAACCUAUCCCAACAUUGGUAUGAUGUUUCUCCAUUUUUUUGAGUGAAAGAAGUGAUUUGCCUUUUAAAAGAAUUUGUUCUAUGAGGUGGAAAUAAUUUUUUCAAAAACUGUUCUUACAUGUUAUUCCAAGUUCUUACUGAUCCAGAUCUAAGGUUUUGUAGCCAAGUUUUUAUCUUUUAAUGAAAAAGGAAAAAGCUUUAAUCUAAUUAUGUUCAUGCUACAAUUUUGGUCCGUGUAUGUAUUACAAACUUCCUCAAAAUCUCUUAGAUGCAAGUACGGAUUCUCAGAUUCUAAACCAUGAAAUGUUGGUAAAAGUUGGAUAAUACCUGGUUUAAAGUUGAAUCGAGAUGCUUCUGGAGGAAAUACUAUACACGACGGUGCUCCAGUCCUGGUUGGAUUCAUGUAGUCUCUCAGAGUUCUUGGUUGAUUUUGAUCAUGCCCAUGUUGGGAUUGGUUGUCUCCCUGAUCAAUUUGAGGGUUAAGUUCGCCCAAAACGUUUUCGUCUUGAUUCUCAUCCAUGAUUGGUGGUGGAGAUUGAGAUCUACGAAUUAACCUGCCACUUGAAGAUCGAGACCAACGUCUCAUGCAAUGGUUAUAUUAUAAAGAUAAUAUUUACACAAAUUGAUAACAAAAUAAAAUUAAAAAAAUUAAAUAUGCAAAUAAUAUAAGUGUACGAAAGAAAAUUAAAUAACAAUUUUGGUGGUUGAACCCACCAAUUAACAAUAAAUUAAGUAUAAAAUAAAUGCAAAAGAAAGAAAAAGAAAAAAAAAUGGUGGUUGAACCCACAAGUUAAAAAAAAUAAAGCAAAAAAAAUACAAAAUUAAAUAAAUACUGAAAAUUAAAUAACUGAAAAUAAAAAUUAAGAGUUAGUAGUUAGUUUGGUGGUUAAACCCACCAAUAAAGCAAAAAUAAAUAAAUAAAUACGAAAUAAAAUAAAUGUAGAAAAUUAAAUAACUGAAAUUAAAAAAAGUUAGGAGUUAGCAGUUAGUAAUUAAGAGUUAGUAAUUAGAGUUAGUAAUUAAAGUUAGUUUGGUCCAAAUUAAGUCCAAAAUAAGUCCAAAUAUGUCCAAAGUAUGUCCAAGUCUUGAUUAUUUUGAGGAAUUUCGUCUAGGGAUUCUAUUGCAAAUUAUUUUUAAUUUUAUGGUCAAACUAUAAUUUUUAGAAGUUUAGAAUUGAGCAAUUUGGGAUGAAAGUGAAAUGAUUGAAAGAUGUUGGGGUGAGAAUGUAAUUACCAGAAGAUUGGGCUAGAAACGGAAAUUGUUGGGGUGAAACGAGAAUUAUGAAAGAUAUGGGGACAAAAGAGAAUUUAAGAAAAGGAAAGGGGGCAAACGACAUUUUACAUAUAAGAGAAAAAUAAAAAACGGAAAAACAAACCAAAUAAAAAAAACUUUUCCCCGGCAAUGGUACCAAAAACUUGACACAACUUAAAAGUAAUUUUUAACUCCCAAGUAUAAGAGUAUCUUAUUGUAUUAUAACUCGAUGAGCCCGAUGUCGAUCUACAGAGAAAAGAUUUAAUUAGUUUCCUUUAUUUUAACUAAAAAUUGAAAUUAAAACUUAAAUAUAAACAACUUAAUUUAAAUGAAACUAUAAAAUUAAACUAGUUAGGGUUAUGGAUCCACUCUUAGAAAUAAAUAAAACUUAAUAAAUUCUUUUUGCCCUUUUUUUACAUUUAUUGCCCAAAAGAUUAAUUAUAUAAAUUAUUAUUAUUUUCCCUUUAAUUUUAUGAUGGAUUAAGUAUUUAUUGUGCCAAAAUUUAAUUUGUCUACAAUAAGUCAAAAUACCAUUUUACCAUACCUUAUAUUAAGAUAUUAAGAAUUUAUUGUGCCAAAUUCAUUUAUUUGUCUACAAUAAAUCAAAAUUUCAAAAUAUAAAAUUAAAUAGAAAAUAAUUUAAUUUAUAAAAUUAAAAAUAGAAUUUGCUUAAAUCAUAUUUAUUUCCUAAGAGUUUCACCUUCCCCUAACUAAUAUUAUUUAGUUAAGCAUAAUUAAAAUAAAAAGAAGUAGUAAAAUUGAAUUACUUAUAAUUAAAAGAAACAAAAACAACUAAAAUUGGAAAUAAAACUAAUUUUAUUUAUAAAAAUAAUUAUAAAAAAUAUUAAAAACACACAUGAAAAUCAAGAUUAUAAGGAGAUGGAGAGAAUUUGAGAAGAAAAGAGUUGUAGAGAGAUGAUUAAAAACAUAAAAAUGAGGCUUUAUUUGUAGAAAAAUAAAUUCAUAAUUCAGUGCUUUGCGGUCCAUCAUAAGCUUCAUGCAUGUGCUCCUCACAACCUUUAGAUCAAGAUCCAAUGGCUGGUCAAACUUCAAAAGUCAACAUCACACGUGGCAUCGUUUGACUCGUCCGAUUUGCCCAAAGAACGGUUGAGAUUUGGCGGGUUAAUAGGUGGAUUGGGUCGACCCGAAUACAAAGAUUCGGAUCCUCCAACUUGCUUCACCAACCAUUGCCACGUGGCACAAUCAUGGCCAUUGAAUCAUGAACGGUUGAGAUUUAGUCAAAAUUGCCAGCUAUCCCAUGCACUCAUAUCUAUUGUAAGCUCAUUUCAUCAUCCAAUCAGUGCUCGGUCAACAGAAAAAGUCAACUUUUUUUACACAAGCUCAAUUUUAAGCCGAUCUUGACUGAUCUUAAGGUUUUUGGACCUCCGGAGUCCAAAUUUGACCUCCGUUUAUCUGUUUGGAGCCUCGAAUUACGUGAAAUCAAUAUUUUUUCUAACAAACACAUAAAAAUACACAAAAUUAAAUAUAUUUAAAACAUAAUUAAUAAUUCUUAAUAUAUUACAUAAACAAAAAUAUAAAUUAUAAUAUAAGCAUAAAAUAACAUAUUAAACAAAAAUAUAAAUUAUAAUAUAAGCAUAAAAUAACAUAUUAUCACUUGAUAAUUAAACAAUUUUUAAUACUAAUCAGGAAACCAACCAGCCUUGCCCUUGCAUUCACCUUUCGACCAUCCAGUAGGAGCCACCUUGAGAAGUUAUAGCCAAAAAAGGUGAGUUAAACAGAAGUUGACCAUUCAAAGACUUGAGGUGAAAUAAUUAAAGCAAAAUAGGCUAAUUCUUUUACUUGAAAAGAGUGAAUUAGUUGUGAUUAUUGAAAUUGGAUUAACCAUGGAAGUAUAACAAGAUAUAAAUUCAUGUGAAAUUCUUAAAUGGAAAUAUAAGAUUAGAGCUCCUCAAUUUGCUUUUAAUUCAGCUAGACAACUAAGAGUGAUUUAUAGGUGAAAGUAGUUUGUAUAAGCAUAAAUUUAAUUUUUAGCAGUUCAGUAAGAGUUAAAUCCUUUUGAAUCAUCAAAAUAUCCAGAUUUAUUUCACCCUUUUGAACAGAGGAUAUAGCAAUUUCACUAGGAUUUAUUGUCAAAGUAGGUAAUGCACAGCAAAGAUUUUUUUAAAAACAAAUAACCUAUAAAAAGUACACACAUAUAACGUAUUAACAAAAUUACUUCAUUCUACAACAAUCCGUUUAUAUUAUAGUAAUUGGUUUAGUCGGCAACAAGCACUAUAAUCCCUUAAAUAAAUUUUUUUAUGUAAUUUUCUAUAAAUUUCAAAAAUCAAUUAAACUGGAGCUAAGACCAUUUCUAGUUUUCAGAUAAAAUAACCAAUCAAACAUUCAAAUUAACAGUUUAGGGUAAACUGCGUCAUUUAGAACUGAGCUAGCAGCCUUAUUAUAUUCUGAUUUGCACUUCAAUGUAAAAGGGAAUAUGUGACAGGAAGAAAGAAAACCAAUCAUCGUUUGUUAACUGAGCUAUCAUUCUUGUAUUUAUAAGCAAAUAUCAAGACUUUAGAUCACCAGCUACAUCAUGAGUGGCUACACAACUUUGCAGUGGUUUGUCUUUUUUUGGCAUGCCUAACUCAACUUCGACAUUGUUGAGAUAUUGGCAGUAGAGACACAUGAUACUUCUAGCUAUGCAUUCUAGCUAGCUCAUCCUGCAACGUUCUCUUUUUAAUUCAUUGGUGUUUGCUAAACCUCAUGCUUAGAAGUCUUGUUCUCCUAAACAAAGUUUCCCUAAGAAUGACUCCUUCAGCACCACAUUUUAACACUUUUUAGAGCAAUUUUAUUGGGGGAAAAGAAUUUUCAAGGUGUUAACUACUAAAUUUUAAAAGAUAAUUACGAUUUUGACCUACAAUCAUAUGACAAUUUAUCUGGGAUGAAAGGAUACAGACAGACAUAUUCCACUUUCAAGACUAAUCACUACUUCUCUAGGUGUUGUGCUAUAUUACAAAUACUUGACCAGAGGGUAGUGAAAAUAGAAAAGAACUUUAUUGCUCUACAAUUAAACUAAGAAUGCAAUGUGUCAAGCAAAAGACUGUGCAACAUCAAAUUGAUUGAUAAGUUUCAAAUUCAGCAAAUUAACAACUUUCAUAGGAGAAUACAACAAAUUUCUUUUAAAAAAAUAAAAAAUUAAGUCUUAAUUAAAAGAUAACAUUCCAUUUUGUUUAUAUCUCUUCUAUGUUAUUUCUUAAGAUUUUUCAAGAGGAGGACAAUAAAGGGACUUUCAACCAUGCAAGAGAGCAUAAGCCUUACUUUCGCUAUAAAGUAGGCAUCAUUAUGAUUAAUAUGCGUUUGUAAAUCAGCUCUAUUUGAAUCAGCAUUCUGAUGGCCACGUAAGGCAUUUACAUCCAUUUCCAAAGUCACAUGUUGCGUGGAGGACUCAUUUGAUUCCUCCUCUAGGAUCAUCUAAUUUGAGUAGCAAGGGUUGGAAGAGAAUACAAAGUCACAAUUAUUCUUUUGCAUAAGAGAGACGAAAAUGAUAAAGGCAAUAUUAUCAGUAGUCAACAAGAAGAAAAUGCUUCAAGGGAUAGAUAGAUGCAGACAAGUGAGUCAAAAUGCUUAGUCCCAAGCCUCAGGAUACAAAUUCUCUACAACAGCAAUAACGUGUUGAUGAUAUGUUUUCCGAGCAUCUACCUGCAAAGGCCCAAGACCAGGAAAGUAAAGAAAGAAAUACACUUGACAUAAAUCUUAACAAGAAGCAUAAUUUAAGACAUAACAAAACCCAGUCAUUGUUUAGAACUACAUUUGUUAUUGUAACAUUUCAAACAAACGUUCACUUAAUUCAACACUGUUGGAAGGAUAGGCUUUCAGAAGUAAAAGAAAGCUACUCGAACCAAAGUGAUUGUCCUUGUAUUAAUCAAGGGAUGUAAACAUCUUACAUUUGCAGGAUGAGUUUUAAUCACUUAUUUAAUAACACAUACCCUUGAUUUAUUAGGGUUGCAGUAAAGUUAGAAAAUAUUGAUCAAAUUCUUCCAUUGAAACAAACUUAGUAAACAAAGCUAAGUGAGCAGCUGUUUGACUUUCAAGCAAACAGCUAAACCAGAUAUUAAAAUUCAAAUAAAAUCAUUAAUAGACUAAUAACAGGCCAUCUUGCAUAAAAAAAUUAAGUUUAAUUUGUGAAUUUUUUUCCUAUAAACAUGUUAGGUCCUACUAUAUUGAAAUGUUAAAAGCACUAAACAAUUAUUCAAUAAAUUAUGCAAACACUAAAAUAGAGACUUAUUAAUUAAAAGAUUUUUGGUUAGUAACCGAGAAUGUCGGAGAGCUCCGAUAACCAAGAACUUCAAGACAACCCUACCCUGCUGAAAGUGCCUCCACCGCCGCUAAAUGAAGAUCAGUCCACUAAAAAGGCGCGUUUUCGCAGUCAUGGUACAGCUGAAGAUAAUCCAACGCCGCUAUCCUUCAAGGAAGCGCUUGUUCCCUCUAACCAACAUAGGAACUUUGAUUCCGCUGAGAUGGAUGAAGACUGGGACUUUGAACCUGGCGAUGUGAUGGUUGGAGAAGAUGACACCAUGCCAACUAUUGUGUUCUCGAAAAGAGUCCAUGAUAAACUGACUAAACCUUGGCAAAAUUCUGUGGUAGUGAAGUUAUUGGGGAGAAACAUUGGGUAUAAGGUUUUAUGUAACCGUCUAAAGGUAAUGUGGCCUAUGAUUCAUGAUUUAUCUGUGAUUGACCUCGAGAACAAUUAUUAUUUAGUUCGUCUCCACUCAACAGAGGAUGCAGUCUAUGCUUUAACAGAGGGGCCAUGGGUUAUCUUUGGGCACUAUUUAACAGUGCAACCUUGGACUCCACUUUUCGACAGCACCGUUACUGAUAUUGCCUCAGCAACUGUUUGGAUCCGCUUACCUGGCAUGGCUUUUCAUUUAUACGACAAGCGUGUUCUGCGGGAAGUUGGACAACUUGUGGGCACAAUUAUUAAAAUUGAUUAUCAUACCGAAUCAAGGGAGAGGGGAAAGUUUGCGAGGAUUGCUGUCCGUGUUUCUCUUUCUCAGCCUUUGGUGUCUCAAUUUAAUCUGGACGGAAAAAUUCAGAAGGUUGAAUACGAAGGGCUGCCAAUUAUAUGUUACCAGUGUGGUAAAUAUGGCCACACCAGCAGUACUUGUCCUGAGAAACAAGCUGCGAAUGGGGCUAGGGCCGAGAGUUCGGUGAGAUCUCCACCAGUCAACGUGACAGCUGAUAAGGAUGGCGCCUCAGCUAUGGCUAAUAACAGUGGUGAGAAAUUCGGUCCAUGGAUGAUUGUGGCACGAAGAGGGAGACCUAAAGGAGUUAGGGACAAGGAGAAUAUCACCGAUUCAGAAAGGAAUCAGCGUAUUAACUAUACUACGGCUUCCCGUUUUGCUGCUUUAGUUGAUGGGCCUGAUACAAUUACUGUGACAUAAAUUGAUGUUCAAGAUCCCACCAUUGUCCCCCCCAACAACCAGCUAAAUCCAUUACCGACCACUUUCACACCCGAAGGAACCACCCUCUGAAAAUCCGUAGCACCCUAAAGCCUCAUAAUCACCUAUCCAAAGCUAAACAAGUGGCCAAAUCACACCUUAAAGCCUCAUCAUCUACUUCCAUGCAUGCAAACUUAUGUCCCAAUGUUCAUAUGGAUCACUCCACCCAUAAUAAUGUCCCGAUCCAGUAUCCCUUAGGACAUCCUUUUAGCUUGCCCGUUGAACCUUCGUUCACCUUGACCACCCUGAAUCCUCACAAGCAUACUGCCGUGACCUUUCCCAUAGCCAACCAUGAGAUUGUGGGUAAUCAACCAGGCUACUCAUGUGGAAAAGUGGCUGAUAACCUGGAGCAGCAACUCUACCCAAAGCAAUUAGCUGAUCCUCCCAAUGUAAGAGAAGACGGAGCUGUUAAUCCGAUGGAGUUUUAUGAUGGUGACCCUCAACUUGCAAUUGGCAAUGAAGAGGAAGACAUUAUGUCUGAUGAUGAAAAUACUAGUGUUAAUGAAACCCCCAGAGUGCAUGGAGGAGGGGCCCUAGGGCCUAGAAUGUAAGGACUCCAUGCUCCCCUGUUUUGCUUAUAUCUUUAAUGAUGUACAAUAUAAUGUUUUGGAAUUGCCAAGGAGCUUUUUUGCCGGGAUUUUGCAGGACUUUUAAGACUAUUGUCAGUAAUUAUAGACUGAAUCUGGUGGCCUUAUCCAAGCCUCGCAUUAGUGGAGUAAAGGCUGAUGACUUCAUUAAAAAAAAUGGCUUCCAGAGGUCUCAUCGGGUGGAAGCUAGGGGUUUUUCUGGUGGCAUUUGGAUUUUGUGGGAUGACAGUUUUGAGGUGGAAUUUAUCAUCAAUCAUAAUCAAUUUAUUCACUUUAAAAUAAUUGAUUUGAAAGGUUGUAGUUCCUGGGUCACAGCAGUUUAUGCGAGUCCGAUACCCAUGGUAAGGAAAAUUUUAUGGUCGGAGUUAGAUAAAGUUGCCAAGUCUGUUGAUGGUCCGUGGAUGAUUGGUGGGGACUUCAAUGCAAUUAGAAGAGUAUCUGAAAAAAAAGGAGGGUCAGCCAGGACAAGUGGUGUGCGUGAACUCUUUAAUGGAUGGUUCCAUCGAAACCAUCUCAUGGAACUUGUCUUUAAGGGACCCAAAUACACAUGGUCAAGAGGCAACUUAUCGAAAAGGUUAGAUCGGGUGAUUUGUAAUGAAGAGUGGAUGAUGAUGAACGAUGAGACAGAAGUUUUCCACCUCCCCAAAUUAAAUUCCGAUCAUAGACCGGUGAUGUUUCGUUGCAAGAAAUACAAUUCCGCUCCUACGGGGGUGAAACCUUUUCGGUUUUUGGCUCCCUAGCUAACUGAUGAGAGAUUCCAACCCUUUGUGGAAAAUAACUGGAGGAGCAAUUUGAACUACACUAAUGUUGUGGAUGAUUUUAUCAACAAACUGGGAAACUGGAAUAAAGAUAUUUUUGGCAAUAUUUUUAAAAGAAAAAAAGAGAUGCUGGCUAGAAUAGGUGGCAUUCAACGCUUUCUGGAGAAGCGUCAGUCUAGGAGUUUAAGCAAGCUAGAAUCUAAGCUAAAGAGGGACCUUGAAAAAGUGUUAACUCAAGAGGAAGUGCUAUGGUUCCAAAAAGCUCGAAGAGAAUGGAUUGUCUGUGGGGAUAGGAACACAACCUUUUUCCAUCAAAAAUCUAUAAAGAGACGCCGACGAAAUAAAGUGGGUAUGAUAAAAAAUGAUGAGGGGCAGUGGAUCCAUGACGAAGCUGAUAUUAAAGCCCAUGCAGUCUUUUAUUUUUGUAAUUUGUACACGAAGGAGGGAGGUGUUCCUGUCCAAUACCCUUUUACUCUUGACUUCCCUUUAAUUGAUAAUGUUGUGCUUAACAAUCUGAUCAGAGGUGUUGAUGAUGCAGAGAUUAGAGAUAUUGUCUUUACCAUGAGCCCAUUGAAAGCCCCGGGUAUAGAUGGCCUUUAUGCCAUUUCCUUCCAGACUCAAUGGCACGUGGUGGGGUCUUCAGUUUGUCAGCUUAUUAAAGAGUUUUUCGCGGGAAAGCAAUUGCCCCAGGAAUUGAACCAAACUCUUCUUGUGCUGAUUCCCAAGAUCAAUAAUCCAUAUUCUCUCAAAUUAUUUAGACCUAUUAGUCUUUGCACAGUGGUGUACAAGACUAUAACUAAAUUGGUAGCUAAUCGCCUCAAAGCCAUUUUGCCGCAAAUCAUUGGCCCUGCUCAGACGAGUUUUGUUCCUGGGAGACAUAUAGUCGAAAACGUCAUCGUUGCCCAAGAAAUCAUUCACUCUAUGAGGAACAAAGGGGGCAAAACUGGUCAGAUGGCUAUCAAGGUUGACUUGGAAAAGGCGUAUGAUCGUUUGAGUUGGGAUUUUAUUCAGGAGACUCUGGGGGUGAUUGGGUUGCCGAUGGAUUUGAUUCGUAUUAUAAUGGAGUGUAUAACCACAGUUUCGAUGCAACUCUUGUGGAAUGGUGAGCUCACGGAGAGUUUUAACCCAUCUAGAGGAAUCAGACAUGGGGACCCUUUGUCCCCGUAUAUUUUCGUCAUGUGCAUCGAGAGGCUAAGUCACGGUAUCAAUCAUGCAGUUGGGAACGGGCGUUGGAAACCCAUCAGGCUUAAUCGUGGAGGUAUUCCUAUUACUCAUUUAUUUUUCGCUGAUGAUCUUCUUCUUUUAGCGGAGGCUUCUAGUCAGAAUGCGCAGGUGAUCAAUGAGGUCUUGGAUACUUUUUGUGUAAGCUCUGGCGAGAAAGUGAGCAGAGAAAAGACCCAAAUUUUCUUCUCUCGAAAUGUUUAGAAGAGCACAAUCCGAGAGAUAAGGAAUACACUCGGAUUUUCAGUUACGAAGAACCUCGGUAAAUACCUUGGUAUGCCCAUCAUUCACUCCCGAGUUACCAAGGCAACUUAUCAAGAUAUUCUAGAUAAAGUACAGCAGCGUUUAUCAGGCUGGAAUGCCAAGCAUCUCUCUCUAGCGGGCAGGAUCACUUUGGCACAAUCGGUAAUACAAGCUCUCCCAGUUUAUGCCAUGCAAUCAACGAAAAUUCCAGCUUCGGUUCUUACCAAAAUUGAGCAAAGAUGUAAGCAUUUUAUCUGGAGUGGAAAUGCCGAACAAAGAACAUUGAAUCUCAUCCGGUGGGACACUCUUUGCCAACCCAAGUCAUGUGGGGGCCUUGGUCUUAAAGAUUUAUCUCAUAUGAAUAUGGCUUUGAUGAUGAAAAUUGGGUGGGGUUUAGUCAACUCUCCUAAUACUUUUUGGGUCCAGGUGCUGGCUUCUAAGUAUAAGGUUGAUACCACUUGUCUUCCUGGCAGCUUACAAACGAGGAACGGGUCUUACUUGUGGCGUGCUGUGGGGAAGGUUUGGGAUCAUGUGUUGAAGGGAACUCGUUGGGCUCUUGGGGAUGGAAAACGAGUGCAAUUUUGGUGGGAUUUAUGGCUCAGUGAGGCUGAUAACUUACAAUCAUAUGCCACGAACCCAAUUCCUGAUCAGCUGAUUAAUUUGUGUGUGGCUGAUUUUUCAGAUAACAAUGGCAACUGGAAUUGGCAUUUAUUUGCUCAUUUGCUUCCCAACCACAUAAUUCUAAAGAUUGCUUCAGUUAAAGCUCCUUGUGCUCUUAGUGGUGAGGAUCAAUGUUACUGGGCUUACUCUAAUACAGGUCAAUUCACGGCGAAAUCUGCGUACCUCUCUUUGCACCAAUCCAAUAAUGUGGCCGAUAAAUCUUUGUGGAAUUUGGCUUGGAAAUGGAAUGGACCUCAAAGUAUCAUAACAUUUAUUUGGCUCGCCAUGAGCAAUAGGCUGAAAACAAAGUCGGAGCUUUUUCGAAGGCACAUUACUAUGGAUGCCACUUGUUGUAGUUGCGGCCAACACUUGGAAGAUACCAUUCAUGUGUUGAGGGAUUGUAUCAUUGCCCGGCAUGUGUGGCUCAGUUUGGUGCCUCAUACUUUAUGGAAUAAUUUUUUCGAUUUGGACUUGACGAGUUGGAUCUACUACAAUCUCAAGAACACGGGUUUGAUUAGGAGAGAUGAUAAUUGGCCCUGUAUUUUUGGUGUUGCUCUGUGGCGGAUUUGGUAUUGGAGAAACCAAUUCAUUCACAAUAAAGAAAUCAUCAGUAUUGCAAAUAUUGUGCUGGACAUCACGCACCGCGCGGCCGAAAUCAAUGCUUCCAUGGAGAAUAUCUGUAGACCAGGCCAUGAAAGGAUAAUCAAAUGGUUGAAGUGGAUGGCCCCACCUUGGCCUUUCUUUAAACUAAAUACAGAUGGUGCUCGGAAAAUUUCAGGAAAUGCAAGUGCAGGUGGUCUCAUUAGAAAUUAUUGCGGAGAAUGGGUUCACGGUUUUGGCAUGAAUAUUGGCCAUUGCACUAUUACUGGGGCGGAGCUUUGGGGUCUUCUUCAAGGAUUGCAACUUGCCUGGAAUAUUGGGAUUAGACAAUUACUUGUUGAAGUUGAUAGUCGAUGCAUCACUGAGAUCUUAGCCACAGAUACCAAUCAUCCCAAUGCUAACUCCUCUCUUAUUCAAGGAAUUAAAAGACUUCUCAACAUGGAGUGGCAGGUUUCUCUGUCACACUGCUAUAGAGAAACAAAUUAUGCAGCUGAUUACCUCGCCAAUCAAUCUCUUCUUUUGCCUCUUGGGGUCCAUGUGUUUCCAACGCCUCCAUCCGGAACUGACAGGUGGCUGCUGCACGAUGUAUGUGGGACUGCUUACUCACGAAUGAUCUUUGCUUAGUUUCUUAACUUCGCCCUUUUGUAUCAAAAAAAAAAAAAAAAAUAGAGACUUAUUAGAAAGUUUCUUACUACAAUGUUAAUAUUUCCUCUAUUUUAACGUUUACAUAAUUUUAAUUUAUUUAAAAUCUACGUCGAUCAACUUUGGGCAUGAUGAUUUUAGCUUUUACGAGAGUUUAUUGGAAUAUGCAUAAGGAGUGUUAAAAUAUGAUGCAUCCAACAAAAGGCAAGCCAUGUGCAGUCUUUUAAUUUAGCCGAAGUAGCAGCUCAAACAAAUGACACUUUGACCAACAUGCAAGCAUGAAGUAGCUAGAAAAAGGACAAAUGCUACUUUGGCUUAAAUAGAAAAUAGCACGUGACUCGACUUUUGUUGGACAUGAAUCAUGUUAUUACAAGACAACAUAAAUCAUUAUCAUUAUAAUAAGAGUUAGCAAUAAGUAACAUGAAGAUAAGAGGCAGAAUGUCAACACAUGCAUAGGCAUACACAAGAAAGUAUUAACUUCUAUACCAUAGCAAAAAGUCUUUGAUAUGUCAUUUGUUGUUGCUGUGAUUCAACUGACAACAUGGCAACUGUCGCUGCUCUACCAAGAGCCAUUACUGUAGAUUUAAGCUCGGUCAAAUUUGCUUCUGCAUUUCGAAGCUUCAUAACACUCUCUGCUGAUAUAUCAGAUUCCCUAAUCUUUGAUCAGCUCCUCAAUACUUCAGCUAAUUCUCAUCUCGCUUUAUACAUGCAUAUGUUACCUCAAAGUUGACCUGGGCUUCAACUUCAUGGCGGAGUUUGUCAUAACGAUGAGUCUGGUGCCGAGCAUCUUCCAAAGGUGCUCCGUUGAUUAAUGCCCGUAGUGGCUCAGAUACCUACAUGUCCAAAAGCCAGUAAUAUAAUUAGAAAAUUGGAAAAAAAAGAUCGAAACCUUAAUUACAAAGUUCCUCCAGCAUAAUCAUGGAAUUUGGGCCUACUUUAAGAACAUAUAUAAGGAUAAUUUAAGCAAUUUUGGGUCUUAGGAUGAUUGGUCUUAAGUUAGGGUCUAUCCUUCUGUUUUUAAGGUCAAAAUAGAAAUAAACCUAUGCAAAUAUUUAAAUUAGUGCUGUAAGAGUUCCACAUGCAUCCUUCAGUCUCAUGGAUUUGAAUUUACUAUAGAUGCAAGCGUCUUUAUCCAAAAUGCCUGGAGUCAAUUGAGAGAACUCACAACCAAUAACUUGUCCCACGGUGGUCUUCACUAGUGAUGUAAGAAGCGACAAGGUUUCUUCAACAUUUGAACAAAAAAAUUAUAAAGUCAUGGAUGUCACUAGCAAUUGUUAAAACAUUAAAUAUUUCAGAGUUGUAACGUUUAAAUGGAUUCUUUUAUUCAAUAUCUUAGAACUAAGUUUCCUUAUGAGAAGAUAAUAGUCUUGAAAGUAAUUUUACAUAUAAUUUUCCAUAUUUGAAUUAUUUUCUCGUUAGGGAUGAAUUUACCUGAUCACCAAGAAUCCCAAGCAAAGUUUCCCUCUCAUUUUCCAUCAAAUCAUGUGAAGUGCCAAAUUGAAAAGCAGCCCUUGCAACACAAGAAUUGUCGCUUUGAUUCUGCGCUCCAUAUUUGCAACAAUCUUCGGCCAACUUUCUCGCUACAAUAUUUGAAUACAAAAAUAUUAUACGCAAAAACUAGUCAAGAACAUUAAAAAAAAUAAAUAAAUAUUAUAACGAAAGCAAGAGCAAACAAACAACCUAUCUCCAUUUGUUUCAAGUUUAGUGCAAUUCAACACCACGGACAAUAUUCCUCUAAAAAUGCUGUGUUACAUAGCAUAUAUUCCAAAUUAUUGUUCAGAUAAAACCAUAAAAACCAUCAUAAUUAUUCAACAUACAUUAAGCUCUGUUUGGUAAAUACUUGUAACUCCAGUCUAGAAAAUAUAGUUGUUUGUACAAUAUUCGACAAAAUUAUUAUUUAAAAAUCAUAUUUAAUUACCAAAAGCCACAACAAAUCAAUAUCAAAACAGAGAGGGUAAUACCUUAGCUGCCCUGGUGGAAUUGUAUAGAUUUUGAAGUUGUUGGUGACACUCAAUUUCAGCUUCAUCAACCGCAACAUUUUCAUUACCAAGACGCAUGCAGCAAAUGCUUCAAUACUGCCUGUACAAAUCAUUAAAAAAUAAUAAAAACAUAAAAUUGAGAAAUUUCACUAAUUGAAAGUUUAAAUAAUUUUUAAAGAAAAAGAAAGAGACGUGCUGCUGCCUGGCGAUUUGUUCGCGGAGCUUGAUUGCCUGUUUCUUGAUAGCUUCCAUAUUGUUUCUUCGGGCAUUGCUGCAAUUGUUUCUUCUAUGUCAGUCACACCCACAUAUCAUUGACACAAGAAAUAAAAAUCUUAGAUCACUUGUUUAAUUAAAGAAUCACUUACAAAAAAGUUUUGCCAUUUUAAUUUGAGGAUCCAUAUUUUGAACUACCAACUAAUGUUCAUCAAGGGCAGAGUAAAAAUUACUUUUGGACAAAUUAUUUUUGUUGAUAGAAGAAUUUCUCAAGGGACUAUUAAAAUUAUUAAUAAAAAUGUCAAACACAUCCACACAUCAUCCCACAUAUCAUUGACACAAUUGAUUUUGAGGAUCCAUGUUUUGAACUACAACCUAAUGUUCAUCAAGAACAAAGUAUGGCUUGUGAGUAGAAAAUUUUCUGAUUUUGCAAAAAGAAAUUAAAUUGAAGGAGAAUCUUUUACUUUCUCAUUAAGAAAGGCAUACGGGGCAUACCAUGGCACCAUACAACACAAGGAGUCUCCAUUCUCUGCUUUUUCAAAAUCUAAAGGGGGCAAUAUUUCCCAAUUUCCCCUUGAAAAUUCUGUUUACAACAUUAUUCAUCACUUGAUUCGAUCAAAGUAGUGACAAAGUUUGGAAAAAUAUGAGUCCUAAGUAAUUACCAAGCAAGGUCCCUGAGGGCAACAUUGUCCUAGGCAUUAUAGACAUAUAUGGUGUGGCACAUGGAGCACAUUGAAUUCCAGACUAUAACACAAACCCUGAAAGACAAGUAACAACUCAAAUGAUACAAAGACAAGAAGAAGUUAAAAUGAUAUAGAACAAAGAAUUUCAAAGACAGAGCAACAUUCCAUACACAGAAGCCACUUGAUCUACUCGUUGAUUGCAGCCUCAAACUUGCAAAUAGUUACUGUAGGCUAGCGCUCUAAGAAAUAAAAUGAUGCAAAACCUUGAUUCCCUUUUGUCUUCGAUUUACUGUCAAACUUAUUACUAGCAUCCACAAUUAAUUUUUGUUCAGCAAUCAGCUUAUUUUAUAGAAAUUGAUUUAGUCAGCAGCAAACACUAUAAUUCUUGAAAUUAAUUUUUGUUCUUUGUAAUUUUCUAUGGUUUUUCAUAAAUCAAUUAAUCUGCAGUGCCAAGAUGAGGUUUAGCUUUUCAAACUAAAUAAUCAAGUAAGCAAAAAUAUAAAUUCAGAGAUUAGAGGGGUAACCUAGCUGGGUGGUUUAGAACUGGGCUAGCUACCUCACUGUAUUCCAAUUUAUAGAGUGGAUUAAUUGAAUCAUGAGAAAACAACGUGGUCAUAGCUCAAUAGGAGAUGACUGCGGAGAGGCAUAUUGUUUUCAAUGAUCUAUUAAGAGAUGAAGUGGAUUGAUGUGGAAAGUUUAAAUAACAAAUCCUUGUUUUUGAGUUUUACGACGUCGUUACUCCUUCCAAGUGGCAGAUUAUGCAAGUGAAUGCAGAGACACAAUGCAUCAUCCACGGGGAUGAUACAGUAAUAGGCGGGAUCAUAGUCUAUGCAUUGAACAGUUACAGUUGCUGCUACCCAUUACCUUGGCAAAGAUCAAGAAGACAGAACAGGAAGCUAAUGCCAUCAAUGUCGUCUUCACUAAAGCUGCUGGGAAUGUAGGUGUAGUUUCCUCAUUUGAAGCUGUCUAUACAUGGGCCUUUCCCCUGCUUAAGUACAAAUAAAUGAACGGCCUUGAAGGCUUUACCAUUCACCCCAAAAAAGAUUACUAAUUGAAGAUGACUAUACAGAGUUAAUCUCACACUUUUGUUCUCUCAAUUUCUUUUAGAAGUCCCUCUGAAAAUAGCUGCCAAAACAGUUAGUCAGCUUUUAUACUCUGUUUUCUGGAAACAGGGUCCUAACUAACUGAGCUGACUGUGCAGAGUAUGUCAAUAUAGCAUAUUUAAUCGUUUUAACAGUAUUUUCGAAUUGUCUUCGCAGUGAUCAUCAACAAACUCAUCACAAGAUUUUUGGAGCACCCUAGGACUAUCACUGGGUUUCUCUUCUGGUUGGUUAAUUAAUUAGUCAAAGAACGGUUGGAUAUCCAAGCACAAUUACUAGAUUCUAAAAUGACUAGUUCACUAUUCUUUUACAGCCCUUUCACCAGUCAAAUUAUUCGACUUCUGGAACUGGGAAUGAAGUGCAAUGAUGAAGCAGCAUUUACAAUGUCUCCGGUUUCUCCUGAAUAUUAGAUUUUUGCAGUGAGAACAUAUAACAAAAAGGCCUCCAUCAACGUAGGUAGAAUCCGGGAUAUGGAUUGGAUCGAGUUUUUGUUUGAUAUUGAAGAACCUCUUUACUAUCCCGAUAUAGAAAAUGUUCUUUGCCUUGUGCUAUGAUCGGUGCUUUUGAUGUUGUCCUGAAACGGUGGAAAAUACUUCGAUAUCCUCCAUUUGAUGAUGCAAAGAACUGGUUAAUGUACUAUUACCUAAUUGACUCAGGAUCAAGUAACAAUGACAAUUUAUUAGUAGUAAUAUCACAAACUAAGAAGAUUUCGGAGAGGGGGAUGUAUGUGUAUACUGUUUACAGCUUUGAUCCAUUGGGGAGGAAGUAGUCUCAAGUUGAAAGUGACUUAUUAAAUAACAAAACAGAGUUGUUCAAUUUACAACAGAUAUUCUCCUCAAGUUCAACGUAAAUAUGGAUAUUAAUUAGAAUCCAGAUUAUUAUGACACACAUAACUUGCUUCAAAAUUAUUAGAAAUUACAAUUGCUGAUUCACAAUGCAUAUAACUUGUAUAUUGAGAUGGAUAAGAUGCUUAAUUUAAUUAAUUUACUUACUUUCAUACACAUCGUCUUUCCAUCUAGAGAAAACUUGGGGGUGAGAACGAUAUGAAGUUGCGAGUUGCUGCCGAUAGCUUCUGAUUAAUAAUAAAACGAGACAAAUUAUCUGUUUGUUAAUAUUCAUUCUUAGAGAGGAGAGUAAAUCACAAAUCUUUAAUAACAAGGAGUUUGCCAUUAACUUUACUUGGCCUUAAUAUUAAUAUUGCCCACCCAAGAAAUAAGAGUGAUUUAAAGUAUUACCAAGACUUCAUUGAGAGGAGCAACCAAACCAACUCCUUAUCAAUUGCGGCAGCCGUCUGUUAACUAAAAUGCCAAUUUCAUACUCGGCAAUUGUGUUUGUUAAGAAGUGACACAGCACUCAGGUGAUGAGUUUACUGUGACCACUAUUCAAGGUAAGCGAAAAUUACAGAUGUGGCAAAAUCAAUAAUUAAAUUCAUAAACUAAUUAAAUUCAUGGAGUUGCACAAUUUCAUCAACUUUGCAAGAAUUGACAUUAAUGGACUGGCGCUCUCCCCAUACAAUUAUAAUUAUAAUCUUUCUAGGAAGCAAAUUUUUAUAAAUUAUUUGUUUUUAAGUUAAUUUCAAUUUCAAAAAAUAAAUUUUUUAAGUUAUGUAUACUCUAAUGAGAGUUUCUUCAUAACAAUUCCCCUACUCCAAUAAUAACGAAAAGGUAGUUACUUAGAAAUAAUUAAAAUAAACAGGGGUUGAUUGUAUAUCCUAAUUUGCAUCGAUUUUUUUUUACCUUAAUUUCAGGAAUUUGUGAAUGGAGGAUGAUCACGCGUGUAUUAAUUUUUCAGUCGUCGAUUGUCGUAUUCUAGACUUAACGAUAGUGUUCUUGAUCAAGGGCAAUGACUCCCACCCCUCUUUUAAAAAUAUUGUCAAGUAUAUUAAUGACAAAAUCUCUUAUAGUUAAUAGUCUUUAAAAAUUUAUAGAAUUACUAUUGUCAUAACUAAAUUAUUCAUGUUUAAUGAAAUACUAAUGCAUCAAAAUAAAGGUGUUCACAAUCCAAUUCGAUCCACUCAAUUCGUUUGAUCUGCAGAAGUGCAAUCCGCAAAAAUUUAAUCUGUGAAUUAGUGGAUUGGAUUGCAUUGAAAAUUUAAAAAUCCGUAGUCGAUAAAUUGGAUAUUGAUAUACUUUUAUAAAUAUACAAAAAUUCACGAAUUCACAAAAAAAAGUAUUUAAUUAAAAAAUAAAACUUAUAAAUGUUGCAUGACUACUUACUAAUAAAUAAAUAAGUUAAAAUGUAGUUAGUUAAUUUAACACCAUAUUAUAUCUUAUUCGAUAACAAUAUAAAAUAAAAAUAAUUAAAAAAAUUAAUAAUUGGAUAAACAAAUGUGGCUUUCUAAACAGUAAAAAUUCUAGACUUAAAAAUUUAUAUUGUUAUUCUAUUUUUUUUAAAUUGACAUUUUUCUAUUGUCUUACAUGUACAGAGAUUUUGAGAGUUGAGAAGAAUAUAUUUGAUGAAGCUUGAUAGCAUUUGAUGGGAUAGUAAGUAAGGGUAAAUAUUUAUUAAUUAUUUUUAUUAAAUAAAAUAUUUUUAUUUGUUAUUUAUUUCUAUUAUAUCUAUUUUAUUCAAGUUAAAAUACUAAAUAUAAAUUGGAGGUAGACAUUUUAACAGAUCAUCUAAGCUCUCAAAUCUGAAAUUUUGUGUAGAUUUAAAUUCAUAAUUUUAGUUAAUUUUCAUAUAUUCAUAUAAACAAAUUUAUGAGAUUUUUUCUUUUCAUCAUGUUAUAUUUUAAAACUUUCAAUGUAUUAUUCUAGCUUUAUUUAAACAAUUAAUUUAUUUUAAUUUUAUUUAAUUUUUGAUUUGAUCAGCAGUAAAAAUAUUUUUAUAUCAAAUUUUUUUAUUUAUAUAGUUCGUGGAUUGGGCAAAAUAAAAAAUUUUUAAUCCACAAAUGGUGGAUUGGAUAUGAAUUGGGUCAAAUCCAUCUUCGAUCUGCAGUCGCAUGGAUUGGAUUUGGAUUGAAUUUUAUCAAUCCAUAUAUUAGAUUGGAUUGAAAAUUUAUAAUCCGCAAAAUCAUGGAUCGGAUAUGGACUAAUGUCCAAUCCGCAAAAUCCGAUCUCCGAACACUCCUCUAUAAAAAUUUUCAAGAAUAUGUUUUAUCUUACAAUUUUUUUUUUUAAAGUCAUAGUCUAAUGGCAGCCCAAUUUCUACCCCAUCCAUAUAAGCGGAGUUCAAAUCUCAUACCUCUUAUCUCCACACAAGAGAUUUAACCAAUUGAAAUAGCUAGCACCCACAAAUAUACUAGUACAACAUCUCUUAACGUUUAACAUACAUAUAAUUAACGUUAUAGCCAUUGAUAAACUCAUUGUUCAUUAUGUGAUCAAGAAUUUGAUCCUGCGAGUAAUAGCGGUAAGAAGAACCAUUAUUGUUGGGGGGACUUAGCAUAAGAUUUCUAGGUAUCUAACCUAAAAGACUAGCCUUUUAGGUGGAGUGACCUACUACCUUAUAAACCCAAGCAUCUUCCCUUUACUAGUCAAUGUGAGACACAACUCAACAAUCCCCCUCUCGGACGAAACCACCGCCAGACUCCGAUCCUUUCGUCUGACACACCAGAGUUGUUCCACCACCACAUUCGGGCUAUUAGGGUUUAGCUCUAAUACCACUUGUUAGGGGGACUUAGCAUAAGAUUUCCAGGUAUCCAACCCAAAAGACUAGCCUUUUAGGUGGAGUGACCUACCACCUUAUAAACCCAAGUAUCUCCCUUUUACUAGCUAACGUGGGACAAAACUCAACAAUUAUAAUGCCUAGCUCUUAUCGUAGUUAAUUCUCUGGCCCGAUGCUUCAUCAUAGUGAUUUAAAAAAUCAACAACAGCUAUCUAAAAGAAAUGAAGAUAUCAUCUACGUAAAGAACAUGAGACAGAGAUCACAACCCAUAAGAACUGAGAUAAAUUGGACCAGACCAGUAAUCUUGAGAUAAGUUAAACCGUGACUUAAGUUGAAAUCAGAUGAUAAAUGGCUUUUGGCCACUUAUUUCUAAUUUCCACAAUUAAUUUCUGUUCAGCAAUCAGCUUAUUUUAUAGAAAUUGAUUUAGUCAGCAACAAACACUAUAAUCCUUGAAAUUAGUUCUUGUUCUUUGUAAUUUUCUUUGAUUUUUCAUACAUCAAUUAAUCUGCGGUGCCAAGAUGAGGUUUAGUUUCAAGCAAAAAUACAAAUUCAGAGAUUAGAGGAGUAAACUAGCUAGGUGGUUUAGAACUGGGUUAGCUACCUCACUAUAUCCCAAUUCAUAGCUCAAUAGCUCAUACAUCAAUUAAUUGAAUCAUGAGAAAAUGUGGUCAUAGCUCAAUAUGAGAUGAUUUCGGAGAGGCAUAUUGUUUUCAAGUUAAUUUGAUCCAUUAAGAGAUGAAGUGGAUUGAAGUGGAAAGUCUAACUAACAAAUCCUUGUUCUUGAUUUUUACGUCGUCUUUACUCCUUCAAGUGGCAGAUUGUGCAAGUGAAUUAAGAAACACAAUGCAUCAUUCACAGGGAUGCCACAUCAAAAGACGGGAUCAUAGUCUAUGCAUUGAAUAGUUAAAGUUAUCUCAAAGAGGACAGAACAGGAAGCUAAUGCGAUCAAUGUCCUUUUCACUAUAUCUGCUGGGAUUGUUGGUGUAGUGUCCUCAUUUGAAGCUGUCUAUACAUAGGCUUUUCCCCUACUUAUGUACAAAUAAAUGAAUGGCCUUGAAGGCUUUACUACUGACCCCAAAAAAGAUUACCAAUUGAAGAAGACUAUAUAGGGUUAAUCUCACACUUUCGUUCUCUCAAUUUCUUUCAGAAGUCCCUCUGAAAAUAGCUGCCAAAACAGUUACUCAACUUUUAUACUCUGUUCUCGGGAAACAGAGUCUUAACUAACUUAACUGACUGUGCAGAGCAUGUCAAUAUUCUUAGUAUAUCUAACCGUUUUAACAGUAAUUUUUUACCGUCUUCGCAGUGAUCAUCAACAAGCUCAUCAUAAGAUUUUUGGAGCACCCAGGACUAUCACUUGGUUUCUCUUCUGGUUGAUUAAUUAAUUAAUCAAAGAACGGUUGGAUACCCAGGGACAAUUACUAGAUUCUAAAAUGACUUAGUUCACUAUUCUUUUACAUUCCUUUCACCAAUAAAAUUAUUCGACUUCUGGAACUGGAAAUGAAGUGCAAUGAUGGAGCAACAUUUACAAUGUCUCCGGUUUCUCCUGACUAUCGGAUUUUUGCAGUGAGAACAUAUAACAAAAAGGCCUCCAUCAACUUGAAGAACCUCUUUACUAUCGCGAUAUCGAAUCUGCGCAAGGAGUUGUCCAUUGUUCUUUGCCUUGUGCUUUGAUCGGUACUUUUGAUGUUGCCCUGAAACAGUGGAAAAUACUUCGAUAUCCUCCGUUUCAUGAUGCAAAGAACUGGAUAAUGUACGAUUACCUAAUUGACUCAGGAUCAAGUAACAACAACAAUUUAUUAAUAGUAAUAUCACAAACUACGAAGAUUUCGGAGACGGAGAUGUGUGCGUAUACUGUUUACAGGUUUGAUCCAUUGGGGAUGAAGUGUUCUCAAAUCGAAAGUGAUUUAUGAAAUAACAAAUCAUUGGUCUUGGGUUACACCUCAUUAUGUCUUCAAGUGGAAGAUGAAGAUUAUGCAAGAUGAAGAUCGAGUUUUGGUUUGAGAUUGAAGAAUUUGAACAGAAAGCCCAUAGAAAGUACCUAAAUAAGCAUAUUCUUGGGGUAGAAUAUGGAGAAAGGAGUUGUCUACUGUGUGUUGCGUAAUUAUGCUAUGAUCGGUGCUUUCAACAUUGCCCUGAAAACAGUGGGAAAUACUUCAUAUCCUCGACAUGAUGAUAAAAAAUUGGUUACCGAUUACGUAACUAACUCAGGUGACAACAAUCCAUUAAUAGCACAAUUUGAGGUGAUGUCGUUUAGGUAUAUGGUUAACAGGUUUGGUUCAUCAAUGAUGAAGUGGGCUCAAAUUAAAAGAUCAUAUAAUAAGUCGUUCUUCUUGGGCAUAUCGUCAUUACUACUUCAAGUGAUCAAAGAUGAAGAUGAAGAUGAAAAUUGUGCAAGUGAGUUCAAGAAUACCAUACAUCGUUACUUGGGAUACUUCUUCAAAUAUGGAUGGGGUUAUAAUUUACUCCCACGAAUUUCAACCCAAUUUUAUGAUUGGAGUGUCCCACCAUGACUCAGAAAAAUUCUGUUUCAACCUCGUCGACCAAUGGAUUUUGAUUAGUCACUUUGUGAUCAAGCAACUUAAUUAAACUCAGAGUUUAAUUUUGUUGGUACUGCAUUUUUUUUAAAAUGUGGCCAUGUAAGGAGAGCGGCACAUAGUGUCACUUCUUCAUCAAGCACUUUAAAGAGGGAUUUUAGAAGAAGAUACAACUGCAAUUGUUUUCGUAUGUAUAUACAUAAACAACAGAACAUUCAGUUCAUAAAAGAAACUAGUGUUUUUUAGGCAAUUUAGAAAUAGAGUUGUUCAACUUACAACAGAUAUUCUCCUCAAGUUCGACGUAAAUACAGAUAUUAAUUAGAAUCUAGAUUAUUAUGGCACACAUAACUUACUUCAAAAUUAUAAGAAAUUACAAUUGCUGAUUCGCAAUACAUAUAACUUGGAAGAUUUGAUGUUAAAUUUUGUCAUUAAAAUUGUAGUAGUAUUUCUAAACACCUCGCAUUUGUAUCCACAUUUUGCAGGAAUUUUGAGAAAUACACGUGUCCGAAAAAUCACACGCAUAACUUGGAGAACAAUUGCGACAGCAGCCGAGUAUAUAUUAACUAACUAAAAUGGCCAACCAGAUUUGCUUAAGAAAUAAAAUUUUGUCUUGUAGUAGUAUUUCCAAGCACCUCGCAUUUGCAUCCACAUUUUGCUGGAAUUUUAAGAAAUACACGUGUCCGAAAGUCUAAUCAUCGUUUUUACUAUUCGAGUAUUGGUAUGAUAAUGACGAAUUUGAAAAGCCACACUGUAAAAACAGUUUGUGAUCUGUGCAUGACGAACCACCAACAGUGUAGUAAGAGCACAGGAAAAAAUCUAACAAAAUUAAUUGCGUCCAUAGAUAUUCAGACGCAAACAAUAAUUUUAAAUAAUAGCAAUUAGUAUUAAUAUUGCCCACCCAAGAAAUAAGAGUGAUUUAAAGUAUUAGCAGGACUUCAAUGAGAGGAGCGAUCAAACCACCUCCUUAUCAAUUGCCGUAGCCGUCUAUUAACUAAAAUGACAAUUUCAUACAAGAAGAAACAACAAGUACAUACUCGGCAAUUGUGUUCGUCAAGAAGUGACAUAGCAUUAAGGUGAUGACUUUACUUUUGUUAUCUUGCUAACAAUGGUAGUCUAAUUUUAGUUUUAAUGUGAUCACUAUUCAAGGUAAGCGGAAGUUACAGAUGUGGCAAAAUCAAUAAUUAAAUUCAUAAAAUAUUAAUUGUUUUCAACAAAUUUUGAGGUAGGAAAAGCCAAAACAAAUCUAGAACAAUAAAUUUGUAUUUUUUGGGGAGACGGGGUACCUCACUAGUUUGUUGUGUGCGGUGUGGUGUAUCUGAAAUCUGGGGGAGGUGAGAAGGGGAGAGGGAGUGGCAAAAAUGGUGAAAGGUCAAAACCAAGAGAGAUAUCCUUCAAAAUGAGCUUCACGCCUGCAAAACAGUGAAAUAGAGGUUAGAGGUGAAGCCGGGGUACCCCGGUGUUCACACUCCGACGCUCAAAUUAGCAAACUCAAGCUUUUAUGGUAAAGAGAGCUAGCUAGCCCUCUAUAAAUUAUGGUUUAAGAUUGAAGAAAACCUAUUUUUUAGAGUGUGAGUGUUAAUGGUGAGUGAGAGCAUGAUGGAGAAUGAAACCUAAGCACCUUUAUAUAUGGAGUACCUCAGCUGACACGUGGCGUACCCUUUUUGGCUAACGUCCUUUUACCUUUUUAUGAUUUUUGGGCCGUUAUGUGCAUGUUCGCGGCGUAUCUCAUCCUUUGGGAACAUGGUGCGCGCUAGAGAGUGGUCCAGGGUACCUCUGCAGUAGCUGUCGGGUAGGCGGCUGAGGACCACUGUCCUUGGGAUAGUGUCCUUCACUUUUGGCAGAGGUAGCAGGCGGCUGUCCCCCCUUUUUGGUACGACGUUCUUGAUUCUUAAUUCUGACAAAAUUGAAUAAUAUCUUUUAAGAUAUGAAGACGUUUCUUACGGCGGAUAUUUUCAGAGGGUUCUCUUGCAUCUGAUUUGCCGGGUACCUCGAGUUACGUGGGGUACCUCAAUUUAUGUGGAGUACCCCUAAUUGUGCGGGGUACCUCUAUUUGUGUGGGGUACCUCUAAUUGUGCGGGGUACCUCAAAUCACGCCGGAUACCUCGGAUUGUGCAGGGUAUCUCGUAUCAUGUCGGGUACCUCUAUUUGUCCGGGGUACCUUAAAUCAUGCCGGGUACCUCGAAUUGUAUGGGGUACCUCAGAUUGUGCUGGGUACCUCUAAUCAACUCGAGUACCUCUAAUCAGACCGGGUACCUCUAAUCAGGCCGAGUACCUCUAAUCAUGCUGGGUACCUCGAGUUAUUCCGAUUACCUUGAAUUAUGUUGGAGUUAUUCUGGGUACCUUGAAUUAUGCUGGAGUUAUUCCGGGUACCUCGAAUUAUACAGGGUACCCCAGUCUAUGCGGGGUACCUCGAGUUAAUCUGGAGUUAUGCGGGGUACCUCUGACCGUGCCGGGUACCUCAAAUCAUGCCGGGUACCUCAAAUCACGCCGGGUACCUCUAAUCUUACGGGGUACCUAUAAUCUUGCGGGGUACCUCAGAUUGCACUGAAGUUAUUCUAUUCGUCGACACAUGGCGUUCUGCUAUCUUUCUUAUUUUUCCCUCAAACAAUAUCCCCCUAGUUUCUUUUGGCGAGAAGUAUUGGAGGCAAAAGAAACUUACAUAAAAAGUAGGAGCGACACGUGGCGAUAUGAAGUUUAGCUCGAUGGGUAGCUGAAUAGAGGAUGCCUCUAGGGGUACCCUCAUGAAGGGAAGAUCUCUGGAGUGAACAAGACUUUGAGGGGACACUUUGAUGAAGUUUCAGAGGAGAAUGCCCAUAAGGUGGAAGACCCUGAGGAGCUUUAAGUUAAGCUUGAGGACUUGAUACCUCGACAUAAGAACAUAGUUGACAAUGCUUUUGAGUGCAUCAUGACCGAAGAAUGAAGUGCUGAUAUGGGGCUGGUGGUGCCAAGAGUAGAGAACUAGGUAGAUAAGCCGGCUAUCUUGAAGGCAAUUGAGAAUAGUAGGGCUCCCCACACAUCUUGGUUUGAAAGCCCAUGGAGAUCAACUAGGGUACCUCAGAUGAAGUCGCCAUAAGGUACCCCUGAUACCGACGCUUGUGUUUUUGCUAUUUCUAACACUUUUGUUGAUCCCCUUAUCCUAAAUAAUGAAGGUGAAGAUAACCAUCCUAUUAUGUAACCUUGUUCGGCAUUACCGACAAGGCGUAUGGGGUACCUCGGGUACCCAUAAGCUUGGAUAUCCCCUGAGCUAUCUGUUACUUCAUGGCGGGAUAACCCAAUUUUAUCAAACAUAUGGCGAUUCCUUCAAAUAUGCUUGCUGUUUAUCUCAGGCUUUCUUAGAGUUCCUCUUGGUGUACACGAGGAAUGGUUUUCUGUCAUAGGGUACCCUGAGUACUAUGGGUACCCUUAAUCUUGUCUCAUCAGUGUAUCGCGGUUUACUUAGACAUGCUUGUUGCGGUUAAUUCAUGGCGGAACAACCCAAUUUCAUCAAACAUAUGGUGAUUCCUCCGGAUAUGCUUGUUGCUUAUCUCAAACUUUCUUAGGGUUCCUCUUGGUGUAUUUGAGGACUGACUUUCUGGCGUGAGGUACCUCAGAGGUACCCUUAAUUAGUGUAUGGCAAUUUUCAUAGAAAUGCUUGCCGCAAAUCUUCACAAAACUUGUGGCGAUUCCUUUUGAGAGAUGAUGGAAAACCUCAUGAUCCACCAUUCUCUCUACAUCAAAUAUGCAAGACAAAUAGUCAUAAAGGUGGGCUGCUCGCCUACCCUUAUGUAAGAUGGUAAAAAAUAUCAUGAUCCGCCAUUCGCGUGGAAUCAAAUAUACAACAUAGAUUGAGAUAAAGGUGGCUGCUCGCCUACCCUUUUGCGAUAUGGUCAAAAACCUCAUGAUCUACCAUUCGCUGGAAUCAAAUAGACAAUAUAGAUUGAGAUGAAGGUAGUUGCUCGCCUACCCUUAUGUGAGAUGGUCGAAAACCUCAUGAUCCACCAUUUGCAUGGAAUCAAAUAGACAAUAUAGAUUCAGAUAAAGGUGGCAGCUCGCCUACCCUUAUGCGAGAUGGUCGAAACCUCAUGAUCCACCAUUCACAUGGAAUAAAAUAGACAACAUAAAUAAAAAUGAAGGUGACUGCUCGCCUACCUUUAUGCGAAAUGAUUGAAACCUCAUGAUCGACCAUUCGCUCAGAAUCAAAUAUGGCGAAUAAAUAAUGAUAAAGGCGGCUCUGAUGUUAAGUAGAUUAGCAUGAUUGGGGAUAAGUCAGGUACCUCUGGUACCCUGGAGUAAGGUGAUCUCUGGAUACCCUUUUGCAUCAUAAUAAACAAUACUUUUACUAGUAGUGUGACUUUUCUUUGUUGGAUCGGUGGCCCAAAUCGAGACUGAAACCGAGUCUUCAACUGGGGUACCCUAUUUUUCAUCUUUGGGUAUUCGAGGAUCCAAAUGUGCCUCCAAUUCACAUUUUGGCUUAAUCUGGUCCCCCUGGGGUACCCCCGCAUAACUCUAGAGUAACUAGUUAUGGGGUACCCUACCACCGAGGCCUCGGUGGUGGCUCUUGCUGCUCUGGUGGUGGCGAUCUUGGAGGUUGGGGUACCCGUGAGAUACCCUAAGUGUUAAACACUCGUCCCCACAGGAUAACCCUUGGAGGGCUCCGCAUUCAGGGUACCCUUGGUAUUGGGCCUUCCAUCAUCUUCGGCUUCUCCUUAUUCUUUGUGACCUCGACCUUAUCUUCUUGGCAAUUCAAAUGAAAUUUCUCAUCCAUCUCCACUUGCUGCAACGCCCAAGAACGGGCUUCCCUAUAUGAAAGUGGGUGCUUAUUUUGAAAGGAACGUCAUAACUUGCCCAACCGUAAAUUUUUCUCGAAAUGGGUCAGUGUUUGUUGGUUUCCAAAUGCUCCGGUUCGCAACACCUCUUGGUGGAAACGGCUCAUAUACUCCGCCAAAGGUUUGGCUUCCCCUUGCUUGAUAAAAGCGAGUUUGGAGGCUACCCUAUCUUGAGUGGAAACAUAGGAAAACUCUUUAGUAAAUUCGGAUAAUAAUUGGUGUAGAGAAUAUAGGUUACCCACCUUCAAGGACUGAAACCAUGACUUCGCGAGGCCCAUGAGUGUGUGUGUAAACAUCCUACACAUGGCAUUCUCAUAUACACCCAUGAUGGAGAAUGAAACCUAGGCACCUUUAUAUAUGGAGUACCUCAGCUGCCACGUGGCAUAUCUUUUUUGGCUAACGUCCUUUUAUCUUUUUAUGAUUUUUGGGCCGUUAUGUGCAUGUUCGCUGCGUAUCUCAUCCUUUGGAAACGUGGCGCGCGCUGGAGAGUGGUCCAGGGUACCUUUGCAGUAGCUGUCGGGUAGGCGGCUGAGGACCACUGUCCUUGGGACAAUGUCUUUCACUUUUGGCAGAGGUAGCAAGCGGUUGUCCCCCCAUUUUGAUACAACAUUCUUGAUUCUUAAUUUUGACAAAAUCGAUUAAUAUCUUUUAAGAGAUGGAGACGUUUCUCAUGGCGGAUAUUUUCAGAGGAUUCUCUUACAUCUGAUCUGCCGGGUACCUCGGGUUACGUGGGGUGCCUCAAUUUAUGUGGGGUACCCCUAAUAGUGCGGGGUACCUCUAUUUGUACGGGGUACCUCUAUUUGUGCGGGGUACCUCAAAUCACGCCAGGUACCUUGGAUUGUGCAAGGUAUCUCGUAUCAUGUCGGGUAUCUCAAUUUGUCCGGGAUACCUUAAAUCAUGCCGGGUACCUCGGAUCGUGCGGGGUACCUCAGAUUGUGCUGGAGUCAUUUCAUUUGUCGACACGUGGCGCUUUACUGCCUUUCCUAUUUUUCCCUCAAACAACAUCUCCCUAAUUUCUUUUUGGCGAGAAGUAUUGGAGGCAAAAAAAACUCAUUGUAUGAGUGACACGUGGUGAUGCGUCUGGACCGGGGAUACCUUGCGUAGUUUCUUCCCUUGACAAAACUUUGUGUACUGUCGAGCUAAAAAAAUCUUCUCUUUGUCUUUUCCCUUUCCCGCCACUUUUCUUUCUUUUUUUUUUACUCAACUGCUGAUGAGAACGAACAGUUGUCUUUAUGUCUCUCUCCUGUUUUCUUGGGAAAUGGCAGCCUUCUAACACACAGUUUGAAUUUUAAAAAUAUCAAUCUCACACAAACAUCUCUUACCUCCUUUCUUGUGCAGUGUGUUCUGUCAUGUUGAAUUAAAAACCCCUGACGUGAAUGUCAAUCUCCUCUCAUUUAUUUUGAAAAUCCCCAAACGAUCUCCCAAAAGUUGAUUAUCUCCAGUGGCCUUCUUCUUUCAACAUUUCGUCUUUUCUCCUAACUGCAUCAAUAUUGCUCACAGGAAAAAAUUUCUUCUUUACUUUUUUUUUUUGCGUUCGUUCGUCUUCCCUUGGGCUUUAUUUUCUCUUUACUUUCCUUUUUUUCUUUUAUUUCCUUCUUCUUCCUUUUUCCUUCUUUCCUUCUCUUUCUCUCUCGGUCGGUGUUCAUCUGGUGCGUUUUCCGGCGUUGAUCUCGGCUGCUGCAGUGGCGGUUUUGGCUUCAGAUCUGGUCGGUUCAAGGCAGUUUUUCGACGGCUCAUGACGAGAUCCGACCUGGCGGUAGAUACGGUAACCUCCCUCCCUCGUGUCUUCAUUUUAUCCUUACUUUCUCUCUCUUCUUUCUCAUUUUCUUCUCUCUUUCUCUUCUCUUUUUCGUUUCGGCCGGCGUUCUCCUUGGCGAUUUCUGGCGUCAGUUCGGUGGCUGCAGUCGCGGCAGCUGGCGUCGGUUCAAUGGCUGCAGUCCCCCCCUCCGUGUUGUCUUCUCCGUUCUUCCUUUUCUCUUUUUUCCUUUUUUUUAAUUUUCGGCAGCGUUCUCCCUUGGUGGUUUCCGGCGUCCUUCUCGCGAUCUCCGGCGUCGGUUCUCGGUGGUUGCAGCCACGACAGUCGACGCCGGUUGCUGCAGCUUCCCCCCCCCACCGCGUUGGUUUGGUUCGGUAGCUGCAGCUUCUUCAUUUUUUUAUAAAUAAAAUGAAUUGACUAAUUUCAUUUGUGCUUGAAUAAAUAAAAUAAAUUUGCAGCUUCUUCGUUCUUCACACCAUUGGUUUUUAUACUUGCAUAUUCUUACUUACUGGUUUUGGUUGCCUGCAGCUUUGUCUUCCCACGAUUACCAAUCCUGAUCCGUCAAGUUGGUAAAUCAUAGGUAUCCUUCCUCGUUUCUCCUCCUUUGGCGCAUUUACAAUGGCGUUAUUUUGCAUACUCUGAGAAAAUUUUGUUUGUUUGUUUGUUUUUUUUUUUUUUUGUGGUUGGUGUUUGCAUUUGAUGGUUGAUGUGUGGUGGGUGGUGUAUGGCAUGAAAAUAUUGUUGGGGGAAUUGUGGCUUGGUGGUUACAUUGUUGGGAGAAUUGUGGCUUGGUGGUUACGUUGUUAGGGGAAUUGUGGCUUGGUGGUUAUGUUGUUAGGGGAAGUAAAUAGGCAAGAAACAUACGGGACCUGUGAGGAAGCGACGUGCAAUUGGGGCUAGUAGGUUUGACAGCCCUCCUGCGCGUUCUCCUUCCCACAUCUCCAUUACCGAGAGGGAUAGGUCCCCCCUAGUACCUCUAGGAGUUGUAACUCUCAUUUUGAGCUCCCUCCUCUUAGGAGUACUCCUCGUGUCAGCCCACGCCACUAAACGGCCAACCCCCCAUCCUCGAAAGAAGGGUAGGUCAUCAAAACCUAAGGUUCCAGCUCGUUCCUCAGACCGGCCUCCCAAAUCUCCCCCUGCCACACCUUCAAAAUCUGGCAACCUUUAUUCCCUAGGCACUAGGAGGGCUACUUUGGGGGACUUAGAACAAAUUAGAGCCAAAUACAAUAUUCCUCCGUCUGUCCAGCUUAGGGUACCCCAUGUGGAUGAGCGACCUGAGUGUCCGAAGUCUGAUGGGAUUGCUCUCCACAUUGACCUCUUUCAUCUAGGACUUCGCCUGCCCCUCCAAUCUUUCUAGAUGAAGAUGUUUAGUUUUUUGGGGGUAGCUCAUGGGCAGCUGUCCCUUCCAGGGUGGAGGACACUUACGGGCUUACAUGUGUUAUAAUUGGAGGUAUUGAGGCGCAACAUUUCUAUUCAGGAAUUGAGGGGCCUCUACCAAUUCAAAAAGCCCAAGGGUUCCGCUAUUGCUUACUUCUCCGCUUGGGGUGAUCAUAGUCAUAUUGUUGAGGGGGACCCUACCUUGAAGAAGGGUUACCGAAAGGGGUGGUUCGUUGCUGAGGGUAGGUGGGGGACAGAGACUCUAGGUGAAAAGGGCAACCCCGUGGAGGUUCCAAAUUCCUUCAAUGUAGACUGUAAGUAUCUUCCUUGUUUACGGUUCUUUAUUGUAAUAUUUCGCAUGAAUGUCUCGUUAACCUUGGGUUCCAUGCUUUUGUAGGUGUGACGUGGGCUAAAGGAUCAUGCCUACUUCAGGAGGUGAAAGAGUUUGUGGAGAGGCUCCGAGGUGCACAGAGGGGUAGUGAUGUGUUAGAGGAGAGCAAAUUACAGAGAGCGGGGUUGAUUGACCGAAGUCCUCCAUCUGCUUCUGGGGAUGACUCAUGUAUGAUUCUGAAGUCGGGGGGUACCCUAUUAUUAUCUACGGGACUGGGGUACCCCGUUAUCACCGCAUUCUUUAUUUUGCUUCCCCGCUUUUAAUUUCCUAUUUUUGCUUUUAUAGUACUUAGUACUUGUCCGGCUAACAUAACGUUUGUGCAUUGGGUGCAGUUAUGGAGUCGGCGGGUGACGCCUUUGAUACCUUUUUCUAAGUAGUUGUGUGAGGUGCUUCUAGAUCUCAGGAUUCGGCGGUACCCCAGAAAAGUUCCCGGCCACCUCGAGCUCCCGGACUAAAGGGAAAAUUCCAGGGUACCUCCCACAGUGGGUCGAAGGGUACCCCUCGUUCAAAAAAGAGAAAAUUCGGGAUGGUUUCUGCUUUCCCCGAUGAAUUGCGUGAAGGCGACCUAGACCCGGCCUCCAACAAGGAGGUUUCACACUUGGCUCGGUGUUUCUACUAUUCUGCUGAAAAUGUUACCUCCGAGGUGGCUGAAGAGACAGACAAGAUGAGCUUGAGCCAACACUAUGUCAGGCACUCAGGGCUACCCAAGAGGUAAGCUUUAAUAGGGUACCCCGGGUGUAUCCUCCAUUUUUUAUUUAUUUACUCCUAUUGCCAUACACAUAUAUUUAAAAUGUCUUUUACGACCUGCAGGCAUCCUAUUUUCUCAGCCACUGUCUUUCAGAUCUCGACUCCCUUGUUGCCGCCCAAUCGGAGGUUGACAAGUUAAGGGGUGAGCUUCGAAGUCGUCAGUCUUACGAGAACGAGCUUGCUCGAGAAGUCAAGACUUUGCGGGAACGCAUUACUGGCCUUUCUGGAGAGAAAUCUCGAGUGGAGAAAGAUUGCGACGAGUUGAGGGCCACAAACUAGGAUCUGUUAUCCCGACAAAAGACGAUGGCAGAGGAUGCAUUCUCACUCAUCAUGACGGAGGUGUGGAGUGUGGAUCCGAAAUUAGAGGUACUCCAUGUGCAGAAAUUCGUCAACAAGGCCACGAUUCUGAAGACGAUUGAGGAGAGGAAUAAGUCUUCCCAUGCACGGUCAGGUACCCCUUCCGAGUCGCCUAGGGUACCCCGCGCGCUUCAGCCGUUGCUCGCCUCAGAUGCCCCUACUUCGGCUGCUCAUAUUCCAGGUACCUCAGAGUCCUCUGCUGAUCGCCCUCUGGAGACGGACGGUAGGGAUGGCGUUCCACCCUCGGUGUAACCUUUUCACUGUGCUCUUAUUUUUUAGAUCUAUCCACAUUUUGCUAUUUCGAACUUGUUUCUUUCUUUUUGGUUUCUUGGGAUAUUCUGUAUUAUUGGGACUUCUCUUUUGUUAUGAUAUCAUGCCACCGAGCCCUUUUGUACUUUGCAUUCUUGUUAUUCUGCAAAUGAAUGUUUGGCUAAACUGUUAUCUUGUAAAUUUUCAGGGUACCUCUCAUUUUUCUUUUUUCUUUUUGAAAUGGGGUACCCCCGGUACCUUAACAAAUAUUCGACAUCAGGCGCCUGCUGGUUUAUACAGAUUAGCGAAUUUGGUGCAUGCCCUUCUCGGCAACCAUGGCGGAUUUCCCAUAAAUAGGUAAUCAAAACAUCAUCGCGACAUCUCGAUCAAAAAUUGAAAGUGCGCAAUUGGUCCAACCAAUCAAUUUCUUAUUCUUUCGAAGUUCUCUCCGAAUUUUUGAAUAGCUUACCCCCUACUUUGCUCAAGUAAGAGGACGGAGGUGUGGGUGUUCUCAUACCUAAGCUGAACCUCGUGCCGCUGGGGUAUGCCGAUUUUACUCCAUCCUCGGCUCCUCUUUGACCCUCCCUCUCUUUGUCUAGGUAGUUUUGUCAUGCUUCCGCAGAAAGACUACCCCUGGGCUGUUCACUCCGUUGCCCAUCUUGGCUUUACAUAGAUCGUCAUGAUCUAGGCAUAUCAGGUACCCUGGCUGGUCCUGUGAUAGGUUAGUUAUAAUUGACAAGCGUAUGGCGAGAAUUGCAUAUAACCAAAUGCGAGGGUAUAUUAAUGGCGAUAAAUGAAUAUAAUCCGCAUUCUAAGAUCGAAGUGGCGAAAAAUAAAAAAGAACCCACAUCAUAUUUGUUGAGAAAGAAAAUGCAUUUAUAGAUAACGAAAGCGUUGAUCAAUACAUGACUUAGCGUUGUUACCCUGAGGAGAAUGAGAGACCGCAAGACCUCCUAUCCUUUUCAUUUGAAAAUUAAAGAAACUUUAAAGUUGCAACUGACCAACAUAAGGCAUUCGGGGUACCACAUUUGGCCUACCACGCAAAAACAUUAAAUAAAGCAAACAACAGCAAAAGCCUAAAGGUUAAGACACUAUCCUUUAGUAAUAUUUCCGUAGCAUUGCAGCAUUUCAGGGGUGCCUCACGAUUGUCUUAUUCAUAUGGAGUAGCUAUGCCAAGGUUGGUGACGACUGCAAUGGUGUGAGCUUGAAAAUAUGGUCUGAGCUUCCGUGCGGAGACAACCAAUGCCAAAACGACCUUUUCACAGGUGGGGUACCUCUUUUCGGCAUCAACCAUAGCCUUAUUAGUGUAGUAAAUAGGUCGUUGUACCUCAUUAUCAUCCUCUCGGAGUAACACGGAGCUGGUGGCAUACUCGAAUACGGUGAGAUACAACAGAAGCACCUCUCCCGGCUCAGAUUUGGCAAGUAGUAGAGCAUUCACGAGGUACCCCUUCAGUUCUUGAAAAGCCUCUUCGUAAUCGGGUGUCCAUUGGAGCUUCUUGCCGGUCUUCAAAGCUUUGAAAAAUGGCUUACACCGGUCUGUAGCCUUGGAGAUAAAGCGGCUCAGGGUAGCUACCCGGCCUGCCAAGCUUUGAACCUCCUUGAUGGUGCGUGGCGAUUUCAUGUCAAGAACCGCGUGAAUUUUAUCGGGGUUGGCCCAAUCCCCCGUUAUUGUACCAUGAACCCAAGAAAUUUCCCCAAGGUAACCCCAAAUGCACAUUUUUCAGGGUUGAGCCGCAUCUGGUGUCUUCUUAAAACUGUAAAAGUAUCUCUGAGAUGCCCCAGGUGUUCCCCCAUAUGUACCGAUUUAGUGAUCAUGUCAUCUAUGUACACCUCCAUGGUGUGCCCGAUUUGUUUCUUGAAAAUUUUGUUCACUAGCCGCUGAUAGGUAGCCCCGGCAUUCUUCAAACCAAACGGUAUAACCUUAUAACAGUAUAACCCGCGGUUGGUGAUAAAGGCCGUUUUCUCUUAAUCGGGUUCAUACAUUGGGAUUUGGUUGUAACCGGAGAAGGCGUCCAUAAAACUAAGCAUCUCAUGCCCCGCUGUUGCAUCAACUAGCUGGUCUACCCGGGAAGCGAGAAGCUAUCCUUGGGGCAGGACUUGUUCAAAUCGGUGAAGUCCACACACAUACGCCACCUUCUGUUUGAUUUCCUGACUAGAACAACGUUGGAUACUCAAUCGGGGUACACUGCUUUCUGGAUAAAUCUUGCUGCUAAUAGGCAGUCUACCUCUUGUUCAAUUGCAUCGUACCUCUUUUGGUUGAAGGUGCGACGCUUCUGUUUCACCGGUUUAUUAUGUGGGCUGACAUUGAGUUUGUGACAAGAGAGGAAAGGUGGGAUACCCGGCAUAUCUAAGCGGGACCAGGCGAAUACAUCGUGGUGCUCGCGUAGAAAGGUGAUGAGCCCCUCUCUUUGUUCCUCCGAAAGAUUGGAGCCUACUUUCACGAUCUUUGUUGGGUCGGUGGUACAAAUCGAGACUGAAAUAAGGUCUUCAACUGGGGUACCCCGUUUUUCAUCUUUCAAUAUUCGGGGAUCCAAAAGUGCCUCAACUUCACAUAUGGGCUCCACCUGGUCCCCGUGGGAUACUUUUGACCUAUCCCCCGCAACUGCUUCUACGCCCAUUGGUGAGGAUUCCAACUGUUUUCGUGGGUGGGCUACCUGAGGAGAUUUUUUGAAUACCACUCUCCGCUGUCUAGCAAGUACUCGCUUUGAGGGAUAAGGUGUGGGCUGGCUGCCACUGGGGUACCCCUUCAUUGGCGGAUCAGAAGCGAUUUGAUAAGUGACUUUGGAGGCCAUGAAGUAACAUCCACGAGCCGAUUGCUGGUCCCUUUUAAUGGUGAUAACUUCUUGGGCGGACGGGACUUUCAUGGCGAGGUAGUGCAUGGAUACCACCGCUUUAGUUGCUAUUAAGAACGGCAUACCCAAUAUGAUAUUGUAGGCACCCGGGUGAUCUACAAUAAGAAAAUCAAUCAUAUGAACAACACGGUAAGGUACUUUACCAAGUGUAACGGGCAGUGUAAUGAUGCCUUUUGGUAUAACCAUAUCUCUGGCGAACUCAAUAAGAGGCGUAGCAUAAGGGAUGAUCUUUGGCGACUCUAUCAGUAGUUGAUCCAAGGCGCUUUUGAAAAUGAUGUCAACGGAGCUGCCGGUAUCUACAAGAGUUCUUGCUACCUUACCGAUGGCAACCUUCAACGUAAUUUACUAAGGCAUCGUCAUGGGGGUACGAGAUACCCUCCGCAGUUUUUUCUGUAAAAAGGAUAGGCGGGGGAUGGUGGGGUACUUUCGGUGUACCCCAUUCAUUAAGGUUGACUUCUCUGUCAAUAUUAGUGGUUAUCGACAACGAUCUACCAUAGCCUUUGAUAGCCCUCCUAGAUUGGCCCGCUAAAGUAGGUCCACCCAUAAUCAUCCGGACAUACACGCCUUUCUUAUGUCCCGGGAGUACCUCUCGUUCAGGACUGCCAUCAGCUACCCGCUUGCCCUUAUCCUGCUCCGUGGAUUUCCGAGCUUCUCUCAUGCCAGCAACAAAUUCUUUGAGGUACCCGCUAAGAAUCAAAGAUUCAAUUUCCUCUCGCAAGGUAAAAUACUCGGCUGUGCUAUGACCGAAGUCCUCAUGGAACUCACAAUACUUCAAGUUAUGCUUCAUGUUGGGGUACUUCUUCAUUGGCUAAGGAGGACGAAGGAGGCCGCUAUCCCGAAUAUGGUAGAAGAUCUGCUCUGGGGAUCGAUUCAGUGGAUGGUAAGAUUCGUACCAAGGCCUCGGUGGUGGCGAUCUUGGAGGUUGGGGUACCCUGAGCGUUAUACCCUCGUCCCCGCGGGGUAGCCUGUGGAGGGCUCCAUGCUCAGGGUACCCGCGGUAUUGUGGCCUCCAUCCUCUUGGGAUUCUCUUUGUUCUUUGUAACAUCAGCCUUAUCUUCUUGGCGCUUCAAUUGGCAUUUAUCGUCCAUCUCCACCUGCUGCAACGCCCGGGAACAGGCUUCCCCAUAUGAAAGUGGGCGCUUCUUUUGAAAAGAACGCCAUAACUUGCCUAACCGUAAAUUUUUCUCAAAAUGGGUUAAUGUGUAUUGGUUUCCAAAUGCUCCGGUUCGCAGCACCUCUUGGUGAAAACGACUCAUAUACUCCGCCAAAGGUUCGGCUUCCCCUUGCUUGAUAAAGGCAAGUUUGGAGCCUACCCUAUCUUGAGUGGAAGCGUAGGAAAACUCUUUAGUAAAUUCGGAUAACAAUUGGUGUAAGGAAGAUAUACUACCUGCUUUCAGAGAGCGAAACCAUGACUUCGCAGGGCCCGUAAGUGUGUGUGUGUAAACAUCCUACACAUGGCACUCUCAUCUACACCAUUGAUAAGCAUUUAGUCGCGGUAUAGCUCAGCAUGCUCCGAGGGAUCAGUGACACCCGAGUAUUGGGGUAUUUGAGGCAUGGCGAACGCCUCGGGGAGAGCUGCCUUCCGAAUCUCCAUAGUGAAUGGCGAUUGGUAGGUCAUUGGCGUUGGAGCAGCUGUGAUGUUUUGCUUCUCGGAGAGGAGCUUCACUUGGGCUUCCAGGUUCUCCAUUUUUUUCACAAGUUCGUGGGGUACCCUCGGGGUACCUGAUGAUGUCGCCACCAUUUGAGAAGCCCUUUUGGCGUUUAACUUUUCAUAGAGAUCCUCGUGGGUAUGCUUUGCACGCCUCGUACCCUGGCUGCUGCAGGAAUUGCAAGAGGCGGUGGAACACUCGUCUCGGGAGCCCACGGUAUGAAACUUAAAAUGGGUACCCGAUGGCCUAUGCUUUGGCUUGUUGCCCUCGGGUACCUUUUUUCUGAUCAUAACUUGGUCGUCCUUUUGAGGUGGUAGAGCAUCUAGUGUCACUGGUGGAAGUGAACUUUCGGGUGCCCGAGAUCCAACCGCCCUAAGUAUUGCAUGGGCAAGAUCCUCAAAAUGCUUGUGGGAGAUGGGUUCAUCAUCUUGGCGGAUACCCGUUGAUUGCUUGAUACCCUUGCCCUUGCUGAGAUGGGCUACCCUUCUUACGGUAUCACUACCUUCACCGCUGUUGUCAUCUCCCAUCCUUGUAGGAUCCGCCAUUAAACCUUCGGGAGGUGCGUCAGGUGCCAUGUAUUGGAGUACACACAACAACUAGUUUGGUAACUGCGGUAGAGGCUUUUUGUACGCUUCCCCACAGACGGCGCCAAUUGUUUUCAACAGAUUUUGAGGUAGGAAAAGCCAAAAUCUAUCUUGAACAAUGAAUUUAUAUUUUUGGGGGAGAUGGGGUACCUCACUUGUUUGUUGUGCACAAUGUGGUGUAUCUAAAAUUCGGGGGAGGUGAGAAGGGGAAAAUGAGUGGUAACAACAGUGAAAGGUCAAAACCAAGAGAGAUGCCCUUCAAAAUGAGUUUCACGCCUGCAAAAUAGUGAAAUAGAGGUUAGAGGUGAAGCCGGGGUACCCCGGCGUUCACACUCCGACGCUCAAGUAAGCAAACUCAAGCUUUUAUGGUAAAGAGAGCUGGCUAGCCCUCUGUAAAUUAGGGUUUAAGGUUGAAGAAAACCUAUUUUUUAGAGUGUGAGUGUUAAUGGUGAGUGAGAACAUGAUGGAGAAUGAAACUUAGACACCUUUAUAUAUAGAGUACCUCAGCUGCCACGUGGCAUACCCUUUUUGGCUAACGUCCUUUUACCUUUUUAUGAUUUUUGGGCUGUUAUGUGCAUGUUCGCGGCGUAUCUCAUCCUUUGGAAACGUGGCGCGCGCUGGAGAGUAGUCCAGGGUACCUCUGCAGUAGCUGUCGGGUAGGCGGCUGAGGACCACUGUCCUUGGGACAAUGUCCUUCACUUUUGGCAGAGGUAGCAGGCGGUUGUUCCCUCCUUUUGAUACGACGUUCUUGAUUCCUGAUUCUGACAAAAUCGAAUAAUAUCUUUUAAGAGAUGGAGACGUUUCUCAUGGCGGAUAUUUUCGGAGGAUUCUCUUGCAUCUGAUAUGCCGGGUACCUCGGGUUACGUGGGGUACCUUAAUUUAUGUGGGGUGCCCCUAAUUAUACGGGGUACCUCAAAUCACGCCGGGUACCUUGGAUUGUGCAGGUAUCUCGUAUCAUGUUGGGUACCUCAAUUUGUCCGGGGUACCUUAAAUCAUGCCGGGUACCUCGGAUUGUGUGGGGUACCUCAGAUUGUGCUGGAGUCAUUCCAUUUAUCGACACGUGGCGCUUUACUGCCUUUCUUAUUUUUUUCCUCAAACAAAUAUUAAUUAUUGUGAUUAUUUAUUCAAAAAACUAUAAUUAUUAAUAUAUUAUUGUUAAUAAAAUAUUAAUAUAUUAAUUAAUAGUAAUAAUUUUAUUAAUAGUUAUUAUAAUAGUAUAUUAACUAAUUAAUUAUAAGCUAAACCGUGACUUAAGUUGAACUCAAAAGGACCAGAAUUUAAAAACAUUUCGGGUGAGCCCUUUAGGAAUUUUCUAAAGUACGGCUUCUGCUUAGCUCUGUUUAAUUUCUCUUAUAUUUUUAUACAAAAAGUCUCCGUUCUCUGCCUUUUCAAACUCUGAAGGGGGGCAAUAUUCCCUAAUUCCCCCUUGAAAAUUCUGAUUACGACAUUAUUCAUCGCUUGAUGCAAUCAAAGUGGUGACAAAGUUAGGAAAAAUAUGACUCCCAAGUAAUUACUAGGCAGGGCUCCUGAGAGCAACAUUGUCCUAGGCAUUAUAUGCAUACACGAUGUGGUACAUAGAGCACGUUGAAUUACACACUAUAACACAAACCCAGAAAUACAAGUAAUAACUCAACUGAUGUAAAGACAAAAAUAAUAUAAAAUGAUAUACAAAAAGAAUUUCAAAGAGAUAGCAACAUACAAUAGACUGAAGCCACUUAAUCUAUUCGUUGAUUGCAGCCUUAAACUUGCAAAUAGUUACUGUACGCUAGUGCUCUAAGAAGUGAAAAUGAUGCAACUGAUCCCCUUUUGACUUCCAUUUACUGUCAAAUAUUCUAUUCAUACGAAAAAAAUGUUCAGAUAUCUUGCUAUAAAUAUAGCCGUUUGACUGUCAAAAGUCACACACAACCAUUCUUAUUAAAUUAGCAAAGAUCAAACACUGCCCUAGAUCUUGAACAGACCAACACAAGAUGCACAACUUACGAUUGAAUCCGGCCAGAAACAAUCAACUCUUUAGCAAGAACAAUUAAUCAGAGUCAAGAAACAAGUUUAAUGAAUAUAAACCUAUAAUUGAAACAAACGUAGCCAAGAAACAAAUAGAGAUUUUACAUGUUUCAGUUGUACCAAGGAUGGCACAACCUACACCAUGGGAGAAGCUUUCUGGUGAGAUUUUAUUGAUGAUCAUAGAAGAAUCUAUAACCCUCUCUCCCUGUUCAAUCUCUUUCUAUUUUGUUCCCAGUGAUGACCCCAAUCUGCUUAGUUAGCCAGCUUUAUAGCUGCAUCAGUAACAAACUAGCAAACCCAGAUUGAGCAGAUUGACGACACGUGGAUAACGGCUUUAACGAACCUGGCGAAGAACUGCUCACAUGUUCGUCACGUGUGUUACUUUAAUGAUGGCCAAAACGACUUCAAACAAAUGCCGUUUUGAAGCGUAUGAAUCAUAAGUGAAAACACGUGCUUGUCUCGUGACAUUUAAAUGCAGCAACAAACCCAAAACGCUGUCGUUUUACUCUGUUGAGUUUGAUUCAUCACUAAGCUUCACGACUAGCAAUGGAGAAGAUAUAAUUUAAUUGACAUGAACAGUUUUUAUAUGACUUUUGUAACAUCCUAUGUAAUUGUGAUAUUUGGAAUCAUGGGUGUUCUAUAUGUGAACCCUAGUUGGCAACACUAGUGAUUUUAUCCUUGUUGAAAUGUUACUAUUUUGUUGUAGAUAACUUUAUUCCCACGAGAUUUGUCAUUGUUGUAGAUAACCUUAUUCCCAUGAGAUUUGUCAUUGAAAUUAACACGUAGUUUCAUUGCAUUUCUGCUUCAUUAAAAUUCUCAAGUACCAGUCAGGUUUGCUUAAUUAAGAAAUAAAAAUUUUGCCCACCUUGCAUUUUCUAUUAUUUUUCAUAAAUCAAUUAAUAUGCAAUGUCAAUAUCAAGUUUAGUUUUUUAUACUAAAAAAUAAAGAAAGGAAACACACAAAUUCACAGUUUAGAGGGGUAAACUAGAACGUUCAUCAUACAUAAUUGCAUAUCAUGAGACAGUGCUACAGUCUACUGAGAUCUAACUUACAUGAUAAUUUAAGCUACUAAUGUUUGCAUAUUUCUACAUGUUAAAUUAACACGAACAUCUAUAAUCACUCCAAAACGACAGAUGAUAAGCGGCUUUUGGCCACUUAUUACUAGCAUCCACAAUUAAUUUUUGUUCAGCAAUCAGCUUAUUUUAUAGAAAUUGAUUUAAUCAGCAACAAACACUAUAAUUCUUCAAAUUAAUUUUUGUUCUUUGUAAACUAGCUAGGUGGUUUAGAACUGGGCUAGCUACCUUACUAUAUGGGAAAUUUUUAACCUACCCCAAAUAAAUUGAUAUUUUGCACCGCGCCCCUAAUUCCGUUAAUUUUUCAAUUAUUUCUAACGGCUCCGUCUAACUUUUGAUUGAAUGACAAAAAUGCCCCUCUAUAUGAAAAAAAAAACAAAAUUUUUAGCUCAUUUAAUUUUUUUAAGGUUUUUAUUUCAAUUGCAAUAAAAAAAAAUUUCUUAUUACAUGUACAUUUGUCACCACUAUUAUUUUUCCUUUAAUUUUUUAAAGAUUUUUAUCUCAAUUGCAAUAAAAAAAAUUUCUUGUUACAUGUACAUUGUCACCACUAUUAUUUUUCCUUUAAUUUUUUUUAAGAUUUUUAUUUCAAUUGCAAUAAAGAGAAUUCCCAUUAAAAUUAAUUUAAAGAAUGAACUUUCAAUUUUACCCCUCCACUAUUAAACUUAACUGAAAAAUUAACGUAAUUGGGGAUGCAGUGCAACACGUCAUUUUUUUUUUGGUGCGCGGUGCAAAAUAUCAAUUUAUUUGGGGGUAGGUUAAAAAUUUCCCUUACUAUAUUCCAAUUUGUACGGUGAAUUAAUUGAAUCAUGAGAAAACAAUGUGGUCAUUGCUCAAUAUGAGAUGAUUUCGGAGAGGCAUAUUGUUUUCAAGUUGAUUUAAUCCAUUUAUAAGAGAUGAAGGGGAUUGAAGUGGAAAGUUUAAAUAACAAAUCCUUGUUCUCGAGUUUUACGACGUCGUUACUCCUUCGAAGUGGCAGAUUAUGCAAGUGAAUUAAAGAACAAAAUGCAUCAAUCACGAGGAUGCUACAUCAAAAGACGGGAUCAUUGUUUAUCCACUGAACAGUUACAGUUGCUGCUACCAAUUACCUCGGCAAAGAUCAAGAAGUCAGAACAGGAAGCUAAUGCCAUCGAUGUCGUCUUCAUUAUAACUGCUGGGAACGUAGGUGUAGUUUCCUCAUUUGAAGCUGUCUAUACAUAGGCUUUUCCCCUGCUUAAGUACAAAUAAAUGAACAGCCUCGAAGGCUUAAGUACACUUUCGUUUUCUCAAUUUCUCUCAGAAGUCCCUCUGAGAAUAGCUGCCAAAACAGUUACUCAGCUUUUAUACUCUUGUCUUCCGGAAACAGAGUCCUAACUAACUGACUGUGCAGAGCAUGUCAAUAUUCUUAGUAUAUCUAACCGGUUUAACAGUAAUUUUUUACCGUCUUCGCAGUUAUCAUCAACAAACUCAUCAUAAGAUUUUUGGAGCACCCAAGGACUAUCACUUGGUUUCUCUUCUGGUUGAUUAAUUAAUUAAUCAAAGAACGGUUGGAUACCCAGGGAGAAAGGAGUUGUCUACUGUGUGUUGCGUAAUUAUGCUAUGAUCGGUGCUUUCAACAUUGCCCUGAAAACAGUGGGAAAUACUUCAUAUCCUCGACAUGAUGAUGAAAAACUGGUUACCGAUUACCUAACUGACUCAGGUGACAACAAUCCAUUAAUAGCACAAUUUGAGGUGAUGCCGUUUAGGUAUAUGGUUUACAGGUUUGACUGAUCAGUGAUGAAGUGGACUGAAAUUAAAAGAUCAUAUAAUAAGUCAUUGUUCUUGGGCAUAUCGUCAUUACUCAUUACUACUUCAAGUGAUCAAAGAUGAAGAUGAAGAUGAACAUUGUGCAAGUGAGUUCAAGAAUACCAUACAUCGUUACUUAGGAUACUUCUUCAAAUAUGGAUGGGGUCAUAAUUUACUCCCACGAAUUUCAACCCAAUUUUAUGAUUGGAGUGUCCCACCAUGACUCAGAAAAAUUCUGAUUCAACCUCCUCCACCAAUGGAUUUUGAUUAGUCACUUUGUGAUCAAGCAACUUAAUUAAACUCAGAGAGUCAGAGUUCGAUUUUGCUGGCACCGCAUUUUUUUUAAAAUGUGGCCAUGUAAGGAGAGCGGCACAUAAUGUCACUUCCUUAUCAAGCACUUUAAAGAGGGAUUUUAGAAGAAGAUACAACUGCAAUUGUUUUCGUAUGUAUAUAUAUAAACAACAGCACACAUUCAGUUCAUAAAAGAAAUUUUUGCUAACCAUGAUAUGUGGUAGUGCUUUUUAGGCAAUUUAGAAACAGAGUUGUUCAACAUACAACAGGUGAACUCCUCAAGUUCGACGUAAAUACAAAUAUUAAUUAGAAUCCAUAUUAUAAUGACACACAUAACUUGCUUCAAAAUUAUUAGAAAUUAAAAUUGCUGAUUCAUAAUGCAGAUAACUUGGAUGAAUUGAUGUUAAAGGAAAAAUCACACGCAUAACUUGGAGAGCAAUUGCGACAGCAGCCAAGUAUAUAUUAACUAACUAAAAUGGCCAAUCAGAUUUGCUUAAGUAAUAAAAUUUUGUCUUGUAGUAGUGUUUCCAAGCACCUCGCAUUUGCAUCCACAUUUUGCAGGAAUUUUAAGAAAUACACGUGUCCGAAAGUCAAAUCAUCGUCCUUACUAUUCGAGUACUGGUAUGUUAAUGACGAAUUUGAAAAGCCACACUGUAAAAACAGUUUGUGAUCUAUGCAUGACGAACCACCAACAUUGUAGUAAUAGCACAGGAAAAAAUCUACCAAAAUUAAUUGCGUCCAUACAUAUAUGCAGAUGCAAACAAUGAUUGUAAAUUCUUUUUUUUUAAAGAAAAAAAAUAAGAAAAUUGUAUAUUGAGAUGGAUAAGAUGCUUAAUUUAAUUAAUUUACUUACUUUCAUACACAUCGUCUUUCCAUCUAAAGAAAACUUGGUGGUGAGAACGAUAUGAAGUUGCGAGUUGCUGCCGAUAGCUGCUGAUUAAAAAUAAAACGAGACAAAUUAAAUUAAGGACAAUGAUACAGAGCAUACUUAUCUGAAUUGUGCUAAACUUUCAAAGAUUUUGUCUCACGCGUGCAUGUAUAUCAUUUGUGUUUAAGAUUUAAUUAGUUAUAGUUAUAAUUAUUAGUCAUUUUAUAUUUAUUGAUUCAUCUAUACUGGAUAAAUUUUGAUGGAUUUAAAAAAAAAAAAAAAAAACUCGGUUGCCGAAAAAAUAAAAGAAAAGAAAAUGUUGAAUCUUACAUUUUAAUAUUUAGUUAAUUCUCCUUUCGAGCGUCUUCUUAGGCUUAGCAAACUAACUUAAAUUCUGCUAAUUUCUGUUAAAAAAAUUUGAUGCUGGCACUAAAAUGUUAAAAAAAAAAUGGUUUCUUAGAAAAGAACAAGAAAAGAAAAAUUUCAGCAUCUUCUACUCAGAAUUCUUUUCGUUGUUUAAGACUAUGUUUAUGUUUUCCAAAGAAAAGAAGAUUUUUAUUUUUAGUGACUAAUUUGAUUCUUAUUGGAUGAAAGGGGUGCGAUUUCAAUGAGAAAAAUGGGGAACAAAAUAAAGGAAGAUGAAAGAAUUGAGGGGAUCAUACACGUGGUCUUUUGAAGCUUCCUGAGAAUCGGAAAUGUAUCAACUGCAACUGUUUCUUAUGCCUUUUGCAGUAUUCUGAUAAUUUUAGUUUGAGUGGUUAAGAUAUUAAAUAAUCCAUUACAUUGCUUCCUAUUUUCUUGAUCGACUUACAUGAUCCUAGAUCUAAUGUAUGUUUCUUAUUGGCAGGGACCUCAAUAUGUUUGCACAAACUGCAGUGGAGUACAGUAAGUGUUGAUACAAAUUCUGAAAUUCUUAAUUCCGUCUGCAUACUGUGAAUAGCCUCUGUUUUAAAUUCCAACUUUUCCCAGUUUCAGCUCGACAUUUUAAAGCCAUUCUACGUGAUUCUUAAUUAUCUCUAUUGAAGCUUUAAUUUUAAUGAUGCUAGCUAUAUUUGUAUAAUUUAUAAUCGGUCCGGCCACCAUGUACUAUCUUUUUAUGAUUAAAGCAUCUUCAACAAGAUUUUCUUCAAUUUUCUCCAAGAGGAGCUGGAGCUGUGUCUCUGAUUAGCCAACGAAUUAGUUGCAAUUAAUAUUAACAUUGCCCACCCAAGAAAUAAGAGUGAUUUAAAGAAUUAGCAAGACUUCAUUGAGAGGAGCGAUCAAACGACCUCCUUAUCACCUGCGGCAGCCGUCUAUUAACUAAAAUGCCAAUUUCAUACAAGAAGAAGCAACAAGUACAUGCUCGGCAAUUGUGUUCGGUAAGAAGUGACAUAGCAUUCAGGUGAUGACUUUACUUUUGUUAUCUUGCUAACAAUGGUAGUCUAGUUUAAGUUUUACUGUGGAAGUUACAGAUGUGGCAAAAUCAAUAAUUAAAUUCAUAAAAUGUUAAAAAAUAAAACUUAUAAAUGUUGCAUGACUACUUACUAAUAAAUAAAUAAGUUAAAAUGUAGUUAGUUAAUUUAACACUAUAUUAUAUCUUAUUCGAUAAUAAUAUAAAAUAAAAAUAAUUAUAAAAUAAAUAAUUGGAUAAACAAAUAUGGCUUUCUAAACAGUAAAAAUUCGAGAGCUAAAAUUUAUAUUGUUAUUUUUUUUUAAAUUGACAUUUUUUCUAUUGUCUUACACGUACAUAGAUUUUGAGAGUUGAGAAGAAUAUAUUUGAUGAAGUUUGAUAUCAUUUGAUGGGAUAGCAAGUAAGGGUAAAUAUUUAUUAAUUAUUUUUAUUAAAUAAAAUAUUUUUAUUAAAUAAAAAAAUUUAUUUGUUAUUUAUUUCAAUUAUAUCUAUUUUGUUCAAGUUAAAAUACUAAAUAUAAAUUGGAGGUAGACAUUUUAACAAAUCAUCUAAGCUCUCAAAUUUGAAAUUUUGUGUAGAUUUAAAUUCAUAAUUUUAGUUAAUUUUCAUAUAUUCAUAUAAACAAAUUUAUGAGAUUUUUAUUUUCAGCAUGUUAUGUUUGAAACUUUCAAUGUAUUAUUCUAGUUUUAUUUAAACAAUUAAUUUAUUCAAAUUUUAUUUAAUUUUAAAUUUGAUCAGUAGUAAAAAAAAUUUUAUAUCAAAUUGUUUUAUUUAAAUAGUUCAUGGAUUGGACAAAAUUAAAAAAUUUUAAUUCACAAAAUUAUGGAUGGGAUAUGAAUUGGGUUAAAUCCACAUUCGAUCCGCAGUUGCAUGUAUUGAAUUUGGAUUGAAUUUCAUCAAUCUAUGUAUUAGAUUGAAUUGAAAAUUUAUAAUCUGCAAAAUUGUGAAUCGGAUAUAUAAACUGAUGUCCAAUCAGCAAAAUCCGAUCCCCGAACACUCCUCUAUCAAAAUUUUCAAGAAUAUGUUUUAGCUUACAAUUUUUUUUUUAAAGUCAUAGUCUAAUGGCAGCCCAAUUUCUACUCCAUCCAUAUAAGCGGAGUUCAAAUCUCAUACCUCUUAUCUCCACACGAGAUUUAACCAAUUGAAAUAGCUAGCACCCACAAGUAUACUAGUACAGCAUCUCUUAACGUUUAACAUACGUAUAAUUAACGCCAUAGCUAUUGAUAAACACAUUGUUCAAUAUAUAUGAUCAAGAAUCUGAUCCUGCGAGCAACAGCAGUCAGAAGAACCAUUAUAAUGCCUAGCUCUUAUCCUGGUUAAUCCUCUGGCCCGAUGCUUCAUCAUAGUGAUUUAAAAAACCAACAACAGCUCUCUAAAAGAGAUGAAGAUAUCAUCUACGUAAAGAACAUGAGACGGAGAUUCACAACCCAUAAGAUCUGAGAUAAAUUGGACCAGACCAGUAAUCUUGAGAUAAGUUAAACUGUGACUUAAGUUGAAAUCGGAGGACCAGAAUUUUAAAAUCUUUCGGCUAAGCCCCUGAGGAAUUUUCUAGAGUACGGCUUCUGCUUACCUCUGUUUAAUUUCUCUUUAUAUUUUUCUUUCACUUCAUUAAUAAAGUCAAAUAAUAAAUCAAAGAACGAGGGAAGAUUUUUCCAAGUCAUGCAUUAUUUGAUUACCAUCAAUCAAGAAACCGACCAAAUUAAUUUCUCCCCGUGAUUUUUAAAAAUUAAAAAAAAAUUAUUUGAACAUAACAUCAUUAAUUAUAGAGUGGAUCAAACUGCGUUAAUCAUGAAACUGAUACCUAUUAAGAGUCAUACUUUUUACUUAUGCAUACUAAAAGACAUCAAAUUGUUCCGAUCCCCAAUUAUUUGAUCAGCAACUAUCAAGAACUAACCAAAUUUAUUUCUUCAUGACUUCCAAACACUAGAAAAUUUUGUUAUUUGAUAAUAAUAUCAUUAAUUAGAGUUUAUCAAACCGCAUUAUUUUCUUUCAUAAAAUUGAUGCCUAUUAGUGUCACACUUUAUUUGUAUUACCUAGCGGACAUCAACUUUUUUUUUUAAAAUUAAAAAGACCAUUUGAUUUUAACCCAUGUCCUUGGCCUUAGGGAAGCUGACUUCUUUUAUAGUCGAUAUCAGCUUGAACUUUGUUGUGUAAAUUAUUUCAAUCCCCGAUUAUGCAAUUUUUAAAUUAUAGCCUAACGGCGGUCUCAUCACCAUGUGUGUGAUUUUCUUUUGCCAAUAGGAUCUGCAGAGAGCUUGAUCUCACCCAAUAGCAAAAUAAACUUCCUAAUAAGUGAAGGCAUAGUAUAAAUAUUUCACCCCCAUAUUAUUUAUUAGCAGCUUGAUUAUUUUAUAUGCAUCUUUGAUUUUUAUUUUUUUUUCCCAUAAUUGCUACUAUGUUCGAACUGGUCAUGAAUUAUCUAUAAGAUUUUUCAUGUUGCUUUUAGGUGCAUUGGAUUUUUUUUAGUUUAGUGGAAGAGCAGAGGAAGGCAAAUUAAGAAAAAGGAUAAAGAUCUAUAAUUAGCUUCUCAUAACAUAUUGAUGGUAACAUUAUACAUAUGUAUAUCUAAAUAAUGGGUUGGAUCAGGAGCCCAUUAAUAAUCAUAGAUUAGCUCAUAUAGUUAAAAAAAAUGUACCAUAAAGCAAUUUCACAAGCACUUGUUAGCCUAUGUUGAGCUUUAUUAUCAAUAGUUCAAAGUUCAUCAGUGCACUGCAAGUUUACUAUUUGAAGUAAAUGUUAUGGUGCGUGCAUUCUUCAUAAGGCCAACUAUUGAAUUUAGCAUUGAAACUUACAAAAUGUAAUAGAAAGAGGUAGAUAACAGCCAUAAAACACUAAGAUUGGAAAUCAGGGCUACUAAAUACUAUUACAAGCCCUUAGAAAAGACAGUGAUCAUCUUAAAAUGUAUAUACUAAAAGUAAGAAAUAUUAAUCGCAAAGUUAUGUGUCAACAGAACUAUUAACUACUUGUCUCUAGUAGAAAGUAAAUAUUUUUAACUUCAGCUCUCUACUUUGUUUUAAGAGCUAGGCAAAAGAAGGAAAUUUCGAUGUCUAAAGUUUGCCACUUGGAAUAUUUCACUGUCUAAACAUUCACUCACCACUUAUUUCAUCAACGAAUUUUGUCUAAUUAUAUGUUGAUAAAGAUAUUAGAGUAAUAUAAUGUGUUUAAAGCUUAACUUAUAUUUUUUAUUAGUAGAGUGUAGAACUUUUAAGAAAUAAAUUAUUAAAUUACUAUAACUAACAUAUUAUUUUAAAACAUAUUAUUUUAAAGCUAUGUUAAGGAAAAGAAUGAAACAAAAAUAAAUAAAUAAAUAAGGGUAUUCUAAAACUUUGAUCUUUUUAAAAGUAGAUUUUGACAUAGAUAAAAUAAUUUUUAUAUUUUUUAAAUCACAUACUCUAGUUAAAAUCAAAUUUGUAUUUAUAAAGUUUGUAAAUUUUUUUUUUUUUUAGCACUGAUAUUUGAACACUAUCAAGAUAAGAAAUAGGGUACUGGUCAUGCUACAACAUUAUUAUAGCACGUAAAAAGACAAUACCAUUUAUUUUAUUGUACUAUCAUUGUUGAUAUAAUAGUAUUUUGUUAGUGGUCAAAUAUUAUUUUUUUAAGUAAAAAAAGUGAACAAUGUAAAUUAACUUUUAAUCUCUCCUAAAAUUCUAAUUCCUAGUUACGAAACAAAAUUGUUUAAAAAUCAUUAGGCUAACUGCAUGGGUUCUUAAAACCAUAGGUGAUAGAAGUUACUAACACAAGCAAAUUUGACGGUCCAUUUUAUAAAAUUUGUUAUUUACCAUUUUACCACCUAUAUAAGGAGUGCCGCAUCGACAUAUCAACUCAUUUGCAGAUUAUUUUAAUUUUGUAAAAUUCAUUUAACCUGCACUUGGUCGCCCCUAUUCUCUGAAUGGUUAUGGCGAUAUCAUCAUUAUCGUUACUUGUACCAACGCUAAACCCUUCUUAUUCCCUUUCUCGCCUGUCAUACCCUAACAUUAUAUCCCGUGUCCACACUAAAGACAAGUAGUCAAUUCAGGCCAUCAGAUUAUAGUGGACCCACAUCAAUCCAACUGCUCACAAUGACCGACAGCCUCUCCAUCUCCAUUUCAGGUUUCCUCUUCAACUGGCUUCUGCUUCCGCCGUAUUUGCUCCAUUUCUUGGAUUCGGAGUCCGUAUUUGGUCGGUCGGUCCCGCACAGCUCCCUCUCACUCCAAUUGUCACCCAACAAGACCAAUUGCUUAAUCAAGGCACAGAACAAGAAGAGGAUGGGAAAUUGAAACAAGAAUUUGAGAAUUGGAAAUCGAAAACGUCCGCAUUGACCGUGCCUUUGAGGGCAAUUACUUUUCUUGAGAAUUGAAGUUUGGUAAUGUAAUUUGUUCUCCAUCUGUGUUCCCUUUGUAGUCAUUUCAUUUAUUUGUUUGUUUGCUUUUAUUUGCAGGAGAAAUUGAUCCUCGAGAUAAAAGUAAAUUGUCUUUAAGCUCAUUUAGUUUUAUAUCAAACAAAAUCAAGACUGCCUUUUUCUUCAAUAGUUUUGAUGAUAAUAUCUUUAGAAGCAUCUCAUUGACAGGUAAUCGUGGUACCCCUUAAAGAGUCUAUAAACUCAAGGAUAUUAUCUUCUGCAAAUGGUUCAUUAAACUUCUUAGAUGUAGUUAAAUGUACACUGAGAACAACGAGAAGCUAUGCCACUGUAGCAUGUAGUGAUGGCACUUAAUGAGUGAGUUGCUAGGAUAUGAACUAGAAAAAUUAAACAUUGUCUCCCUGGGUAUGCUAGCUUGUAAGUCGGUUAAUAUUAGAGCUUGAGAUACUAUAACCAUGAGAAGCUAUUGACCGCCGAUUAAAAUAUCCAUUAAAAUGUCUAGGGAGUUAUGAAGGUGGAGGUGUCUCCCAAUUUCUAAGGCCAUAUAGUAGACAUCAUCCAGGAUCCUAUUAAAGUGCAGUUAGCCUCCUGCUUGAUGCUAAUGUCAAACAAUUAAUAAAUUUGGUCAAUGUAACUGAAACUUGCUAACUGACGUCAGAUUGCGACUUGAGCACCUUAAAAUGGGAUAGACGAUUAGUAGCACUGAAUUCUUCUUGCCUAAGAUUGAGCAAUUGUUCUAACUACAAUCUCCUAUUGUAGGUUGAUUAUUAUGUUCUAAUUAUGUCGAUUUUGACCCAAAAAAUUACAUAAUCUUGAUCUGCAUAAUGUCACUGAACAGUGUCAAUUUCGUUUACCAACUAACUUGAGUUUGAUAUAACAAACACACGGUGUGUCUCUCAUGUCUCACCAUGAUGGAGAAUUUUUCUAAUGCAUGAAGCAAGCUUCGAUAUGUGGGUUAGCUUGGAGAAGAUAUCUUAAAAUGAAGAAUAUGGGGAGUUAAUGGGAAGAAACAGUUCAGUAGUUUAUAAUUCUGUCGUCGAGCUGUAUCUCUAACAUGGUCAAAAUUUAUGUGAAUAAGGACAGGGAAUCUUCAUUCCUCUUUCCCUUUUUAUACCCACAUAUCUCUCAACCUUUAUAUGUUGCUCACUGGAGAUCUGCUUCUGAUAACUAAAAUAAAAAUUUCAUCCACUCAAAUAAAUUCUGACCAAGCUUUCACAAGAAAAAGUAACAUCUUUAGUGAAGUAAUUUACAAGUAAUUUAGAGUUCCUUAUCAUCUUCUUGUGAGUCUAUCAGUAUGAUCCAAAAACAUAAUAAAUCUUGUUAGAUCCUGUUUAUUGAUGUUUAAACGCUGCUCAUUGUGAAAUGUAGAAACAAUGACGUGAAGUUUCUUUGGUCAUCAAUUAGUGAGAUCUUGUUUGAAGUUGUUUUCUGAAAUGAACUGCCAAAUGAUAGUUUUUUUUUUUUUUUUUCUUUGGACGCAUUUGAUGGCUCUUUUCUCCUCAUUUUAAGCAUGUGCCUGCUUGGUAUGGGAAGGAAUAGGCUUCAGAGUUGUUAUAUAUGUUGACAUGCUCUGGUCAUUACACAAUAUGUUCAAAUUGGAAAUUAGAAUGAGAUAUUUGUCGAUGCUUUUUGAGAGAUCUGCAUUCUAUGCAGCAUAACAUGAUUAAUGAAAACGGGUUUAAGGACUGGAAAGAUCUGUGGCAGCCCAAGCUUGCAGGAAGGAUUUCAAUGGUUAAUUCUCCCAGAGAGGUUAUUGGUACAGUUUUGAAGUAUAUGGGAGCAUCAUACAAUUCAAACGGCAUUAAUUAGCAAGUUGCUGCUGGGAGGAUUGCUGUUCAGCAGAAUCUGGCAUUACUGGGAAACCAGGUACUCUUAAAGAAACGAUAGCUGGUCAAUGCAUAUUAUUGCCUGACGGCUGAUUUUGUUUGUAAAGUGUGCCUUUUCAUACAUAUGAAUGCAUAUGUUAGUGUUGUCUUCUCCUUUCCAUAAAUAUGAAUGCAUAUGUUGGUGUUCUUUUCUGAGAUGGAUGCAAUAAAGGCUUUUUCUUCUAAAUGACGAGUUUUCAUUUAAAAAUGUUAUAAAUCUGCCAUGCAUAGUAUUCUAGUAGAAUCAUCUAUAAAUUCAAGUUAUUGAAAUUGUCUAUUUGUCCAGUUUGAGUUAAGGACGCAUGUAAUAUGAAAAAUAGUUGUCGAAUAUUGUAGGUUAGCUAAUAUUUGAUCAAUCCUAUAGGGAGGGCUUUAAGAUGUCUAACAACAUGUAGAAUGCCCCUGCUUCCCCCACAAUUUUUAUCUUAUACAAUUUUUAUCUAUAAACAGUAUUUGCCAGACCUUAACUGUUCAGAUUCCCCUUCUCGACUAUCAUACCCUACGCCCCGUCUCCGUGUCUCCGAUAAACAGUGCUCAAUUAAGGCCAUCAGAUUAUCCCGGUCCCACAUUGAUCAACGGCUCACAAUGACCGACAACCUCUGUCUCCAUUACAAGCUCCCUCUUCAACUCGCUUCUGCUUCCAUCCUACUCUUUCUCAGAUUCGGAGCCCGUAUAUGCUCGGCUGGUCCCACGAAGCUCCCUCUCACUCCAGCUGUCAACCGACAAGACCAAUUGCCUUAUCAAGACAGAGAACAAAAAGAGGAUGAGAAAUUGAAACAAGAAUUUGAGAAUUGGAAAUCGAAAACGUACUCAUUGACCGUGCCUUUGAGAGUUGUUUCUCUUCAGAAUUCAGUGCCUCAAUCUUGGGUUAAGGAUUUUAUGCGAAGUCAAGGAAAGUGAUUGAAGUUUCAGAUGAAUUUGUGUGCUAGCAUUGGUGGGAUCUUUAACAAUUUAUCUGCCCUUUAACAAAGUCAAGGCUAAUUCAGCUUCUUAUAUGGCUGCUGAUUUGGUUAGUGUUGGUGAUUCAUGGCUUAGUUUUGCCAUUAAAGAGAGAUUGAUUGAGCCAAUGGCUGGAGCUGAAGACCAAGAUUGGUUCAAAUGCUUAAGUCACAAAUGGAAGGUAACAUCUUUAUCUUUGGCCCGAUAAUUUUUAUUGUCUUACAUUGAAAUUUGGUAAUGUAAUUUGUUCUCUAUCUGUAUUACCCUUUUUAGUCAUUUUAUUUAUUUGUUUAUUUGCUUUUAUUUGCACUAACGAAGUCUCAGGUAUAUCUAUGCAGAAUGAUGCAGGAGAAAUUGAUCCUCGAUGUGAAAUAUGGGCGGCACCAUACAGGUGGGGCACAAUGGUGAUAGCCUACAAGAAAAGUAAAUUUCGAAAGCAUAAUUUGGCUCCGAUUGAGGUAAUAAUUGUCUUUAAACUCAUUUAGUUUUAUAUCAAACAAAAUCAAGACUGCCUUUCUCUUCAAUAUUUUUGAUGAUAAUAUCUUUAGAAGCAUCUUAUUGAUGGGUAAUAAUUGUAUCCCUGAAACAGUCUAUAAACUCAAUGAUAUUAUCUUCUACAAAUGGCUCAUUAAACUUUGUCGUUGUAGUCAAAUGUACACUCAGAGCAAUGACAAGCUAUGCCACUGUAGCAUGUAGUGAUGGCACUUAAUAAGUGAGUUGCUAGGAUGUGAACUAGAAAAAUUAAAUAUUGUCUCCCUGGGCAUGCUAGCUCAUAAGUCAGGGUUAAUAUUAGAACUCAAGAUACUAUAACCAUGAGAAGCUAUUGACUGCCAAUUAAAAUAUCCUUUAAAAUGUCUAGGAAGUUAUGAAGGUGGAAGUAUCUUCCGAUUUCUGAGGCCACAUGGUAGAUAUCAUCCAGGAUCCUAGUACAGUGCAGUUAACCUCCUGCUUGAUGCAAUUAAUAAAUUUGGUCAAUGCCACUGAAACAUGCUAACUGACGUCGCAAUGCGACAUGAGCACUUCAAAAUGGGACAGACGGUCGGUAGCACUAAAUUUUUCUUGCCUAAGAUUGAGCAAUUGGUCUAACUACUAACCCCUUUUGUAGUUGAUCAUUAUUUUUUCAAUUAUUUUCAGUUUGACCCAAAACGUUACAGAAUCUUGAUCUGAAUAUUGUCACUGAACAUUGUCACUGAACAUUGUCAAUGUCGUUUAGCGUAGCCAACUAACUUGAGUUUGGUAAAACAAACACACAGUGUGUCUCAUGUCUCACAAUUCAAAUUAUCAUUUGUAAUGAUGGAGAAUUUUUCCAAUGUAUGAAGUAUGCUUUGAUACGUGGGUUACCUUGGGGAAGGUAUCUCAAAAUAAAGAAUAUGGGGAGAAAACAGUUCAGUAGUUUAUUAUUAUGUAGUCAAGUUUUGUCUCAAAAAUGGUCCAAAUUUAAAUGAAUAAGGACCGGGGAUCUUCAUUCUUUUUUCCCUUUUUUAUACCUAGAUAUCUCUCAACCUUUAUAUAAUCCCCACUGGAUAUCUGCUUCUAAUAAUUAAAAUAAAAAUUUCACCCACACAAAUAAAUACUGACCAAGCUCUAACAAUAAAAAGUAACUUCUUUAGUCAAGUGAUUUACAGUUCCUCAUCACCUUAGUGAGACUAUCAGUGUGUUCCAAAAACAUAAUAAAAUUGGUUUGUUCCUGUUUAUUGAUGUUUAAAUGUUGUUCAUUGUGACAUGUAGAAAUGAUGAGGCGAAGUUUAUUUGGUCAUCAAUUUGUAAGAUCUUGUUUGAAGUUGCUUUCUGAAAUGAACUGCCAAAUGGUAGUUUCUUUGGGGCAUUUGAUGGCUCUUUUUUCCUCAUUUUAAACAUGUGCCUGCUUGGAACAGGAAGGAUUAGGCUGCAGAGUUGUUAUAUAUUUUGACAUGCUCUAGUCAUUGCACAAUUUGUUCACACUGGAAACUAGAAUGAGAAAUUUGUUGCAUUCUAUGCACAAUAACAUGAUUAAUGAAAAUGGAUUGUAGGACUGGAAAGAUCUGUGGCAGCCUGAGCUCGCAGGACGAAUUUCAAUGGUUAAUUCUCCCUGAGAGGUUAUUGGUUUAGUUUUGAAGUAUAUGGGAGCAUCAUACAAUUCAAACGAUAUUGAUUCGCAAGUUGCUGGUGGGAAGAUUGCUGCUCAGCAGAAUCUGGCAUUACUGGCAAACCAGGUACUCUCAAAGAAAUGAUAUCUGGUCAUUGCAUGUUAUUACCUGACAACUGAUUUUGUUUGUAAAAGUCUGCUUCUUCAUACAUAUGAAUGCAUAUGUUAGUGUUUUCUUCUCCUUUUCAUACAUAUGAAUGCAUAUGUUGCUUCUUUUCCUUUCCAUACAUAUUAAUACAUAUGUUGGUGUUCUCUCCUGAGAUGGAUGCAAUAAAGGUUUUUCUGAAGAAAUGGCAAGGGAUGUGAGAUUCUGUCUCAUAAAAUUAACAAAAACCCAAAACAAUGAAAACCCAUAAUAAUGUGGUGUGGGUAAAUUGACGCCAUUUGGUUCGUUUCCUUGAUGUGAAUACGCGGGCAAUAGAGACUAACAAAAUGAAGUGACAACAAGAAGUCAGUGUCCUUUGAUGGAUGCAUUUUUAGGCAGAAAUAGGUUUGUAAUUGACCAAAUUUGUCUGGCAUGCCAAUUUCAAAAAAAUUAAAUUAUGUGGUUAUUAGCUGUAAUGAAGGGGGAUUGUAGGUCCAAUCAGGUGGAUCCAUGAAAGUUCAACAAAGUUCUGGUAUGGCGUAGAAAUUGGUUUGUGCAACUCAAGAGUCUUUCUGGUGAACGAUGAUGGGUUUUGAUUUAUAAAUGUUAUAAAUCUACUGUGCAUAGUAUUCUAGUAGAAUCAUCUAUAAGUUCUAGUUAUUGAAAUUGUCUACCUUGUUCAGUUUGAGUUAAGGGCACAUGUAAUAUGAAAAAUAGUUGUUGCAUCUUUUAGGUUACCUAACAUUUGAUCAAUCCUAUUAUGAGGGCUUCAAGAUGUCUAACAAUAUGUGGAAUGCCCAUGCUCCUCCCCAUUGUUUAUCUUAUAUAAUAAUUUGUUUUAGAUGCUAAUAUCUUUGUCGAUACCGGUAACAAUAUUACAAUAUCUGCGUUUAUUGGGUUUUACAUAGGUUCGACUGUUUGACAGUACACACUCUCUGAAGGCAUUUGGAAAUGGAGAUGUAUGGAUUGCUGUUGGGUGGAGUAGUGAUGUUCUUCCUGCUGUCAAACGUUUGUCUAAUGUUGCAGUUGUUGUUCCCAAGUCUGGUGCUAGCUUAUGGGCUGAUCUUUGGGUAUACCCAUGCCUGCCAUUCUACUUCAAUAUUCACAUUGUUAUCUCCUUCAUAUUAGUGAUCAGUAAACAUGAUAAUGUGACUAAUAAGUUCGUAUUCUCUUUAUAGGCAAUCCCUGCUGACUCAAGACUUGAAACAAAACAAAUUGGAGGGUGAGUCAGAGGUGCAUUUCCAUUAAUCCAUCAAUGGAUAGAAUUCUGCUUGCAAACAGCGAGAGCAUUGCCUUUCAAGCAAGAGGUUAUCCCGAGCGCAUCUCCCUCUGCCCUUGAGAGUACUCUGGUUAAGUUGCCUGAAGAACUUUUGAAGGGUAAACCAAGUCUGGAUACUAACUUAAUUGCUGGAGUACCCCUGACGGAAAUUCUGGCCAGAUGUGAGUUUUUGGAGCCAUUAUCUGAAGCUACAUUGUCGGAUUAUGAGUGGCUGGUUGCUAAUCUGCAAAAAUCCACUCCUGUACUGAUCAACAAGAUGCAACAUUACAUGUCAUCAUUGAUCUUUAGCUAAAGGUACAUUGAAAAGUUAAUGGCACUGCAUACCAGUCAUUAUAAUUGGGUCAGGGCAAUUGGGUCAGGGCAAUUAGGUCAGAGCAUAACUUCAUUAGGAAAAGAGGCUUCAGCUACGUUAAAUAUUACAGGAUGUACUGAGAUGGCUGAAGUUGGUGAGGUUUUACGAGAAACGAAAGAUAGUGUUUGUUUGAACAAAGUUGUUGCCAAUCUUGCAGAGUUCGAGAAGAAAGAUCACGAAGCGAAUGCCACCGAUUUCUUCAUCAUUGUAGCCUCCAUAGUUGAAGUUUCCUCAUUUGAAGCUGUUUAUGCAUAUGCUUUUUCCCUUCUCAAGUACAGGAAAUUGAAGAAUUAACCAGAUGUGAUAUGCUGAAAGAGGGAAGUUUUCUUCCUUGAAUGUGACCUUUGUGAUUUGUCUUGAAGGGAUAGGGUGAUCACUGGCAAGAACCCUAUCAAGGUAGAUUUUAUGAUGUUAACAUAUUAUUAAGCAUUUUGUUACAUCAGCAAUGAUGCUUUCAUAGCAUGAAAGUGUUUAAAUUUAACUGAAUGAUCUUGAUUGAUCAAUUAUGAGUUUUAAUCGAGUAAAAACUAAAUACAAUAAUCGUUAACAAAUAUUGAAAUUGGGUAAAUAAGAUCUUGAUAGUGAAGAAUUUGAAAUCACACCCACACAGGAAAUCACCCUUCGCGUGGGGAUGGAGAUGUUUACUGCAGCGAUAUUGAAUAUGUCCACUGCUGGACUAAUUCUGAUUACCUAAUUGACUCAGGAUCGGCUGGCAAUAAUAACAGUUUAUUAACAAUGCACAGUCCGAGUACUUUUCCAGGAUCAGAUACGACGUGGUCUAAUGUUGAUAAUAAUAGAUUAUCAAAUGACAAAUCGUUGUUCUACUAUUGCAAGCCCCCAGAUUUAAGAAUCUUUUUCAGAAAUUAAAUACAUUCUGAGAGAUGCUGGUCUACUAUUGCAAGCCCCCAGAUUUAAGAAUCUUUUGACGGUAAUUUAUCACCUGUAACUGUGCCGGAAGAUUCAACUAGCACUGAAAAAGAUGAUAAAUUAAUUGAUAUGGAGAGUUUUCAUAUCACUUUUAAAUCAUCUUAUGUAAUUGUGAUGUUAGGAAGCAUUAGUGAUCUAUAUGUGAAUUAUUAUUGGCGCCAUUGGUGGUUUUAUCUUGUUAAAAUAUGGAUGAAUUCCAGUUACUAUUUUGUUGCAGACAAUCUUCUUCAAUUAACAUAUGGUUUAAAAUCAUUAUGUAAAUCAAUCUAUUAAUUUUCAAGAUAUUUAACUGAGUUAAAACUAAGUGCACUCAAUAAAUCUCUUUUCCUUUAAAAAACUGUUACGCUUUGAUUUUAGUGCUUAAUAUUUAUUGAACUCCGAUACAGGGAAUUUGAAAUCAAACUCGUAACUACAUAUUAUCUAAUUGCAAGUUUCUAUCCAUAGCUGCUGAUUUGUAGUGAUUAUCUAAUUGACUGAGGUGACGACAAUUUUUUUUUUUUAAAUUUUCAAUAGCACAAUGUGGAAUUCAAUAAUUAAAUUCUCCUUUUUAAUUUGUUUCCAGUUAAAUUAUUAAUUACUUAAACUCUGUUUUAAGUCUUUAAGUUUAUGUGUUUAUGCAGAAUUGGAUUCUUGAGCGUGUUGGACACGACCAACAAUGAAAUUGACAGUAAAAAAAACAAUACAACGUGUGGACUCCGGUAGAUGCCAUACAAGUCUACAACUUUACAAAUAAUAAUUGAGUAAGCAACUUUGAUUCUCGGGGCCCUUCAAUGAAUUUCUAGCCCCGUUGACUCCGCCAACUAAAGUUUGUAAAAUAAAAAAAUACAUAGAAUUCCACUAAAUGCAAAACGCGUGGAAUUUAAUUUUCGGCCAUGUGGACCAAAACAUAAUUUAAUGAAAAAGGAAAAAAAUGAUAAGAUUUCUAAAAUAUGUGAAAGAUGAUCCAUAUUUUACUGAAACGACUUAUUAAAUUUUUCAAAGAUUUAGAAUAUUUAGUCAUAAAUUACGUGCAUGUUAAUUUUUCCGCCAUUGACUAUCAUAUUCUAAACUUAAUAGUACAUUUCUUGUUGAAGGGUACUUAAUCUCUCUUCUCCUCUUAUAAAAAUUAUAUUGAUGGAUUUCUUGUUAUAGUUAAUAGUCUUUAAGAACGGAUAACUUUAUUGUUUUCGUGACCAAAUUAUGUCCGCCUAAGGUUGUGACUAUUAAUAAAAUUAAUAUUUAAUGUUUAUGUUAAAAGAUAUAAGAUUUUAUGCGUUCAUUAAUUGUUAUUAGCUAAAGGAUGAAUUAUUUUUUCAACCCAAUCAGUUGAUGCAUCUGCAAGAGUUUUUUUCUUUUAUUGACCAUAAUUAUGUUCCGGGUACAAUAAAUUGUCUUUGGUGCUUGGAAAAUAUGACUUCUUACUUCAAGUUUGAUAUGUCUCUCUCCAUAAACUUACUGGAAAUAUAUCCUCAUCUACUGUCAUUUAUCUAAUAUCAAUUGAAGAUCUCACUUUUUCAAACUAUCACUUCCAAGUCUCAUUGUCACUUGGCCAUUCUUGGACCAUUCAAAACCAAUCAAGUGUUGAAAUAAUCAAAUAUAUGCAAAAUUAGAGUCACGAUUUUUGGUCCCCCAAAUUCUAAUUAUAUAACUUCUAUAUAUUUCAUUGCCAGGUCACGAACUUGUUGGCACAUUUUCCAAAUUCCUCUUCCAUCAGCUCUCACACGUUAACUUAAGUGAAAAGUUUCCAAGUUGAUUGCUAGAAAGCAACGCAAAAUCAGACACACUUGAUCUGUCCCCUAAUUCUCUUUUCUACGUUGAAAAAGAAAAAAAAAAAUAAAAUACAUACAUACAUAUAUAUAUAUAUAUAUAUAUAUAUAUAUAUAUAUAUAUAUAUAUAUAUCUAUGUAAAAAUAAAUAAUAAACUGAGUAAAAGUACAUUUGUUUAAUUAACAUCUGAUCGGGGCAUUUUUGGUGUAAGCCACAACUAAAAUCAAACAGCCCCUUAGCAUACUUCUUCCAUUUUAUCGGCUACUUUUGUGGAUCUUAUAGGGUGGGCAUGUGGACAGAAUUUAAAAGUUUUAAUAGGCUCAAAGAAGAAGAUGUGUUAAAUCUAAAGUUGUUGCACCUUCUGAUUAAAUAAAGUUGUACAAUUUCAUCAACUUGAAAGAAUUGACAUUAAUGAACUGGUCGCCUCUCCAUGUAUGAAGCCUUCUUAAAAGUUAAUUUUUAUUUCAGAAAAAAAAAGUUUAAGUUACAUAUAUUACAGUAAGAUUUUUUGAGACCAAUUCCCUUCUUGAAAUAAUAAUAGAAAAGUAUUAAUUUAAAAAUAAAAUGAAUAUGUAUUGAUUAUAUCCUGAUUUUCAUCGAUUAUAGUUAGAGUUUCACCAAAUCAAUUCCCUUAUUCAAAUAAUACAGAAAAAAUAGUAAUUUAAUAGUAAAAUAAACAGGUGUUGAUUAUAUAUCCUAAGUUUCAUCGAUUAUGUGAUCAAAGUGGCAUUGUUGAUUUAUUUUUUGUUCAAUGUUAAUUUUUAGGUUAUAUAAAUUUCAAGGAUUUAAAAUCUUUGGCCAUGAAUUACACGCUUGUUAAUUUUCCUGCCAUUGACUGUCAUAUUCUAGACUUAAUGAUACCUUUCUUGAUCAAGGGUAAUUACUCUCUCUUCUCCUCUUAUAAAUUCCUCUUCCAUUAACAUCACUAGGAGUAUGUUGAUCUCUCAGACGUUAACUUGAGUGGAGAGUUUCCAAAUUGAUUGUUACAAAACAACACAAAAACUAGACACACUUGAUCUGUCUAAUAAUUCUCUUUCGGUAAAAUUAAAUAAUUUUAGGGGAAUAUUCGGCCAACCUCUAUAAUUUCAUAGUGAUCAUUAAUUAAUUAAUCGAUACAAAUAUCUAAAGUGAUUAAAUGUGACUUGAAAUUUGAUCUCUAUCGAUUGGUUUACAAAUGGACGUACUUGUGCCUUUGUGGCGAUAAUCGAACAAGUACCCAUGAUUAUUAUUUUUUCCAAAAACUUUUUUACAACAAAUUCAUCUCGUCAAAAAUUCUAUGUUGCUAACUAACAAUAAUUGAGCACUUGGCCGCAUUGACUCCACGUCUCCACCUCUUUCUAAAUUCUAAGUAAAAACAUGGAAAUGUAAUUUCCACAAAAUGCCAAAUGUGUGGAAUUUAAUUUUUUGCCUUGUGGAUCAAAAUACAAAUGAAAGAAACAGAAGAAAAAAAAGGCCCAAAGACUUCUAAAAGAUGAAGAAGUCUUUGUGCCUUUUUAUAAUGGUGAAUUUUUUUAAAGAAAAAAAAUAACAACAUUUUUAUGGUUUGUUUUGAUAAUCAUAUUUACAUAUACUCUCUAAUUUCAAAAUGGACACAUAAAUCUUUUUUUUUUACAAAAUAUAUAUUAUUCAUAUUUUUUUUAUUUUUUUAUUAUCAUAUUUUUAUUUAUUAUAAAUGUUUAGAGCAAAUUUUUAGGUUGAAAUAUAAUAAAAAGGUAUAAUUGUUCUCUUAUUAAACACACAUACUUUUAUUAGUUUCUAUCCAUUUGUCAUCUCAAUCUCUCUCAAUUAUUCUUUAUUGCUAGCUCAAAACGCGUUGCUGUUGCAAAUUAUAGCAAAAUGACAAAUAUGGAAAAAAAGGGAAGAAAAUUAAUGCAUGAAAGACUUGGAGAAAACAACAAAAUAAGCCAACUAUGAGCUAGUUGGGUGUAUAAAUUGUUAGAUGUGUUAUAUACAAAUAGCGUAGAGCCCUCUAGUUGGUUCCAGAGACAGAAAGAGCGUGUGUGUUUUUUCACAGUUAGAGAUAUAGUUAGAAUGGGUGGUUCAAAAUCAAAAAUGAUGAUAAUGUUUAUUAUGUUAUUAAUAAUAUUUAAAAGUGGGUGGAGUGAGGGAUGUUUGGAUCACGAGAGAUUUGCUUUUUUGAGACUCAAACAUUUCUUCAAUGAUCCUCUUAAUUCUCUUUACGACUGGGUAGAUGGUGAGGGAGCUACUGAUUGUUGUCAGUGGGAAAGGGUUGAGUGCAGCAACACCACAGGCCGAGUGAUAGCACUGGACCUUUCUUAUAUAUAUUCGGAGAGUACAGCUGGUAUCUGAAUGCUUCUUUAUUUACUCCCUUCCAACAACUUGAGUCACUUGAUUUAACUCAAAACAAAAUAGCCGGAUGUGUUGAGAAUGAAGGUACUUUGUUUAAUUUAAUUAAUUUACUUUCUCCCCCCUAAUUUAAGUUGAAUAUCAAGACCGAGCAAUUAUAUGCAUAUUCAUUUAGUCGACAAUUUUGACUUUUUUUUAAAUGAUUAAUUUUGAAAUUACACCAGUAUCUAUGAUCUUUUUUAUUUUAUUUUAUUUGCAGGUAUAGAGAGGCUAUCAAGAUUGAACAACUUGAAGAUGCUUAAUUUAAGUCGAAACUCAUUCAAUAAUAACAUUUUAUCAUCUCUAACUCAUCUUUCAUCAUUAAGAUCAUUAAAUUUAUUGUGGAAUAGAUUGGAAGGAAGUAUUGACGUUAAAGGUACAUAAUUAAAACUUCAAGCUCUUUCAUUAACUUGCUAAAAUAAGAUUCAAGGCUUUGAAUUCAAUUUUUUUUAUGAUUAAUAUUAAAAAAAACAGUUUUAAGCAAUUUAUAAAUACAAGUUUUAAUGUUUCUUGUAAUUUCAUCUUGUACUUUCAUAUGUCUUGAAUUUAAGAUUAAAAAAAAAAACUCUAAUAGCGAACCAAACACCUCCACAACUUAUUAUUAUUAUUUUAAUUUGUGGUGAGGUUUGAAACAUUCAACUCAAUUUGUACUUAUUACAGAAUUUGAUUCUUUGAGAGAUUUAGAGGAGCUAGACAUUGGCGGGAACAAGAUUGACAAAUUUGUGGUCUCAAAAGGUACUACAAAUACCAUAAAAAAAUAUGCUAACUUUUACAAAUUAGUUAGAUUCUUUGCCAUUUGGUUUAUUAUUUUACAGGUUUGAGUAAGUUGAAGUCUCUUGGUUUAAGUGGUAUCAAACUCAAUCGUAGCAUCUUAUCUUCUCUUUCUUCGUUAAGAGAAUUAGAUAUAAGUCGUACGGGAUUCAAAGGAACAUUUGAUGUUCGAGGUAAGCCUAAACCUUGCUUUCUCAUUUUAUAUAUGCCAACUAGAUUUGUGUAUCAUCGACAUAAUUUAAUAUUUAAUUUGAUAAGUCUGAAUGAAUUACAUGCUAAUUUAAACACACUUUUAUUUACUUUGUCAAUUAAUUAAUUAAUUAAUUACUAUUUGGCUUGGUUUGGACGAAAUUCUCAUGAUGUUUUUAAUUUCUUUAAAUUAAUUAAUUAAUUAACUCUGUUUUUAAGUCUUAAGUCUGGGCAUGUUUGCAGAAUUGAUUCCUUCAAUAACUUAGAAGUGUUGGACAUGAGUUGGAACGAAAUCGACAAUCUUGUGGUUCCUCACGGUAAACAAUUAAAAUGUUAUUCAAUUACAUUAUUUUAAUUCAUUUGAUUAGGGAAGGCCAAAAAGGUAAAAAAAAUAAUAAUAAAGAAACAGAGAAUUUGUAUUAUUUAAAAAACAGAAUGUAAUAAAGAUUUUGAUUCUGGUUCUUUAAUCUUUAAAGUGAUUGAAAACAAUGUUGCUCUUUUCCCAAAGCAUCAAAUACGAAUUGAAUGCCAAUUAACUUAAUCAUUCAUUUCGUUUAGCUCUAAAUUUAGACAAUGAAUUUUUAUAUUAUUUCAAAAACAUGACGUAAUAGAAUUUUUUUAAAAACAGAUUCUAAUAAAGAUUUGAUUCCAAUUCUUUAAUCUUUACAGUGAUUGAAAAACGAUACUACUCUUUUCCCAAAGCAUAAAUACGAAUUGACUCCCAAUCAAAUUAAUCAUUUAUUUCGUUCAUCUCUGAAUUUAAAUAAUGAAUUUUGAUCUUCAAUCGUAUUAUAAUUACUAUUAAAGAACAGGUUACAGAGGUUUGAGGAAGUUGAAUCAUCUUGAUCUAUCGGGAGUUGGAAUUAGAGAUGGAAGCAAGUUGUUACAGUCAAUGGGAUCAUUCCCAUCCCUCAACACUCUUUACCUUUCGUGGAAUAAUUUUAUCGAUACAGCGACCGCUACUCAAGGUAAGUAAAAGGUACAAAUGUGGCCAAAUUUAUAAAUAAAUUGUUAAUUAAUUAAUUUUUCCGUAUUAUUAAUUAAGCUAAAUUUGUUGCUCCUUCCUUCUAAAUCUAAACAGAGUUGCACAAUUUCACCAACUUGGAAUAUUUGACAUUGGACUUUUCCUCUCUCCAUAUAAGCCUUCUCCCAAAGCAUUGCAUCAUUAUUCCCUUCGUUAAAAAAUCUGUCGAUAUCUCAUUGUGAAGUCAAUGGUGUCCUACGCGGUCAAGGUAAAAGAAAAUCGUUGAUUGUGAACUCACUCAAUGGUGUCCUACGUGUUCAACAUUUUUAUUUAUUUAUUGUUUAAUGUUUCUGCUAGGUUUUCCUCAUUUCAAGAGUUUGGAACAUUUGGAUAUGGAUUACACGCGCAUUGCACUCAACACCGGCUUUCUUCAAAUCAUCGGUGAAUCGAUGCCUUCUCUUAAGUACUUAUCACUGUCAAGGUUAAUCUAUAAAUCGAUGCCUUCUCUUGAUCAAGGUUAAUCAGAUGCUCCCACUCUCCCCUCUUAAUCUAUAAUAUUAAUUUUCAAUUCAAUAUUUAAUUACACAAACGAAUCACUUAUUAUAAAAGAAUAAUACGCAUUCAUUAAUUUUUAUAUUGUAUUAAUAAUUGAUGAAUUUAAUAACUUUUCAGGUCUCUGUUCGUUGGUGCAUCUGCAAGUGUUGAACAUUGCAGGCAAUGAUUUAAGAGGUAGCUUGCCUUGGUGCUUGGCAAAUAUGACAUCCCUCCGAAUAUUAGAUGUUUCUUCCAAUCAACUUACUGGAAGCAUCUCCUCAUCUCCCCUCGUUCAUUUGACAUCCAUUGAAGAGCUGAUGCUUUCAGACAAUCACUUCCAGAUCCCAAUUUCACUUGAACCAUUUUUCAAUCACUCACGACUCAAGAUUUUCCAUGCUUACAACAACGAAAUAAAUGCAGAAAUAACUGAGUCACAUUCUUUGACUGCCCAAACUUCCAAUUAAAAUAUCUCUCAUUGUCUUCCGGUUACGGAGAUGGUGUCACAUUCCCCAAAUUCCUUUACCAUCAACAUGAUCUGGAGACUGUUGACCUCUCACAUAUAAACAUGAGGGAGAAUUUCCAAAUUGGUUGUUGGAAAACAACACAAACUUAGAAAUAUUUUUUGGUUAAUGAUUCUCUUGCAGGACCUUUCCGGUUGCCAAUUCAUUCACACAAGCGGUUAAGACUGUUGGAUAUAUCCAACAACAACAUCAGAGGCCACAUUCCAGAAAUUGGAGAUGUUUUACCGGGUUUAUUUUCUUUAAACAUUUUCAUGAAUGCUUUAGACGGUUGCAUUCCCUCUUCAUUUGGUAAUAUGAAAUUCCUCCAAUUUNNNNNUUAAUUAAUUAANNNNNGAUGGGAAAUUGAAACAAGAAUUUGAGAAUUGGAAAUCGAAAACGUCCGCAUUGACCGUGCCUUUGAGGGCAAUUACUUUUCUUGAGAAUUGAAGUUUGGUAAUGUAAUUUGUUCUCCAUCUGUGUUCCCUUUGUAGUCAUUUCAUUUAUUUGUUUGUUUGCUUUUAUUUGCAGGAGAAAUUGAUCCUCGAGAUAAAAGUAAAUUGUCUUUAAGCUCAUUUAGUUUUAUAUCAAACAAAAUCAAGACUGCCUUUUUCUUCAAUAGUUUUGAUGAUUAUCUUUAGAAGCAUCUCAUUGACAGGUAAUCGUGGUACCCCUUAAAGAGUCUAUAAACUCAAGGAUAUUAUCUUCUGCAAAUGGUUCAUUAAACUUCUUAGAUGUAGUUAAAUGUACACUGAGAACAACGAGAAGCUAUGCCACUGUAGCAAUGUAUGAUGGCACUUAAUGAGUGAGUUGCUAGGAUAUGAACUAGAAAAAUUAAACAUUGUCUCCCUGGGUAUGCUAGCUUGUAAGUCGGUUAAUAUUAGAGCUUGAGAUACUAUAACCAUGAGAAGCUAUUGACCGCCGAUUAAAAUAUCCAUUAAAAUGUCUAGGGAGUUAUGAAGGUGGAGGUGUCUCCCAAUUUCUAAGGCCAUAUAGUAGACAUCAUCCAGGAUCCUAUUUAAAGUGCAGUUAGCCUCCUGCUUGAUGCUAAUGUCAAACAAUUAAUAAAUUUGGUCAAUGUAACUGAAACUUGCUAACUGACGUCAGAUUGCGACUUGAGCACCUUAAAAUGGGAUAGACGAUUAGUAGCACUGAAUUCUUCUUGCCUAAGAUUGAGCAAUUGUUCUAACUACAAUCUCCUAUUGUAGGUUGAUUAUUAUGUUCUAAUUAUGUCGAUUUUGACCCAAAAAAAUUACAUAAUCUUGAUCUGCAUAAUGUCACUGAACAGUGUCAAUUUCGUUUACCAACUAACUUGAGUUUGAUAUAACAAACACACGGUGUGUCUCUCAUGUCUCACCAUGAUGGAAUUUUUCUAAUGCAUGAAGCAAGCUUCGAUAUGUGGGUUAGCUUGGAGAAGAUAUCUUAAAAUGAAGAAUAUGGGAGUUAAUGGGAAGAAACAGUUCAGUAGUUUAUAAUUCUGUCGUCGAGCUGUAUCUCUAACAUGGUCAAAAUUUAUGUGAAUAAGGACAGGGAAUCUUCAUUCCUCUUUCCCUUUUUAUACCCACAUAUCUCUCAACCUUUAUAUGUUGCUCACUGGAGAUCUGCUUCUGAUAACUAAAAUAAAAAUUUCAUCCACUCAAAUAAAUUCUGACCAAGCUUUCACAAGAAAAAGUAACAUCUUUAGUGAAGUAAUUUACAAGUAAUUUAGAGUUCCUUAUCAUCUUCUUGUGAGUCUAUCAGUAUGAUCCAAAAACAUAAUAAAUCUUGUUAGAUCCUGUUUAUUGAUGUUUAAACGCUGCUCAUUGUGAAAUGUAGAAACAAUGACGUGAAGUUUCUUUGGUCAUCAAUUAGUGAGAUCUUGUUUGAAGUUGUUUUCUGAAAUGAACUGCCAAAUGAUAGUUUUUUUUUUUUUUUCUUUGGACGCAUUUGAUGGCUCUUUCUCCUCAUUUAAGCAAUGUGCCUGCUUGGUAUGGGAAGGAAUAGGCUUCAGAGUUGUUAUAUAUGUUGACAUGCUCUGGUCAUUACACAAUAUGUUCAAAUUGGAAAUUAGAAUGAGAUAUUUGUCGAUGCUUUUUGAGAGAUCUGCAUUCUAUGCAGCAUAACAUGAUUAAUGAAAAUGGGUUUAAGGACUGGAAAGAUCUGUGGCAGCCCAAGCUUGCAGGAAGGAUUUCAAUGGUUAAUUCUCCCAGAGAGGUUAUUGGUACAGUUUUGAAGUAUAUGGGAGCAUCAUACAAUUCAAACGCAUUAAUUAGCAAGUUGCUGCUGGGAGGAUUGCUGUUCAGCAGAAUCUGGCAUUACUGGGAAACCAGGUACUCUUAAAGAAACGAUAGCUGGUCAAUGCAUAUUAUUUGCCUGACGGCUGAUUUUGUUUGUAAAGUGUGCCUUUUCAUACAUAUGAAUGCAUAUGUUAGUGUUGUCUUCUUCUUUCCAUAAAUAUGAAUGCAUAUGUUGGUGUUCUUUUCUGAGAUGGAUGCAAUAAAGGCUUUUUCUUCUAAAUGACGAGUUUUCAUUUAAAAAUGUUAUAAAUCUGCCAUGCAUAGUAUUCUAGUAGAAUCAUCUAUAAAUUCAAGUUAUUGAAAUUGUCUAUUUGUCCAGUUUGAGUUAAGGACGCAUGUAAUAUGAAAAAUAGUUGUCGAAUAUUGUAGGUUAGCUAAUAUUUGAUCAAUCCUAUAGGGAGGGCUUUAAGAUGUCUAACAACAUGUAGAAUGCCCCUGCUUCCCCCACAAUUUUUAUCUUAUACAAUUUUUAUCUAUAAACAGUAUUUGCCAGACCUUAACUGUUCAGAUUCCCCUUCUCGACUAUCAUACCCUACGCCCCGUCUCCGUGUCUCCGAUAAACAGUGCUCAAUUAAGGCCAUCAGAUUAUCCCGGUCCCACAUUGAUCAACGGCUCACAAUGACCGACAACCUCUGUCUCCAUUACAAGCUCCCUCUUCAACUCGCUUCUGCUUCCAUCCUACUCUUUCUCAGAUUCGGAGCCCGUAUAUGCUCGGCUGGUCCCACGAAGCUCCCUCUCACUCCAGCUGUCAACCGACAAGACCAAUUGCCUUAUCAAGACAGAGAAAAAAAGAGGAUGAGAAAUUGAAACAAGAAUUUGAGAAUUGGAAAUCGAAAACGUACUCAUUGACCGUGCCUUUGAGAGUUGUUUCUCUUCAGAAUUCAGUGCCUCAAUCUUGGGUUAAGGAUUUUAUGCGAAGUCAAGGAAAGUGAUUGAAGUUUCAGAUGAAUUUGUGUGCUAGCAUUGGUGGGAUCUUUAACAAUUUAUCUGCCCUUUAACAAAGUCAAGGCUAAUUCAGCUUCUUAUAUGGCUGCUGAUUUGGUUAGUGUUGGUGAUUCAUGGCUUAGUUUUGCCAUUAAAGAGAGAUUGAUUGAGCCAAUGGCUGGAGCUGAAGACCAAGAUUGGUUCAAAUGCUUAAGUCACAAAUGGAAGGUAACAUCUUUAUCUUUGGCCCGAUAAUUUUUAUUGUCUUACAUUGAAAUUUGGUAAUGUAAUUUGUUCUCUAUCUGUAUUACCCUUUUUAGUCGUUUUAUUUAUUUGUUUAUUUGCUUUUAUUUGCACUAACGAAGUCUCAGGUAUAUCUAUGCAGAAUGAUGCAGGAGAAAUUGAUCCUCGAUGUGAAAUAUGGGCGGCACCAUACAGGUGGGGCACAAUGGUGAUAGCCUACAAGAAAAGUAAAUUUCGAAAGCAUAAUUUGGCUCCGAUUGAGGUAAUAAUUGUCUUUAAACUCAUUUAGUUUUAUAUCAAACAAAAUCAAGACUGCCUUUCUCUUCAAUAUUUUUGAUGAUAAUAUCUUUAGAAGCAUCUUAUUGAUGGGUAAUAAUUGUAUCCCUGAAACAGUCUAUAAACUCAAUGAUAUUAUCUUCUACAAAUGGCUCAUUAAACUUUGUCGUUGUAGUCAAAUGUACACUCAGAGCAAUGACAAGCUAUGCCACUGUGUAGCAUGUAGUGAUGGCACUUAAUAAGUGAGUUGCUAGGAUGUGAACUAGAAAAAUUAAAUAUUGUCUCCCUGGGCAUGCUAGCUCAUAAGUCAGGGUUAAUAUUAGAACUCAAGAUACUAUAACCAUGAGAAGCUAUUGACUGCCAAUUAAAAUAUCCUUUAAAAUGUCUAGGAAGUUAUGAAGGUGGAAGUAUCUUCCGAUUUCUGAGGCCACAUGGUAGAUAUCAUCCAGGAUCCUAGUACAGUGCAGUUAACCUCCUGCUUGAUGCAAUUAAUAAAUUUGGUCAAUGCCACUGAAACAUGCUAACUGACGUCGCAAUGCGACAUGAGCACUUCAAAAUGGGACAGACGGUCGGUAGCACUAAAUUUUUCUUGCCUAAGAUUGAGCAAUUGGUCUAACUACUAACCCCUUUUGUAGUUGAUCAUUAUUUUUUCAAUUAUUUUCAGUUUGACCCAAAACGUUACAGAAUCUUGAUCUGAAUAUUGUCACUGAACAUUGUCACUGAACAUUGUCAAUGUCGUUUAGCGUAGCCAACUAACUUGAGUUUGGUAAAACAACACACAGUGUGUCUCAUGUCUCACAAUUCAAAUUAUCAUUUGUAAUGAUGAGAAUUUUUCCAAUGUAUGAAGUAUGCUUUGAUACGUGGGUUACCUUGGGGAAGGUAUCUCAAAAUAAAGAAUAUGGGGAGAAAACAGUUCAGUAGUUUAUUAUUAUGUAGUCAAGUUUUGUCUCAAAAAUGGUCCAAAUUUAAAUGAAUAAGGAGGGGAUCUUCAUUCUUUUUUCCCUUUUUUAUACCUAGAUAUCUCUCAACCUUUAUAUAAUCCCCACUGGAUAUCUGCUUCUAAUAAUUAAAAUAAAAAUUUCACCCACACAAAUAAAUACUGACCAAGCUCUAACAUAUAAAAGUAACUUCUUUAGUCAAGUGAUUUACAGUUCCUCAUCACCUUAGUGAGACUAUCAGUGUGUUCCAAAAACAUAAUAAAAUUGGUUUGUUCCUGUUUAUUGAUGUUUAAAUGUUGUUCAUUGUGACAUAGAAAUGAUGAGGCGAAGUUUAUUUGGUCAUCAAUUUGUAGAUCUUGUUUGAAGUUGCUUUCUGAAAUGAACUGCCAAAUGGUAGUUUCUUUGGGGCAUUUGAUGGCUCUUUUUUCCUCAUUUUAAACAUGUGCCUGCUUGGAACAGGAAGGAUUAGGCUGCAGAGUUGUUAUAUAUUUUGACAUGCUCUAGUCAUUGCACAAUUUGUUCACACUGGAAACUAGAAUGAGAAAUUUGUUGCAUUCUAUGCACAAUAACAUGAUUAAUGAAAAUGGAUUGUAGGACUGGAAAGAUCUGUGGCAGCCUGAGCUCGCAGGACGAAUUUCAAUGGUUAAUUCUCCCUGAGGUUAUUGGUUUAGUUUUGAAGUAUAUGGGAGCAUCAUACAAUUCAAACGAUAUUGAUUCAAGUUGCUGGUGGGAAGAUUGCUGCUGCUCAGCAGAAUCUGGCAUUACUGGCAAACCAGGUACUCUCAAAGAAAUAUCUUUGCAUGUUAUUACCUGACAACUGAUUUUGUUUGUAAAAGUCUGCUUCUUCAUACAUAUGAAUGCAUAUGUUAGUGUUUCUUCUCCUUUUCAUACAUAUGAAUGCAUAUGUUGCUUCUUUUCCUUUCCAUACAUAUUAAUACAUAUGUUGGUGUUCUCUCCUGAGAUGGAUGCAAUAAAGGUUUUUCUGAAGAAAUGGCAAGGGAUGUGAGAUUCUGUCUCAUAAAAUUAACAAAAACCCAAAACAAUGAAAACCCAUAAUAAUGUGGUGUGGGUAAAUUGACGCCAUUUGGUUCGUUUCCUUGAUGUGAAUACGCGGGCAAUAGAGACUAACAAAAUGAAGUGACAACAAGAAGUCAGUGUCCUUUGAUGGAUGCAUUUUUAGGCAGAAAUAGGUUUGUAAUUGACCAAAUUUGUCUGGCAUGCCAAUUUCAAAAAAAUUAAAUUAUGUGGUUAUUAGCUGUAAUGAAGGGGGAUUGUAGGUCCAAUCAGGUGGAUCCAUGAAAGUUCAACAAAGUUCUGGUAUGGCGUAGAAAUUGGUUUGUGGCAACUCAAGAGUCUUUCUGGUGAACGAUGAUGGGUUUGAUUUAUAAAUGUUAUAAAUCUACUGUGCAUAGUAUUCUAGUAGAAUCAUCUAUAAGUUCUAGUUAUUGAAAUUGUCUACCUUGUUCAGUUUGAGUUAAGGGCACAUGUAAUAUGAAAAAUAGUUGUUGCAUCUUUUAGGUUACCUAACAUUUGAUCAAUCCUAUUAUGAGGGCUUCAAGAUGUCUAACAAUAUGUGGAAUGCCCAUGCUCCUCCCCAUUGUUUAUCUUAUAUAAUAAUUUGUUUUAGAUGCUAAUAUCUUUGUCGAUACGGUAACAAUAUUACAAUAUCUGCGUUUAUUGGGUUUUACAUAGGUUCGACUGUUUGACAGUACACACUCUCUGAAGGCAUUUGGAAAUGGAAUGUAUGGAUUGCUGUUGGGUGGAGUAGUGAUGUUCUUCCUGCUGUCAAACGUAUGUCUAAUGUUGCAGUUGUUGUUCCCAGUCUGGUGCUAGCUUAUGGGCUGAUCUUUGGGUAUACCCAUGCCUGCCAUUCUACUUCAAUAUUCACAUUGUUAUCUCCUUCAUAUUAGUGAUCAGUAACACGAUAAUGUGACUAAUAAGUUCGUAUUCUCUUUAUAGGCAAUCCCUGCUGCCUCAAGACUGAAACAAAACAAAUUGGAGGCGAGUCAGAGGUGCAUUUCCAUUAAUCCAUCAAUGGAUAGAAUUCUGCUUGCAAACAGCGAGAGCAUUGCCUUUCAAGCAAGAGGUUAUCCCGAGCGCAUCUCCCUCUGCCCUUGAGAGUACUCUGGUUAAGUUGCCUGAAGAACUUUUGAAGGGUAAACCAAGUCUGGAUACUAACUUAAUUGCUGAGUACCCUGACGGAAAUUCUGGCCAGAUGUGAGUUUUUGGAGCCAUUAUCUGAAGCUACAUUGUCGGAUUAUGAGUGGCUGGUUGCUAAUCUGCAAAAAUCCACUCCUGUACUGAUCAACAAGAUGCAACAUUACAUGUCAUCAUUGAUCUUUAGCUAAAGGUACAUUGAAAAGUUAAUGGCACUGCAUACCAGUCAUUAUAAUUGGGUCAGGCAAUUGGGUCAGGGCAAUUGGGUCAGGGCAAUUAGGUCAGAGCAUAACUUCAUUAGGAAAAGAGGCUUCAGCUACGUUAAAUAUUACAGGAUGUACUGAUGGCUGAAGUUGUUGACGUUGUACGAGAAACGAAAGAUGAGUGUUUGUUUUGAACAAAGUUGUUGCCAAUCUUGCAGAGUUCGAGAAGAAAGAUCACGAAGCAAAUGCCACCGAUUUCUUCAUCACUGUAGCCUCCAUAGUUGAAGUUUCCUCAUUUGAAGCUGUUUAUGCAUAUGCUUUUUCCCUUCUCAAGUACAGGAAAUUGAAGAAUUAACCAGAUGUGAUAUGCUGAAAGAGGGAAGUUUCUCCCUUGAAUGUGGCCUUGUGAUUUGUCUUGAAGGAAUAGGAUGAUCACUGGCAAGAACCCUAUCAAGGUAGAUUUUAUGAUGUUAACAUAUUAUUAAGCAUUUUGUUACAUCAGCAAUGAUGCUUUCAUAGCAUGAAAGUGUUUAAAUUUAACUGAAUGAUCUUGAUUGAUCAAUUAUGAGUUUUAAUCGAGUAAAAACUAAAUACAAUAAUCGUUAACAAAUAUUGAAAUUGGGUAAAUAUGAUCUUGAUAUUGAUGAAUUUGAAAUCACAACCCACACAGGAAAUCACCCUGCGCGUGGGAUGGAAAUGUUUACUGCAGCGAUAUUGAAUAUGUCCACUGCUGGACUAAUUCUGAUUACCUAAUUGACUCAGGAUCGGCUGGCAAUAAUAACAGUUUAUUAACAAUGCACAGUCCGAGUACUUUUCCAGGAUCAGAUACGACGUGGUCUAAUGUUGAUAAUAAUAGAUUAUCAAAUGACAAAUCGUUGUUCUACUAUUGCAAGCCCCCAGAUUUAAGAAUCUUUUUCAGAAAUUAAAUACAUUCUGAGAGAUGCUGGUCUACUAUUGCAAGCCCCCAGGUUUAAGAAUCUUUUGACGGUAAUUUAUCACCUGUAACUGUGCCGGAAGAUUCAACUAGCACUGAAAAAGAUGAUAAAUUAAUUGAUAUGGAGAGUUUUCAUAUCACUUUUAAAUCAUCUUAUGUAAUUGUGAUGUUAGGAAGCAUUAGUGAUCUAUAUGUGAAUUAUUAUUGGCGCCAUUGGUGGUUUUAUCUUGUUAAAAUAUGGAUGACUUCCAGUUACUAUUUUGUUGCAGACAAUCUUCUUCAAUUAACAUAUGGUUUAAAAUCAUUAUGUAAAUCAAUCUAUUAAUUUUCAAGAUAUUUAACUGAGUUAAAACUAAGUGCACUCAAUAAAUCUCUUUUCCUUUAAAAAACUGUUACGCUUUAAUUUUAGUGCUUAAUAUUUAUUGAACUCCGAUACAGGGAAUUUGAAAUCAAACUCGUAACUACAUAUUAUCUAAUUGCAAGUUUCUAUCCAUAGCUGCUGAUUUGUAGUGAUUAUCUAAUUGACUGAGGUGACGACAAUUUUUUUUUUUUAAAUUUUCAAUAGCACAAUGUGGAAUUCAAUAAUUAAAUUCUCCUUUUUAAUUUGUUUCCAGUUAAAUUAUUAAUUACUUAAACUCUGUUUUAAGUCUUUAAGUUUAUGUGUUUAUGCAGAAUUGGAUUCUUGAGCGUGUUGGACACGACCAACAAUGAAAUUGACAGUAAAAAAACAAUACAACGUGUGGACUCCGGUAGAUGCCAUACAAGUCUACAACUUUACAAAUAAUAAUUGAGUAAGCAACUUUGAUUCUCGGGCCCUUCAAUGAAUUUCUAGCCCCGUUGACUCCGCCAACUAAAGUUUGUAAAAUAAAAAAAUACAUAGAAUUCCACUAAAUGCAAAACGCGUGGAAUUUAAUUUUCGGCCAUGUGGACCAAAACAUAAUUUAAUGAAAAAGGAAAAAAAUGAUAAGAUUUCUAAAAUAUGUGAAAGAUGAUCCAUAUUUUACUGAAACGACUUAUUAAAUUUUUCAAAGAUUUAGAAUAUUUAGUCAUAAAUUACGUGCAUGUUAAUUUUUCCGCCAUUGACUAUCAUAUUCUAAACUUAAUAGUACAUUUCUUGUUGAAGGGUACUUAGUCUCUCUUCUCCUCUUAUAAAAAUUAUAUUGAUGGAUUUCUUGUUAUAGUUAAUAGUCUUUAAGAACGGAUAACUUUAUUGUUUUCGUGACCAAAUUAUGUCCGCCUAAGGUUGUGACUAUUAAUAAAAUUAAUAUUUAAUGUUUAUGUUAAAAGAUAUAAGAUUUUAUGCGUUCAUUAAUUGUUAUUAGCUAAAGGAUGAAUUAUUUUUUCAACCCAAUCAGUUGAUGCAUCUGCAAGAGUUUUUUCUUUUAUUGACCAUAAUUAUGUUCCGGGUACAAUAAAUUGUCUUUGGUGCUUGGAAAAUAUGACUUCUUACUUCAAGUUUGAUAUGUCUCUCACCAUAAACUUACUGGAAAUAUAUCCUCAUCUACUGUCAUUUAUCUAAUAUCAAUUGAAGAUCUCACUUUUUCAAACUAUCACUUCCAAGUCUCAUUGUCACUUGGCCAUUCUUGGAUCAUUCAAAACCAAUCAAGUGUUGAAAUAAUCAAAUAUAUGCAAAAUUAGAGUCACGAUUUUUUGGUCCCCCAAAUUCUAAUUAUAUAACUUCUAUAUAUUUCAUUGCCAGGUCACGAACUUGUUGGCACAUUUUCCAAAUUCCUCUUCCAUCAGCUCUCACACGUUAACUUAAGUGGAAAGUUUCCAAGUUGAUUGCUAGAAAGCAACGCAAAAUCAGACACACUUGAUCUGUCCCCUAAUUCUCUUUUCUACGUUGAAAAAGAAAAAAAAAUAAAAUACAUAUAUAUAUAUAUAUAUAUAUAUCUAUGUAAAAAUAAAUAAUAAACUGAGUAAAAGUACAUUUGUUUAAUUAACAUCUGAUCGGGGCAUUUUUGGUGUAAGCCACAACUAAAAUCAAACAGCCCCUUAGCAUACUUCUUCCAUUUUAUCUGCUACUUUUGUGGAUCUUAUAGGGUGGGCAUGUGGACAGAAUUUAAAAGUUUUAAUAGGCUCAAAGAAGAAGAUGUGUUAAAUCUAAAGUUGUUGCACCUUCUGAUUAAAUAAAGUUGUACAAUUUCAUCAACUUGAAAGAAUUGACAUUAAUGAACUGGUCGCCUCUCCAUGUAUGAAGCCUUCUUAAAAGUUAAUUUUUAUUUCAGAAAAAAAAAAGUUUAAGUUACAUAUAUUACAGUAAGAUUUUUUGAGACCAAUUCCCUUCUUGAAAUAAUAAUAGAAAAGUAUUAAUUUAAAAAUAAAAUGAAUAUGUAUUGAUUAUAUCCUGAUUUUCAUCGAUUAUAGUUAGAGUUUCACCAAAUCAAUUCCCUUAUUCAAAUAAUACAGAAAAAAUAGUAAUUUAAUAGUAAAAUAAACAGGUGUUGAUUAUAUAUCCUAAGUUUCAUCGAUUAUGUGAUCAAAGUGGCAUUGUUGAUUUAUUUUUUGUUCAAUGUUAAUUUUUAGGUUAUAUAAAUUUCAAGGAUUUAAAAUCUUUGGCCAUGAAUUACACGCUUGUUAAUUUUCCUGCCAUUGACUGUCAUAUUCUAGACUUAAUGAUACCUUUCUUGAUCAAGGGUAAUUACUCUCUCUUCUCCUCUUAUAAAUUCCUCUUCCAUUAACAUCACUAGGAGUAUGUUGAUCUCUCAGACGUUAACUUGAGUGGAGAGUUUCCAAAUUGAUUGUUACAAAACAACACAAAAAGUAGACACACUUGAUCUGUCUAAUAAUUCUCUUUCGGUAAAAUUAAAUAAUUUUAGGGGAAUAUUCGGCCAACCUCUAUAAUUUCAGAGUGAUCAUUAAUUAAUUAAUCGAUACAAAUAUCUAAAGUGAUUAAAUGUGACUUGAAAUUUGAUCUCUAUCGAUUGGUUUACAAAUGGACGUACUUGUGCCUUUGUGGCGAUAAUCGAACAAGUACCCAUGAUUAUUAUUUUUUCCAAAAACUUUUUUACAACAAAUUCAUCUCGUCAAAAAUUCUAUGUUGCUAACUAACAAUAAUUGAGCACUUGGCCGCAUUGACUCCACGUCUUCACCUCUUUCUAAAUUCUAAGUAAAAACAUGGAAAUGUAAUUUCCACAAAAUGCCAAAUGUGUGGAAUUUAAUUUUUUGCCUUGUGGAUCAAAAUACAAAUGAAAGAAACAGAAGAAAAAAAAGGCCCAAAGACUUCUAAAAGAUGAAGAAGUCUUUGUGCCUUUUUAUAAUGGUGAAUUUUUUAAAAGAAAAAAAAUAACAACAUUUUUAUGGUUUGUUUUGAUAAUCAUAUUUACAUAUACUCUCUAAUUUUCAAAAUGGACACAUAAAUCUUUUUUUUUUACAAAAUAUAUAUUAUUCAUAUUUUUUUUUAUUUUUUUAUUAUCAUAUUUUUAUUUAUUAUAAAUGUUUAGAGCAAAUUUUUAGGUUGAAAUAUAAUAAAAAGGUAUAAUUGUUCUCUUAUUAAACACACAUACUUUUAUUAGUUUCUAUCCAUUUGUCAUCUCAAUCUCUCUCAAUUAUUCUUUAUUGCUAGCUCAAAACGCGUUGCUGUUGCAAAUUAUAGCAAAAUGACAAAUAUGGAAAAAAAGGGAAGAAAAUUAAUGCAUGAAAGACUUGGAGAAAACAACAAAAUAAGCCAACUAUGAGUUAGUUGGGUGUAUAAAUUGUUAGAUGUGUUAUAUACAAAUAGCGUAGAGCCCUCUAGUUGGUUCCAAAGACAGAAAGAGCGUGUGUGUUUUUUCACAGUUAGAGAUAUAGUUAGAAUGGGUGGUUCAAAAUCAAAAAUGAUGAUAAUGUUUAUUAUGUUAUUAAUAAUAUUUAAAAGUGGGUGGAGUGAGGGAUGUUUGGAUCACGAGAGAUUUGCUUUUUGAGACUCAAACAUUUCUUCAAUGAUCCUCUUAAUUCUCUUUACGACUGGGUAGAUGGUGAGGGAGCUACUGAUUGUUGUCAGUGGGAAAGGGUUGAGUGCAGCAACACCACAGGCCGAGUGAUAGCACUGGACCUUUCUUAUAUAUAUUCGGGAGAGUACAGCUGGUAUCUGAAUGCUUCUUUAUUUACUCCCUUCCAACAACUUGAGUCACUUGAUUUAACUCAAAACAAAAUAGCCGGAUGUGUUGAGAAUGAAGGUACUUUGUUUAAUUUAAUUAAUUUACUUUCUCCCCCCUAAUUUAAGUUGAAUAUCAAGACUGAGCAAUUAUACGCAUAUUCAUUUAGUCGACAAUUUUGACUUUUUUUUAAAUGAUUAAUUUUGAAAUUACACCAGUAUCUAUGAUCUUUUUUAUUUUAUUUUAUUUGCAGGUAUAGAGAGGCUAUCAAGAUUGAACAACUUGAAGAUGCUUAAUUUAAGUGGAAACUCAUUCAAUAAUAGCAUUUUAUCAUCUCUAACUCAUCUUUCAUCAUUAAGAUCAUUAAAUUUAUUGUGGAAUAGAUUGGAAGGAAGUAUUGACGUUAAAGGUACAUAAUUAAAACUUCAAGCUCUUUCAUUAACUUGCUAAAAUAAGAUUCAAGGCUUUGAAUUCAAUUUUUUUAUGAUUAAUAUUAAAAAAACAGUUUUAAGCAAUUUAUAAAAACAAGUUUUAAUGUUUCUUGUAAUUUCAUCUUGUACUUUCAUAUGUCUUGAAUUUAAGAUUAAAAAAAAAACUCUAAUAGCGAACCAAACACCUCCACAACUUCUUAUUAUUUGUGGUGAGGUUUGAAACAUUCAACUCAAUUUGUACUUAUUACAGAAUUUGAUUCUUUGAGAGAUUUAGAGGAGCUAGACAUUGGCGGGAACAAGAUUGACAAAUUUGUGGUCUCAAAAGGUACUACAAAUACCAUAAAAAAAUAUGCUAACUUUUACAAAUUAGUUAGAUUCUUUGCCAUUUGGUUUAUUAUUUUACAGGUUUGAGUAAGUUGAAGUCUCUCGGUUUAAGUGGUAUCAAACUCAAUCGUAGCAUCUUAUCUUCUCUGACUGUCUUUUCUUCGUUAAGAGAAUUACAUCUACGUGAUACGGGAUUCAAAGGAACAUUCGAUGUUCGAGGUAAGCCUAAGUCUUGCUUUCUCAUUUUAUAUAUGCCAACUAGAUUUGUGUAUCAUCGACAUAAUUUAAUAUUUAAUUUGAUAAGUUUGAAUGAAUUACAUGCUAAUUUAAACACACUUUUAUUUACUUUGUCAAUUAAUUAAUUAAUUAAUUAAUACUAUUUGGCUUGGUUUGGACGAAAUUCUCAUGAUGUUUUAAUUUCUUUAAAUUAAUUAAUUAAUUAACUCUGUUUUUAAGUCUUAAGUCUGGGCGUGUUUGCAGAAUUUGAUUCCUUUAACGACUUAGAAGUGUUGGAUAUGAGAUACAAUGAAAUCGACAAUCUUGUGGUUCCUCAAGGUAAACAAUUAAAAGGUACAGAUGUGGCCAAAUUUAUAAAUAAAUUGUUAAUUAAUUAAUUUUUUCGUAUUAUUAAUAAAGCUAAAUUCGUUGCUCCUUCCUUCUAAUUCUAAACAGAGUUGCACAAUUUCACCAACUUGGAAUAUUUGACAUUGGAAUCUUCCUCUCUCCAUAUAAGCCUUCUGCAAAGCAUUGCAUCAAUAUUCCCUUCGUUAAAAAAUCUGUCGAUGUCUUUUUGUGAAGUCAAUGGUGUCGUACGCGGUCAAGGUAAAAGAAAAGCGUUGAUUGUGAACUCACUCAAUGGUGUCCUACGUGUUCAACAUUUUUAUUUAUUUUAUUGUUUAAUGUUUCUGCUAGGUUUUCCUCAUUUCAAGAGUUUGGAACAUUUUGACAUGAGGUUCGCGCGCAUUGCGCUCAACACCAGCUUUCUUCAAAUCAUCGGUGAAUCGAUGCCCUCUCUUAAGUACUUAUUACUGUCAUAUUCUACUCUUGGCACUAACAGCAGCAGGAUUCUUCAUCAAGGUUAAUGAGAUGCUGCCACCCUCCCCUCUUAACCUAUAAUAUUAAUUUUCGAUUAAAUAUUUAAUUACACAAACCAAUCACUUAUUAUAAAAGAACAAUACGCAUUCAUUAAUUUUUAUAUUGUAUUAAUAAUUGAUGAAUUUAAUAAAUUUUCAGGCCUCUGUUCGUUGGUGCACCUGCAAGAGUUGUACAUUGAUAAUAAUGAUUUAAGAGGUAGCUUGCCUUGGUGCUUGGCAAAUAUGACAUCCCUCCGAAUAUUAGAUGUUUCUUCCAAUCAACUUACGGGAAGCAUCUCCUCAUCUCCCCUCGUUCAUUUGACAUCCAUUGAAAAGUUGGAUCUUUCAAACAAUCACUUUUGGAUCCCAAUUUCACUUGAACCACUUUUCAAUCACUCACGACUCAAGCUUUUCUAUGCUGACAACAAUGAAAUAAAAGCUGAAAUAACUGAGUCACAUUCUUUGACUGCCCCAAACUUCCAAUUAAAAUAUCUCUCAUUGUCUUCCGGUUACGAAGAUGGUGUCACAUUCCCCAAAUUCCUUUACCAUCAACAUGACCUGGAGUAUGUUGACCUCUCACAUAUAAACAUGAGCGGAGAAUUUCCAAAUUGGUUGUUGGAAAACAACACAAACUUAGAAUAUAUUUUUUUGGUUAAUGAUUCUCUUGCAGGACCUUUCCGGUUGCCAAUUCAUUCACACAAGCGGUUAAGACUGUUGGAUAUAUCCAACAACAACAUCAGAGGCCACAUUCCAGUAGAAAUUGGAGAUGUUUUACCGGGUUUAUUUUCUUUAAACAUUUUCAUGAAUGCUUUAGACGGUUGCAUUCCCUCUUCAUUUGGUAAUAUGAAAUUCCUCCAAUUUCUGGACUUAUCCAACAACCAAUUGACUGGUGAAAUCCCUAAGCACUUGGCCGUGGGUUGCGUCAACUUAGAGUCUCUUGCGUUGUCAAACAACAACUUAGAAGGUCAUAUGUUCUCCAGAAACUUCAACCUGACAAACUUGAAAUGGUUACAAUUGGAAAGCAAUCACUUCGUAGGAGAGAUCCCACAAAGUUUGUCUAAAUGCUCCUCACUAAAAGGAUUGUAUCUUAACAAUAAUAGUCUUUCGGGUAAGAUUCCACGAUGGUUGGGUAAUCUCACAUGGUUACAAUAUAUUACAAUGCCCAAUAAUCAUCUUGAAGGUCCUAUUCCAGUGGAGUUUUGUCAGCUUGAAUGGCUUCAGAUUUUGGACAUUUCAGACAACAACAUAUCUGGAAGUUUACCAUCUUGUUUCCAUCUUCUCUCUAUCAAACAAGUUCAUCUUUCAAAAAAAUAUGUUACAUGGACAGCUAAAAAGAGGUACAUUCUUUAAUUGCUCUUCCCUUGUGACAUUAGAUCUUAGUUAUAACCGCUUGAAUGGCAGCAUUCCGGAUUGGGUUGAUGGACUUUCUCGGUUAAGCCACCUUAUCUUGGCUCACAAUAAUCUUAAAGGUGAAGUGCCAGUUCAAUUGUGCAAAUUGAACCAACUACAAUUGUUAGAUCUUUCUAAUAAUAAUCUUCAUGGUCCUAUUCCUCUUUGCUUUGAUAACACCACACUUCAUGAAAGUUACAGCAAUAGUUCUAGUCCUGAUGAGCAAUUUGAAAUAUAUGUUUUCAUCGAAGGCCCUCAGGGAGGUGUAGAAAAGAAAAUCCAUGAAAUUUUUGAGUUCACAACAAAGAACAUUGCGUACAUUUACCAAGGAAAAGUGCUUAGCCUCCUAUCAGGACUUGAUCUUUCUUGCAACAAGCUAAUCGGUAAUAUUCCUCCUCAAAUUGGAAAUUUGACAAGGAUUCAAACAUUGAAUCUAUCGCACAACAACUUGACAGGAUCGAUCCCAUCAACAUUUUCAAACUUGAAGCAUGUCGAAAGUUUGGAUCUUUCCAACAACAAAUUGAAUGGGAAAAUCCCUCAUCAACUAGUGGAGUUAAAGACAUUGGAGGUUUUCAGUGUGGCAUACAAUAACUUAUCAGGCGAAAUUCUAGAAUGGAAAGCACAAUUUGCAACCUUCAACGGGAGUAGCUAUGAAGGAAAUACUUUUCUUUGUGGACUGCCAUUGCCCAUUUGCAGAUCACCAGCAACUACGCCGGAGGCUUCAAUUGGCAAUGAACGAGAUGAUAAUUUAAUUGACAUGGACAAUUUCUUUAUCACAUUUACAACAUCGUACGUAAUUGUGAUAUUCGGAAUUGUUAUUGUUUUAUAUGUAAAUUCUUAUUGGCGACGUAGAUGGUUUUACUUUGUUGAAAUGUGGAUAACUUCAUGUUAUUAUUUUAUUGUAGACAAUCUUAUUACAACAAGAUAUUGUCAUUGAAAUUAAUUAGGAGUUUAAUUACGAUUCUUUAAGUUCUAAUCAAGUUUGCUUAGGAAAUAAAUUUAUUUUUAUUUUUUAUUAAAACUGUAGUAGUAUUUAGCUCUAUAUAGCUUCCAACUUCCAAGCACUUCACAUUUGUCUCUACACUUCCAAACCCAUAUCUAUCCACCAUAACUUAUACUUCCCUAUACUGUGCAGCAUACUUAAAUAAGAGAACCAUCUCCAAUGUUAAAACCAGCCACUCUAUAACAUUCAUUUAGAAUAGUUUUAUUAUCAUACACAAGAAAUGAAACACCUAGAUGCACUUGAUCGCCUAUUUUACUUUAAAAAAUAAUGAUUAUGGUGCUAUCAUCAUCUUCUUCACUAGCAACAUUAACACCAAAUCCAGCGAUGGACCCAGACAUUUUAUCAAGAAAGGUAUAUAUAUAAUAAAGUUGAAGCUUGACAAAAAAUUCAGGAAGAUUAAUGCCUCGCCACAACAAGGGGCACAACAACAUCAAAGUAGAGAUGAAGCAAUAUUUUCAAAUCUAAAACUCUCAAAUCCACCCACCAAAAUUUCAUAUCUCCUCAACAAUUUUAAGAACUAAAGAUAAUUAGGAUCUAACAUUAGUUUUUUAUAUAUUAGUUUCAUAAUUUACAAAUCAAUGAAGAUGAAGAUUAUGCUAAUGAAUUCAAAUUAUACCAUAGAUUCUCGAGAUGUUACCAAAAAUUUCUAAGCCAAUCCCACAUAUUUCAUAAUUUUAAGACUAGAAAAUUUCAUUAGUUAGAAGUUUCAUUACCUUCAAGUGGAAGAUGAAGAACAUUAUACAAUUGAUUCAGAUUAUAUCAUACAUACUCCAAAUGCAACUAGAAAUUAACAAGUUCAUGCGCACAGAUUUCAUAACAUUAUGAUUGGAAAGUUUCACAAAGAGAAAUUCUAAAUUCAAUCUCUUGCAUCAAGGUAGUUUGAUUGAUUUGAGUUACUUUCUCAUCAAGCUACUAAUAUAACAUUCAAGUCAGGGAGAAAGUAAAUUAAAACGGGGAAGAAACAACAGUAAAAAUUUGUUGCUAAACAUGAUGUGUAUUUUUUUUUAAGGCAAUUUGGAAACACAGUUGUUACUACAGAUAUUCUCCUCAACUUAGAGAUAAAUACAAAUAUUAAAAUGCAUAUGAUCGCACAUAUUACUUGGAGCUUAGUAAGAUUUCAUUAAGAGAAGCAAUCAAACCACUUAUCAAUUGUUGCAAUCGUUCUAUAAGCUAAAAUAGCAAUAUAAUACAAGAAAAAGAACAUAUAGAUACUUGGCAAGAGUUCAUUAAGAAGUCGCAUCACAUUCGGGUGAGUUUGCUUCUGAUAUCUUGCUAGCUGGGGCUUUUUCUUGUCUUUCUACGUAUGCCGAGGGAAACCAACCAGCUUGGCCCUUGCAUUCACCUUCCGACCAUCCAGUAGGAGCCACCUUGAGAAGUUAUAACUAAAAGUCUAAAACAAUGAAUUAAACAAAAGUUGACCGUUCAAAGACCUAAGGGGAAAACUAAUUCUUUUACGUAGGAGGAGUGAAUUAGUUGUGAUCACUGAAAUAACAGCAUAACUAUGGAAGCAUAACAAGAUAUAAAUUCACACGUCUAUAAGGGUAAACUGGGUGGUUUAGAACUGAGCUAGCAACCCUACUAUAUUCUGAUUUGCACAUCAAUGUAAAAGGGAAUAUAUGGUAGGAAGAAAGAAAACCAACCAUCAGUUGUUAACUCAUUGCUUUUCAAUCAAAAUUUUAAGAACAAAAUGCCAUGUGCUUUGAACAUCAAAUAAGUAUAAGCAUUAGUUCUAAAUUCCACAUAUCAUAAGUUAGAAGGACAAGUCAAUAGCAUAGUAGAAAAAUCUAUGUGUUGUUAUUUAGAGGGGAAAGUACCUGGCGAACCACAACAUAAUCAUCAAUUGAAAGACUUAGCUCUCCAUUUGCUUGAGCAUCAAAUGGAUGUAUAACCUGCAAGAUAAUGGGAUAAAUAGAACUUAAUCUUAAAAAAAGCAUAACAAAAGCAGCAACAGUAGCAGCAGCGUUCAUUGUAACCACUAUGAUCAUGGCCAACAAAGAUAUAUUACAAACAAAAUUCCAUUUUUACUACGACAUUAAUAUGUACUAUAUGAUAUCAUGACGAUUGGGUUACCAAGAGCUAUCAAAGUCCAAUAAAUUCUGUAUAACUUUAGGUAGUUAUUCAAAUUAUGGAUCAGAUUUUAAAUCCGAAAUUUUGACUGCUCUCCACAAAACAUGGCCUAUGCACAAGAAAGUCAUAGAUAAUGAGGAUUACAAGUGUCUGACAUCUUUUGAGUGAUGGAUUUAACAUGAGAGCUUAUGGUCAGUCAAUUUCCUCUGCCUAGCAAUAUAAGCUUUCUCGGCCAGAUUUAUCAUCAAAUACAUAGAUUGGCCCCAAGUCACAUCCAAAUAAACAUAGUUUUUCUAGGUAAACCAAGUAAGGAGAAUCAUAAUUCAGACAUAAUCAUAAAAAGGCCCAUCUAACUUAAGAGAAAAUCUCAAAAAGAGGGAUGUUGAGCUAUCAGUCUUGUAUCUAUAAGCAAUAUCAAGACUUUACAUCACCUACUACAUCGUGAGUGGCUACACAACUUUCAGUGGUUUGUCUUUCUUUGGCAUGCCUAACUCAGCUUUGAUGUUGCUGAGAUAUUGAUAGUAAAGACACAUGAUACUUCUAGCCCAUGCAUUCUAUCUAGCUCAUCCGACAACUAUCUCUUUUUUAAUUCAUUAGUGUUUGCUAAACCUCAUGCUUAAAAGUCCUAUUCUCCUAAACAAAGCUUCCUAAGAAUGACUUCCUCAGCACCACAUUUGGACACUUUUAGAGCAAUUUUAUUUGGGGGAAAAGAAUUUUCAAGGUGUUAACUAAUAAAUUUUAAAAAAUAAUUACAAUUUGUCCUACAAUUAUAUGACAAUUUAUCUGGGAUGAAAGGAUACAGACAGACAUCUUCCACUUUCAAGACUAAUCACUACUUCCGUAGAUGUUUUGCAAUAAUACAAAUACUUGACCAGAUGGUAGAAAAAAAUUUUAUUGCUCCAAAAUUAAAAUAAGAAUGCAAUAUGUUAAGCAAAAGACUGUGCAACAUCAAAUUAAUUGAUAAGUUUGUAAUUCAGUAAAUUAACAACUUUCAUGGUAAAAUACAACAAAUUUCUUUUCAAAAAAAAAAAAAAAAAAUUAAAAGACGGCAUUCAAUUUUUUGGGCAUCUUAUUUCUUAAGAUUUUCCAGGAGGAGGGCACUAGAGGGACUUUCACCUAUGCAAGAGAGCAGAAGCCUUACUUUCGCUAUAAAGUAGACGUCAUUCUGAUUAAUAUGCGUUUGCAAAUCAGCUCCAUUUGAAUCAGUAUUCUGAUAGACACGUGAGGCAUUUACAUCCAUUUCCAAAGUCACAUGUUGCGAGGAGGACUCAUUUGAUUGCUCCUCUAGGAUCAUCUAAUUCAAGUAGCAAGGGUUGGAAGAGAAUAAAAAGUCACAAUUAUUCUUUUGCAUAAGUGAGACGAAAAUGAUAAAUGCAAUAUUAUCAGCAGUAAACAAGAAGAGAACACUCCAAGGAAUAGAUAGAUGCCGACAAGCAAGUUAAAAUGCACAGUUCCAAACCUCCGCAUACAACUUCUCUAAAAUAGCAAUAAUGUGUUGAUGAUAUGUUUUCUCAGCAUCUACCUGCAAAGGCCUGAGACCAGGAAAACAACAAUAAAACCACUAGCUAAAGGAGAAAGUAAAGAAAGAAAUACACUUGACAUAAAUCUUGACAAGAAGCACAAUUUAAGACAUAACAAACCCCAAUCAGAUUGUUUAGAACUACCAUUCGUUAUUUCGUUAUUGUAGCAUUUCGAACAAGUGUUGACUUAAUUCAACAUUGUUGGAAAGAUAGGCUUUUAGAAGCGGAAGAAAGCCUCUCAAACCAAAGUGAUUGUCCUUGUAUUGAUCAAGGGAUGUAAACAUAUUACAUUUGCAGGAUGAGUUUUAAUCACUCCCCUGAUUUAUUUGGGUUGCAGUAAAACUAAGCGAGCAACUGUUUGACUUUCAAGCAACAUCUAAAUCAGCUAUUAAAAUUCAAAUAAAAUUAUAAUAGAAUAAUAACAGGCCAUCUUGCAUAAAAAAUUAAGUUUAAUUUGUGAAUUUUUUUCUAUAGACAUGUUAGUUCCUGCUAUUGAAAUGUUAAAAGCAUUGAAAAAUUAUUCAAUAAAUUAUGCAAACAUUAAAAUAGAGGACAUAUUAAAAAGUUUCUAAUUACAAUGUUAAGAUUUCCUAUAUUUUAGCAUUUGCAUAUUUUAAUUUAAUUUAAAAGUUACGUCAAUCAACUUUGGGCGUGAAGAUUUUAGCUUCUACGAGACUUGAUUGGAAUAUGCAUAAGGAAGAGUGUUAAAAUAUGAUGCAUCCAACGAAAGACAAACCACGUGUAGUCUUUUAAUUAAGCCAAAGUAGCAGCUCAAACAAAUGACACUUGGACCAACAUGCAAUCAUGAAGUGGCCGGUAAAAGGACAAAUGCAACUUUGGCUUAAAUAAAAAAUAACAUGUGACUUGACUUUUGCUGACAUGCAUCAUGUAUUACAAGACAACAGAAAUCAGUAUGAUAGUACUAAAAGUUGACAAUAACAUGAAGAUAAGAGCAGAAUGUCAACACCUGCAUAGGCACACACAAGAAAGUAUUAACAUAUAUACCAUAGCAAAAAGUCUUUGAUAUGUCAUCUGUUGCUGCUGUGAUUCAACUGACAGCAUGGCAGCUGUCGCUUCUCUACCAAGAGCCAUUAUUGUAGAUUUAAGCUCGGUCAAUCUUGCUUCUGCAUUUCGAAGCUUCACAGCACUCUCUGCUGAUAUAUCAGAUUUCCUUAUCUUUGAUCGGUGCCUAAAUACUUCAGCUGCCUGGUGAAAAUAUUCAAUAUAAAUCUAACAUAAUUCUCAUCUUGCCUUAUACAUGCAUAUGUUACCUCAAAGCUUGCCUGGGCUUCAAACUUCAUGUCGAAGUUGUCAUAACGAUGAGUCAGGUGUCGAGCAUCUUCCAAAGGUGCUCCGUUGAUUAACGCCCGUAGUGGCUCAGAUACCUACAUGUCCAAAAACCUGUAACAUAGUUAGAAAAAUGAAAAGAAAGAGCGAAACCUCAAUUAAAAAGUUCCUCCAACAUAAUCAUGGAAUUUGGGCCUACUUCAAGGAUAUAUAUAAGAUAAUUUAUGCAAUUUUGGGUCUUAGGAUGAUUCAUAUUAGGUUAGUGUUCUUCUCUUCUGUAUUUAAGGUUAAAAUAGAAAUAAACCUAUGCAAAUAUCUAAAUUAGGGCUGUAAGACUUCCACAUGCAUCCUUCAUCUCAUGGAUUUGAUUUACUAUAGAUGCAAGUGUCUUUAUCGAAAAUGCUUGGAGUCAAUUGAGAGAACUCACAGCCAAUAACUUGUCACAUGCUAGUCUUUGCUAUGAUGCAAGAAGUCACAAGGUCUCUUCAACAUUUGAACCAAUAAAAUUAUUAAGUCAUGGAUGUCACUAGCAAUGAUUUCAAUAUAAAACAUUAAAUAUUUCAAGUUGUAACUUUAAAAUGGAUUCUUUUAUUCAAUAUCUUAGAACUAAGUUUCCUUAUGAGAAGAUAAUAGUUUCAGUAGUAAUUACAUGAAAUUUUCUAUAUUUGAAUUAUUUUCUAGUUAGGGAUGAACUAACCUGAUCAUGAAGAAUCCCAAGCAAAGUUUCCCUCUCAUUUUCCAUCAAAUCAUGUGAAGUGCCAAAUUGAAGAGCAGCUCUUGCAGCGCAAGAAUUGUCACUUUGAUUCUCCGCUCCAUACUUGCAACAAUCUUCAGCCAACUUUCUCGCUACAAUAUUUGAAUACAAAAAUAUUGUACACAAGAACCAGUCAAGAAAAUAAAAAAAAAAUCAAAUAUAUAUAACGAGAGCAAGAGCAAACAAACAACCUAUUUCCAUUUGUUUCAAGCUUACUGCAACAAACCCUUCAACGCCACGGACAAUAUUCCUCUGAAAAUGCUGUGCUACAGAGCAUAUAUUCCAAAUUAUUGUUCAGAUAAAACCAUAGAAACCAUCAUAAUUAUCAACAUACAUUAAGCUCCGUUUGGUAAAACUUGCAACUUCAGUCUAGAAAAUACAGUUUGUUUGUACCAUAUUUGACAAAAUUAUAUUUAAAAAUCAUAACUAAUUACCAAAAGCCACAAUAAAUCAUAUCAAACAGAGUCUUAUUAUUAGCUAAAGGAGGAUGGUGCCUUAGCUGCCCUGGUGGAAUUGUAUAGAUUUUAAAGUUGUUGGUGACACUCAAUUUCAGCUUCAUGAACCGCAAUAUUUUCAAUACCAAGAUGGAGCAGAUGCUUCAAUGCUGCCUGUACAAAUCAUAAAAAACUAAUAAAAAUAAAUAAAAUCGAUAAAUUCACUAACUAAAAGUCUAAAUAUAAUUUUUGAAAAAAGAAAAGAAACGGACUUGCUGCUGCUUGGCGACUUGUUCUCGGUGCUUGAUUGCCUGUUCUUGAUAGCUUCCAUACUGUUUCUUUCAAAAAGCAACGACGCUCAGCUCAUGGAGGUGGAAAAAAAAAGUAUGAUCGAGAAAAAUAAAAAGCGAUGAAUAAUUUUUUGACAAAAAGCGAAAAUAAAAAGGCAUGAAUAAUGAAUAAUUUUUGACAAAAAGCUCUUUCCAGAAAAUAAAAAAGAAAAAAAGAAAAAAGAAAAUUAUAAGUUUGAAAGGAGUAGAUGAUAGUGGAAGUGUGCGGUGUGGCUGCCAGCUACUUGAAUUGUAUUGUCGGGUAAGGUAAUAGUAGAGAAAUUUUUUUUUUGAAGAAAAAUGGGUAAUUUUUAAAAACCUCCCCUGAGGUUUGGCUUGUUGUAAGUAGAUGGCGAGAAUCCAUUUAUUUGUAAAAAACCCCCUACGUUUUUGCUCCGCUUGGUUGCCGUUUGGGCAAUUGUGGCUUGUUGACAUUUCGCAAUAAAACAAAUCUUUUGCAACUUUCGUUUCCUUGAGAACAAUAGCUAGAUUUCUCAAUCUGUUUCAUCCAACACUUCAAAAAUUUCAACUUUUAUGAGUUAUUGCAUUCUCUGGCAAAGUAGACUUCUUCUAAUUUUAUCACAGUGCUUUCAGGAACAAGAAUGGGAUCCAUUAACAUCCCCUCAAAUUUUACAGCUUCCUUACAGCUAUACACUGCUGUAACACGAAGUUUAAUGAUUCCAUCGCCAAAUAGUCCCCAAAAUCUAUUCUUCCCCAUAUUGAACAACUUAAGUUCACAACACUUGCAUUCUAAAGGCUUCCACUAACAUCUAAUAUCUCAAGACUCAACGUUGCUUUACAAUAAUUGUUAUUACUACCAAACAAACAUGAAGAAACCCCGAUUAUCGGAUAAAUCAACCAAAAUGAACAAGAGAAGAACCCAAAACAAGUGAAUCGCUAGAGCAAAACCCCCAACCCAUAUCCCUAAUCCCACACUCAAAAAAACCCAAUUUCUCUCCAAAGUCAUUGACACUAGCAUCACUACUAGACUCUAAUUCCAAUCCUAGAUUACAUUUAAUGUUAACCCAACUAAAAUGAAUGUUCUUACUACAAUACGCAUCGUUUACACUCUCAAACAACGCGCUGAACUUACUCUUAAACGAUCCCACAUUGGUCAAACACUCAUCACUCACAUCGACAUCCAAGAAUUCACUCAAAAACUUCAUAGACUCGACAAUUGGAGAAAACAAAACCACUAAACUCAACUUUAUACAAGCAUACCCAUCGAGAAUCUUACCGUCAUUAACCGAAUCACAACAAAUCACCGGGUCCCACGCGCAGUCGUGAACGAGCUUACGCAUGGACGGGGCAACAUUUAACCCCCGCGGCAAAAACGACGAAGCUUUGGAAAAAUUGUNUUUUUAAAAGGCAAAAAUAACAACACUUCUAUGGUUUGUUUUGAUAAUCACAUUUACAUAUACUCUCUAAUUUUCAAAAUGGACACAUAAAUCUUUUUUUUUCUACAAAUGUAUAUUAUUCGUAUUUUUUAUUAUUUUUAAUAUCAUAUUGUUAUUUAUUAUAAAUGUUUAAAGUAAAUUUUUAGGUUAAAAUAUAAUAAAAGGGUAUAAUCGUUCUCUUAUUAAACACCCAUACUUUUAGUUUCUAUCCAUUUGUCAUCUCAAUCUCUCUCAAUUAUUCUUUAUUGCUAAAAACGCGUUUUGUUGCAAAUUAUAGCAAAAAGACAAAUAUGGAAAAAAAAAAAGGAAGAAAUUAGUGCAUGAAAGACUUGAGAAAAACAACGAAGUAAGUCAACUAUAAUCUAGCUGGGUGUAUAAAUUGUUUGAUGCUUUAUAAGCAAAUAACAAACAGAGACAGACAGUGUGUGUUCGUUUUUUCAUAGUUAAAGAUAUAGUUAGAAUGGGUGGUUCAAAAUCAAAAAUGGCGAUAAUGUUUGUUAUGUUAUUAAUAAUAUUUAAAAGUGGGUGGAGUGAGGGAUGUUUGGAUCACGAGAGAUUUGCUCUUUUGCGACUGCAACAUUUCUUCAAUGAUCCUCGUAAUUCUCUUUACAACUGGGUCGAUGAUGAGGGAGCUACUGAUUGUUGUCAGUGGGAAAGGGUUGAGUGCAGCAACACCACAGGCCGAGUGAUAGCGCUAGACCUUUUUGAAAUGUAUUCGGGAGUACAGCUGGUAUCUGAAUGCUUCUUUGUUUACUCCCUUCCAACAACUUGAGUCACUUGAUUUAACUGCCAACAAAAUAGCCGGUUGUGUUGAGAAUGAAGGUGCUUCGUUUAAUUUAAUUAAUUUACUUUCUCCCCCCUAAUUUAAGUUGAAUAUCAAGACCGAGCAACUAUACGCAUAUUCAUUUAGUCGACAAUUUUGACUUUUUUUUAAGUGAUUAAUUAAUUUUAAAAUUACACCAAUAUCUAUGAUUUUUUUUUUUUUAAUUUUGCUUGCAGGUCUAGAGAGGCUAUCAAGAUUGAACAACUUGAAGAUGCUUAAUUUAAGUGAAAACUCUUUGAAAAAUAGCAUUUUAUCAUCUCUAACUCAUCUUUCAUCAUUAAGCUCAUUAAAUUUAUUUUUAAAUAGAUUGGAAGGAAGUAUUGACUUUAAAGGUACAUAAUUAAAACUUCAUCCCUUCUCCAAGCUCUUUCAUUAACUUGCUAAAAUAAGACUCAAGGCUUUGAAUUCAAUUUUUUUUAUGAUUAGUAUUAAAAAAAACAGUUUUUAAGCAAUUUUAUAAAUACAAGUUUUAAUGGUUAUCGUAAUUUCAUCUUGUAAUUUCAUAUGUCUUGAAUUUAAGAUUAAAAAAAACUCUAAUAGCGAACCAAACACCUCCACAACUUAUUAUUAUUAUUAUUAUUAUUAUUAUUUGUGGUGAGGUUGGAAACAUUCAACUUAAUUUGUACUUAUUACAGAAUUUGAUUCUUUGAGAGAUUUAGAGGAGCUAGACAUUGGCGGGAACAAGAUUGACAAAUUUGUGGUCUCAAAAGUACUACAAAUACCACAAAAAUGUAAACUUUUACAAAUUAGCUGGAUUCUUUGCCAUUUGGUUUAUUAUUUUACAGGUUUGAGUAAGUUGAAGUCUCUUGAUUUAAGUGGUAUCAAACUCAACCGUAGUAUCUUAUCUUCUCUAACUGUCUUUUCUUCAUUAAAGAAUUACAUCUACGUAAUAUCAUAUUCAAAGGAACAUUUGAUGUUCGAGGUAAGCCUAAGCCUUGCUUUCUCAUUUUCUAUAUGCCAACUAGAUUUGUGUAUCAUCGGGCAUAAUUUAAUAUUUAAUUUGAUAAGUCUGAAGGAAUUACAUGCUAAUUUAAACAUACUUUUAUUUACUUUGUCAAUUAAUUAAUUAAUUAAUUACUAUUUGACAUUGGACGGUUCCUCUCUCCAUAUAAGCCUUCUGCAAAGCAUUGCAUCAUUCACUUCGUUAAAAAAUCUGUCGAUGUCUGAUUGUGAAGUCAAUGGUGUCCUACGUGGUCAAGGUAAAAGAAAAGUGUUGAUUGUGAAUAAGCUGUUAAUUAAUUAAUGUUGUUGCUCCUUGCUUCUAAACAGAGUUGCGCAAUUUCACCAACUUGGAAUAUUUGAAUUGGAUUCUUCCUCGCUCCAUAUAAGCCUUCUACAAUUGCUUGAACAAUUUAUUUAUUUAUUUAUUUAUUAUUAUUGUUGUUGUUGUUGUUGUUGAAGUGGGGUGGGCAAGCGUUCACUCAGUUAAUAUGUGGGGAAUUAAAUAUUACAAUCCAAGGUAGAAUUGUGGAAAAUUAAAGCUAAAUGAGAAAUAUGGAAAGAAAGGAAGAAAGUUAAGGGCAUGAAAGACUGGGAGAAUACUAAAAACCACCAAAUAAGUCAACUGAAAACUAGCUGAGGCCUGGGUGUACAAAUUGUUAGAUGUUUGUUAUAAAUAACAUAGAGCCAUCUUGUUGGUUGCAGAGGCAGAGAGACAGAGAGUGUGCAUUUUGUCCAGUUAAAAAUGAUAAAAUUUAUCAUUUGUUUAUAUUGAUUUAUUAACUCUAUUUUAAGUCUUAAGUCUUGGCGUCUUGGCAUGUUUGCAGAAUUUGAUUCCUUGAGCAACUUAGAGGAGUUGGACAUGAGCGGCAAUGAAAUAGACAAUUUCGAGGUUCCUCAAGGUACACAAUUAAAAUAUUAUUUAAUUACAUUAAUUUAAUUCGUUUGAUUAGGGAAGGCCCAAAAUGUACAAAAACAUAAUUAGAAAAAAUAAAGAAACAGAGAAUUCAUAUUAUUUCAAAUAACAAAAGGUAAUACUAUUAUUUCAAAAACAGAUUGUAAUAAAGAUUUGAUUCCAAUUCUUUAAUCUUUACAGUGAUUGAAAAACGAUACUACUUCCCAAAGCAUAAAAUACGAAUUGACUCUCAAUUAAAUUAAUCAUUUAUUUCGUUUAGGUCUAAAUUUAGAAAAAUGAAUUUUGAUUCUCUUGAAUCAUUUCCUAAUAUUAUUAUUCAACAGGUUACAGAGGUUUGAGGAAGCUGAAAAGCCUGCAUCUAUCGGGAGUUGGAAUUAGAGAUGGAAGCAAGUUGUUACAGUCAAUGGGAUCAUUUCCAUCCCUCAACGCUCUUUACCUGAGCAAUAAUAAUUUUACCGGUACAACGUCAACUACUCAAGGUAAGUAAAAGGUACAGAUGUGGCCAAAUUUAUAAAUAAACUGUUAAUUAAUUAAUUUUCUGUAUUAUUAAUAAAGCUAAAUUUUUUGCUCAUUCCUUCUAAUUCUAAACAGAGUUGCACAAUUUCACCAACUUGGAAUAUUUGACAUUGGACGAUUCCUCUCUCCAUAUAAGCCUUCUGCAAAGCAUUGCAUCAAUAUUCCCUUCGUUGAAAAAACUGUCGAUGUCUUAUUGUGAAGUCAAUGGUGUCGUACAUGGUCAAGGUAAAAGAAAAGUGUUGGUUGUGCACUCACUCAGUGGUGUCCUACGUGUUCAAUAUUUUUAUUUAUUUAUUUUAUUGUUUAAUGAGAUGCUUCCACCCUCCCCUUUAAAUCUAUAAUAUUAAUUUUCGAUAAUAUAUAAUUAUAGAAACCAAUCACUUAUAAAAGAAUGCUAUGCAUUUGCCAAUUUUUUUAUAUUUUACUGAUUGAUGAAUUAAUAAAUUUUCAGGCCUCUGUUCGUUGGUGCAUCUACAAGAGUUGUACAUUGCAACUCUUGUAGUAAUUAAUUAAUUAAGUAUUAGUUAAUUAAUUAAUUAAUUAAUUUUCUGUAUUAUUAAUAAAGCUAAUUUUUUUGCUCAUUCCUUCUAAUUCUGAACAGAGUUGCACAAUUUCACCAACUUGGAAUAUUUGGCAUUGGACUCUUCCUCUCUCCAUAUAAGCCUUCUGCAAAGCAUUGCAUCAUUAUUCCCUUCAUUAAAAAAUCUGUCGAUGUCUAGUUGUGAAGUCAAUGGUGUCGUACGCAGUCAAGGUAAAAGAAAAGGGUUGAAUGUGAACUCACUCAAUGGUGUCCUACGUGUUCAACAUUUUUAUUUAUUUAUUUUAUUGUUUAAUCUUUCUGCUAGGUUUUCCUCAUUUCAAGAGUUUGGAACAUUUUGACAUGGAUUUCACGCGCAUUGCACUCAACACUAGCUUUAUUGCACUCAACACUAGCUUUCUUCAAAUCAUCAGUGAAUCGAUGCCUUCUCUUAAGUACUUAUCACUAUCAUAUUAUACUCUUGGAACUAAUAGCAGCGGGACUCUUGAUCAAGGUUAACGAGAUGCUCCCACCCUCCCCUCCUAAUCUAUAAUAUUAAUUUUUUAUUUAAUAUAAUUACACAAACGAAUCACUUAUAAAAGAAUGAUAUGCAUUUGUUAAUUUUUUUAUUGUACUGAUGGAUGAAUUAAUAAAUUUUCAGGCCUCUGUUCGUUGGUGCAUCUACAAGAGUUGUACAUUGCAAGCAAUGAUUUAAGAGGUAGCUUGCCUUGGUGCAUGGCAAAUAUGACAUCCCUCAGAAUAUUAGAUGUUUCUUCUAAUCAACUUACUGGAAGCAUCUCCUCAUCUCCCCUCGUUCAUUUGACAUCCAUUGAAGAGCUGAUGCUUUCAAACAAUUACUUCCAGAUCCCAAUUUCACUUGAACCACUUUUCAAUUACUCAAGACUCAAGAUUUUCAAUGCUGAGAACAACGAAAUAAAAGCUGAAAUAACUGAGUCACAUUCUUUGAUCGCCCCAAAAUUCCAAUUAAAUACUCUCUCAUUGUCUUCCAAUUACGGAGACGGUUUCAUAUUCCCCAAAUUCCUUUACCAUCAACAUGACCUGGAGUAUGUUGAUCUCUCACACAUAAAGAUGAAUGGAGAAUUUCCAAAUUGGUUGUUGGAAAACAACACAAAAUUAGAAACUCUUUUCUGGUUAAUGAUUCUCUUGCAGGACCUUUUCGGUUGCCAAUUCAUUCACACAAGCGGUUAAGACAGUUGGAUGUCUCCAACAACAACAUUCGAGGCCACAUUCCAGUAAAAAUUGGAGAUGUUUUACCAAGUUUAUACGUUUUCAACAAUUCCAUGAAUGCUUUAGACGGUAGCAUUCCCUCUUCAUUUGGUAAUAUGAAAUUCCUCCAAAUUCUGGACUUAUCCAACAAUCACUUGACUGGUGAAAUCCCCGAGCACUUGGCCGUGGGUUGCGUCAACUUGCAGUUUCUUGCAUUAUCAAAUAACAACCUACAAGGUCAUUUGUUCUCUAGAAAUUUUAACUUGACAAACUUGCAAUGGUUACAAUUGGAGGGCAAUCGCUUCGUAGGUGAGAUCCCACAAAGUUUGUCUAAAUGCUCCUCACUAGAAGGAUUGUACCUUAACAAUAAUAGUCUUUUAGGUAAGAUUCCACGAUGGUUGGGUAAUCUGACACGGUUACAAUAUAUUAUAAUGCCCAAUAAUCAUCUUGAAGGCCCUAUUCCAGUGGAGUUUUGCCAGCUUGAUUCGCUUCAGAUUUUGGACAUUUCAGACAACAACAUAUCUGGAAGUUUACCAUCUUGUUUCCAUCCUCUCUCUAUCAAACAAGUUCAUCUUUCAAAAAAUAUGUUACAUGGACAGCUAAAAAGAGGUACAUUCUUUAAUUGCUCUUCCCUUGUGACAUUAGAUCUUAGCUAUAACCGCUUGAAUGGCAGCAUUCCGGAUUGGGUUGAUGGGCUUUCUCAGUUAAGCCACCUUAUCUUAGGUCACAAUAAUCUUGAAGGUGAAGUGUCAGUUCAAUUGUGCGAAUUGAACCAACUACAAUUGUUAGAUCUUUCUAAUAAUAAUCUUCACGGUCCUAUUCCUCCUUGCUUUGAUAACACCACACUUCAUGAAAGUUACAGCAAUAGUUCUAGUCCUGAUGAGCAAUUUGAAAUAUUUUUUUCCAUCGAAGGCCAUCAGGGAUUUUUAGAAAAGCAAAACAUGAAAUUUUUUGAGUUCACAACAAAGAACAUUGCGUACAUUUACCAAGGAAAAGUGCUUAGCCUCCUAUCAGGACUUGAUCUUUCUUUGCAACAAUGCUUAAUUGGUCAUAUUCCUCCUCAAAUUGUGAAAUUUGACAAGGAUUCAAACAUUGAAUCUCUCGCACAAUAACUUGACAGGAUCGAUCCCAUCAACAUUUUCAAACUUGAAGCAUGUCGAAAGUUUGGAUCUUUCCAACAACAAAUUGAAUGGGAAAAUCCCUCAUCAACUAGUGGAGUUAAAGACAUUGGAGGUUUUCAAUGUGGCAUACAAUAACUUAUCAGGCGAAAUUUCCAGAAUGGAAAGCACAAUUUGCAACCUUCAACGAGAGUAGCUAUGAGGGAAAUACUUUUCUUUGUGGACUGCCAUUGCCCAUUUGCAGAUCACCAGCAACUAUGCCGGAGGCUUCAAUUUGGCAAUGAACAAGAUGAUAAUUUAAUUGAUUAUGGACAGUUUCUUUAUCACAUUUACAACAUCGUACGUAAUUGUGAUAUUCGGAAUUGUUAUUGUUUUAUAUGUAAAUUCUUAUUGGCGACGUAGAUGGUUUUACUUUGUUGAAAUGUGGAUAACUUAAUGUUACUAUUUUUGUUUAAACAAUCUUAUUGCAACAAGAUAUUGUCAUUGAAAUUAAUUAGCAGUUUAAUUACGAUUCUUUAAGUUCUAAUCAAGUUUGCUUAGGAAAUAAUUUUUUUUUUAUUUUUUUAUUAAAAUUGUAGUAGUAUUUAGCGCUAUAUAGCUUCCAACUUGGUAGAAAGCUCCAUUUUUUGUUUGGCUACAGUAAAAGCAUGUUGUUUUAUUCUUCUUAUACUUUACGCCUGCAUCAGCUUAAAUCACUUCUUAAACGCUUGCUUUAACUGCACCGCUUCGUACUGCUCUAUAUAUGUAACGGUUAUGCGGUUGUAGCUCACGGCUCAAGCUACGCGUUUGUUUGACGUGGUAGUUACGUUAUGAUGUUUCGAGUCUGUUAAACAUUCGGUGAUAAGAUUAGUUACAACAAACCUACUAGUUUUAUAAAAUUCAAGUGAGAUGGAAUAAAAUAAAAAAUAAAUAUAAAAUUGGCUUUUAUUUUUUUAGGUUAACCAUAUUUGUGUUCUCUUCGGGCACUACUACAAUUGUUCCCUAUACAUCAGUUACACUCACGUAUCAUCGACACGAAAAAUGAAAUCUAAUAUCACCUGUUUAGUUAAAGAAUCACUCAUGAAAAAAAAUUACCAUUUUGAUUGAAGAUCCAUAUUUUGAACUACCAAUUAAUGUUCAUCAAGAACAGAGUGUGGCCGUUAAGUAGAAAAACUAUUUUUGGACAAAUUAUUAAAUUCCAAUAUUGUAUCCAUAUGCAAACGAUGCCUGAAGCAGAGCCUCCAAACAAUGACCAGGGCACAAAACAAGAGUGUAGUAAUCAAGUGUAUUGUCUCAUAAUCAAUUAAAAGCAGAUAUACAGGAUACCAUAUUCAAUUCCAAAUAACAAAAGCAUAAUGAGGAUGAGAAGAACAAUGAUCACUCAAAUAUUUCUUCACUUUGGUUGUCAAUUAUCUAUUCAAAUUAAUCAGUGUCAUUAUGGACUUAUUUAUUUAGAAGAGCGGGUGAUAAAUAUAUUCAAUAUGUGAACAAGAAGUUGAUUAACUUUAUGAUCAUUUGGAAGGUCGGCCGUGUCAUCACUCGUCAAACACAUUGCAUCGAUCCACCAGCAUGAACCGACCGGAUUAUGCCCAAAAAGUUGAAAUAUCAAUAAAAAAAACAAUUAAUUAAAGUCGAAGAUGGGUCCUUUACAUUAUGUUUUGUUUUCGUAUUAGGUAGGAGGUUAUUAUAUUAUAUCAUGUAAUUAAUUUAUUAUUACUCAACACUAAGUAAUAACUUAACUAUAUAAAGACAACAAGAAGAUAAAAUGAUAUAUAAAAAAAAAAAGAAUUUCAAAGAGAUAGCAACAUACAAUAGACUGAAGCCAUUUGAUCUGCUCAUUGAUUUCAGCCUUAAACUUGUAAAUAGUUACUGUCAAAUAUUCUAUUCAUACGAAAAAAAUGUUUAGAUAUCUUACUAUAAAUAUAGCCGUUUGACUGUCUUAAUAAAGUCACACACAACCAUUCUUAUUAAAUUAGCAAGAUCAAACACUGCCCUGGAUCUUGAACAGAUCAACACAAGAUGCACAACUUAUGAUUGAACCAGAAACAAUCAAAUCUUUAGCAAGAACAAUUAAUCAGAGUCAAGAAACAAGUUUAAUGAAUAUAAAACCUAUAAUUGAAACAACAUAGCAAGAAAAAAAUACAGAUUUUACACGGUUCAGUUGUACCUAGGAUGGCACAACCUACACCACGAGAGAAGCUUUCUGGUGAGAUUUUAUUGAUGAUCAAAGAAGAAUCUUUUGACAAAGCUAAUAAUAGAGAUUUCAGAGAAUAAGCUGUAACCCUCUCUCCCUCUUCAAUCUCUCUCUAUUUUGUUCCCAUUGAUGACCCCAAUCUGCUUAGUUAUCCAGCUUUAUAGCUGCAUCAGUAACAAACCAGCAACCCAGAUUGAGCAGAUUGACGACACGUGGAUAACGGCUUUAACGAACCUGGUAAGAACUGCUCACAUGUUCGUCACGCGUGCUGCUUAAAUGAUGGCCAAAACGACUUCAAACAAAUGUCGUUUUGAGGCUUAUGAAUUACAAGUGAUAACACGAGCUUGUCUCAUGACUUUUAAAUGCAACAACGUGCCCACAACGCCGUCGUUUUACUCUGUUGAGUUUGAUUCAUUACUAAGCUUUACGACUGGCAAUGGAGAAGAUGAUAAUUUAAUUGACACGGACAGUUUUUUAUAUCACUUUUACAACAUCCUAUGCAAUUGUAAUAUUGGGAAUUAUUGAUGUUUUAUUCUGUGAAUCCUCAUUGGCAAAAACUAGUGGUUUUAUCUUUGUUGAAAUAUAGAUGACCUCUCGUUACUGUUUUAUUAUAAACAUAUAUUUCGUAAGUGAAACUAUAUGUUUAUAAUAAAUUAACAUAUAGUUUUGUUACAUUUCUGCCUCAUUAAGAUUCUCAAAUACCAGUCAGGUUUGCUUAAGAAAUAAAUUUUUUCCAUUAAAAUUGCAGUAGUAUUUCCAAGCAUAUCGCAUUUUCUAUGAGUUUUCAUAAAUUAAUUAAUCUGCGGUGCCAAUAUCAGAUUUAGUUUUUCAAACUAAAUAAUCAAGAAAGCAAACAUACAAAUAUACAGUUUAGAGGGUAAACUAGGUAGGUGGUUUAGAUUUUAGAACUAAGCCAGCUACCUCGCUAAAUUCCGAUUCGUACAGUGAACUGCAAGAAACUGAGAAAACAAUGUAUUUAUAAUUUAAUAGAAUCAUAAGAAAACAAUGCAGUCAUUGCUCAAUAUAAGAUGAUGAUUUCGGAGAGGCACAUUGUUUUCAAGUUAAUUUGAUCCGUUUAUAAGAGAUGAAGUGGAAUGAAGUUGAAAGUUUAAAUAACAAAUCCUUGUUCUUGAGUUUUACGACGUCGUUACUCCUUCAAGUGGCAGAUUAUGCAAGUGAAUGCAGAAACACAAUGCAUCAUCCGCGGGGAUGAUACAUCAAAAGCGGGAUUUGUUUAUGCCUGCAGAUUAGCAAUUUCACUCAUAUAGAAAAUUAAUUUUUUAUAUAUACUAAUCAACACUAAAUUGAUUAUGUGUUGUAUGUUUAUAUGCUAAUCAACACGAAAUUAUAUUGAAUUAUUAACAUUCAUAUUCCUAAUAAAAAUUAUUUUCCAUCAGUAUUCAAAAUUUUCACUUAUAGAAAAUGCGUUUUACGUGAAUACUAGUUAUUGUGUAAAUUUGAAUGAUAGCGAAAAUAAACCUAUUUGAAAACUGUAAGGGUGUGUUGGGAUAUUUUACAACUGUCGGAAUCUGGUAGGAUAUUGCACCAUUUGCCCAAUAUUUUUAGACGUACUCAACCGGUAUUCAAGAUAAGUAAAAUUUACAAGCGUGGCAAAAUAAAAAAAAAUUAAAUUCGUAACUUGUAAACGAAUUUUCCUGACAUGUAUAGUAAAUGAAGUUGUUGAUCCUUUCUUUGGAUUAUUUCAGCUCUGGUUGUUGGUCACCGAUGAGCCGAAGUCUUAUUUUAAUUUUAUUUAAACUCAUCAUAAGAUUCGUGGAGCACCUAACUAACUUAACUGACUGCGCAGAUCAUCUCAACAUGGCAUAUUUAACCAUCAUUCAAGUGAUGGGUUUAAUAAGACUGCUUUUGUUCUAUCAACUAUCAAGUUCCUCUGCCUCUAAGCAGAAUUACUAUUGAAGGGCCAAAAGAAAAUGAAAACGUGUGAGCUCCAACAACCACCCCACAAAUUCAAUGACGAUGCUCGGAGAGGGUUAGGUUGGGCCUCUGAGAAAAAAAAAAAUUAUUUUGUUAAAAAGUUACCCUUAUUGAAACCUGUAUAAACAUUUUAUAUUAAUUAGUUAUGUCGCCUCUUCAACGAUGAUCAAAUUCUUAUCUGAGCUCAUCAUUUAAUGAGUAAACAUGUAUUUUAAUGAUCUCAAUUAAUAUUUAGAACAAAUAUUUUAAGAAGUAAAGCUCAUUAUAUCUUCCAUUAUUAUGUAUUUCUUUAAUUUCUUAUUUACAUAAUUAUAUUGUACAUUAAAAAUGUAUUGAAUUUGAAGAAAAAAAAAUUCAACUCAAAAAAAAAAAAAAAUGCUGGUAGCUUCGUAAUAAUUACUGUAUUGACUGCACCAGAUAAAGUUUUGUAAAAUAAUAAGUUCUCAUAAGUGGUUUUUCAUUUUUAAUUUUUUUUCCGGCACACCUGAUCAAGAAUUCUAUUUUGUUAACUAAUCAAUUGCAAAGCAUAAGUGUUGAACGGUACAAAAAAAUUUAAAAAAAUACACUUAAAACGUGGGGGUAGGGUAACGGCUUCACUCAAAUCGUUAGGUAGAAAUUGUGGAAAACUUCAAAGCGAAAUGAGAAAUAUAGAAAAAAAGAAGAGGUGGAUUUUUUCUAGUGAAAUUUCUAUGGGUAACGGCUCACUCAUCCUUCUAUGAAUUUCUAGCUGUAUUGACCCCAACUGCUAAAGUUUUGUAAAAAUAAAAAUAAAAAUAAAAAAACUGGAAUUUCAACAAAAUUCAAAACGUUUGAAAUUAAUAUUUUGGCCAUGUGGAACAAAAUGUAAAUUAAGUAAAAAUAUAAAUCUCAAUUGCUUAGUAUGGUUAGGAUUUUGUGAGCAUCACUAAAAAGUGAAAACUAUGAAUGAUAGAGGUGAUGUUUGCAACAUGAAUAAAUGAUGAACUGAAUCAAUUGAUGAUCGUAAUUACAUAAUGAACAAAAUUUACAAAAUCAACAAAAGUUAAUAAAAAAUUUAUUUAAUAAUAAAAAAUCAAUAAAACUUAUUAUUUAAGGGCGCUCUAACCAUGGAAUACCAUAAUCAUAAUCUUCUUUUAAGAAAAUUAUAACUUAUUAUUUUACAGGAUUGAUCCAUUUGGAAUGAAGUGGUCUCAAGUUGAAAGUAAUUAAUUUAUUGAAUAACUUUCGACUUAUUAAUAGUUAUAUCAAGGGUGUUUUACCUCAUCAUGUCUUCAAGUGGAAGAUGAAGACUAUGCAAGUGAAUUCAGGAAUAUUGCAUGCCUGUUGUCUAAAGCAUUACCUCACAAGGUUUCAUGAGAAACGAAAGAUGUGUUUGCUUUGAACAAUUAAAGUUACUGCUACGAACCUCCCCAAAGGUCAAGAAGACAGAACAGGAAGCUAAUGCCAUCAAUGUCUUGUUCAUUAUAGCUGCUGGGUAGUUAGGUGUAGUUUCCUCAUUUGAAGCUGUCUAUACAUAGGCAUUUCCCUGCUUAUGUACAAAUAAAUGAACAACCUUGAAGCUUUAUUAUUCGCAACAAAAAGGGAUUACUAAUUGGAGAAGACUAUACAGAGUUUUCUCUCACACUUUGCUCUCUGUCAAUUUCAUCCAGAAGUCCCUCUGAAAGCUUCUCCCAAAACAGUUAGUCAUCUUUUAUGCUCUGUUUUCUGAAAACAGAGUCCUAACUAAAUUAAUUGACUGUACAGUGCAUUUCAACAUAGCAUAUUUAACCGUUUUAACAGUUAUUUGGACCGUCUUCAGAGGUAACAUCAACAAACUCAUUCAUAUGCUUAAUAAUGAACGAAUAGUCUUGGAUUGAUGUUUUGCAGCAAGAGCAACACGACACAAUCUGGAUUCAACCUCCUCCUUUCUAACAGGGGAUUUCGAUUUGAGUUACUUUGUGCUCAAGCAAAUUCACAUCAUAGUUUUGAUUCUUUAGAUAUGAAUUCAUCUCAUUACAUAUAUCAGAUUAAGUGUAACAAAAUUUGUAAUUUACUGCGAAAAGAAUAUGCACUAAAAAAUGAUUUCAAGACUAUUUGACUACAAAAAGCAGCUGUCAGAGUGCACUAAAAAUUUCUGUAGGAUAUUUUGUAGCUGUUUAAUAUGUUAUGAUGGGCAUAUAAUUCUCAAAUUUUGAUGCCUCUCAGCGAAAAAUAUAUCAAAGUUACGGAUGAUAUCACGUAAAACAUGCAUGGCUCAGGCUCAGGCUCAGGUAAGAAAGCCACAGAAAAUGGAAAAUCUCACUGUCACGACUCACGUCACGCAUCAUUCAAGUGAUGGAUUUAACAAGACUGCUUAUGUUCUAUCAAAUUCCUCUGCCUCUCAGAAGAUAACUUUUCUGGGCCAAAUUUCUCAUCUAAAGCAUAUUAUGCCCCAAAGUCACAGAUAACAAAAUGGGGCACUACCGAUUAUGAAAGAGAACUAGUAGUUGUCAGAAGCCUAAGCCAAAUUCCGGUAGUAAGAAGAGGCCUUUCUUGAGUUUAGAUUAUGUGUUCGAGUUUUAAUAAAUGCCUAAGUUAAUAAUAAUAACAACAGUAAUAAUAAACUAAAAAGCAUAAUUACUAUUGAAUGGUAAAAAAAAAAAUGAAAAUGUGUGAACUCCAAUAACCACCCCAGUGGCGAAUUUUGGAGAGGGCUAGGCCGGGCUUCUUAGAAAUUAUUUUUAUUUAAUUACAAAAUCACCUUUACUGAAACCUAUAUAAAAUUUUUUAUAUUAAUUAAUUAUGUUGCCUCUUCAAUUAUCAUUAAAUUCUUGUCCGUUCAUAAUUUGAUGGAUAAAUGUGUAUUUCAAUAAUUUCAAAUAAUGUCUAGAACAAAUAUUUUGAAUUAUAAAACUCAUUAUGUCCUGCAUUACUAGAUGUAUCUAUAAUUUAUUAUUUACAAAUUAUAUUGUAUGAUAAAAAUGUAUUGAAUUUUUGUUUAAAAAAAAGUUCGGCUCACUCAGAAAAAAAUGUUAUUAGCUUCGCCACUGCACAAAUCUAGAAUAAUAAUUAUUCCUUAUUAUAUUGACUGCACCAAGCAAUAAACUAAUAAGUUCUCAUCAGUGGUUUUUAAUCUUUUUAAUUCUUUUUACCGCACACCUGAUCAAGAAUUUUAUUUUGUUAACUAAUCAAUUGCAAAGCAUAUAUAAGUGUUGAACGGUACACAAGAUUGGAAAAAAAAAAUCUUAAAAAACGUGCGGAUUCGGGUGGCCACACCAGAAAUCUAUUUACAAUAAUUAGCUUUGAUGCUGGGAAUCUUUUAAUUUCUGGCCGUAUUGAAGUUUUUAAAAUAAUAAGUUCCCCUUCUCGUUUUUUUUUUUUUUUAAAUAUAUAUGCUUAUAACAAUUUUAGAAUAAUGAUUCAUUUGUAGAAGAACUUAUGAUUUCCCAUUAAUAUUAAUAUUGAAGUGGGGUGGGUCAAAUCUCAAUUGCUUGAAGAAUUUAUGUAUUAUUAAAUAUUACCAUCCAAGGUAGAAUUGUGGAAAAUUAAAGCAAAAUGACAAGUAUGGAAAGGAAGGCUGAAAGUAAGGCAUGACGAAAGGCUUUGAGAAGGCUGAAGACUACCAAAGAAGUCAACUGAAAACUAGCUGGGGCCUGAGUGUAUAAAUUGUUAGAUGCGUUUGUUAUAAAUAACAUAGAGCCCUUUUGUUAUUUAUAGUUAUAGAGAAAGAGAGAAUGUGUGUUUUUUAAUAGUUAGAGAUAUAGCUAGAAUGGGUUGCUCAAAAUCCAAAAUAGUGACAAUGUUAGUUCUCGUAUUGAUAAUAUUGGGGGGGGGGGGGGGGGGGGGGGGGGGGUGUUGGGAGGUCGAGUGAGGGAUGUUUGGAGCAUGAGCAAUUUGAUCUUUUGCGGCUUAAACAUUUCUUCAAUUAAUAUCGAUCUGGGAGAGUGGUAUCUGAAUGCUUCUCUAUUUACUUCCUUUCAACAACUUGGUAACAAAAUAGCCGGCUGCAUGCGUUGAGAAUGAAGGUGCUUCAUUUAAUUUAAUUUACUUAAUUUCUCCCUCCUAAUUAAUGUCUAUAAUCAUUAGGAGGAACAAGGGAUUUUAUUAACUCAAAUAUAUCUAAUGGAUCUCAUUCUUUGGUUUUACUUGCAGGGCUAGAAGCAGGUGUCAUCUAACAGCUGCUUUGAUAAUUUCCCUCCCCUUCAUCUUUGAUGGAAAGAUGAAAUAAAAACAAAUUGGUGAAAAUGGUAUUGGUACCUGAGGCUAUGUAAUCUAAUUCAAAAACUGCACCAUCAAAACGAUUACAUAAGUCUCAGAAGAAUCAAAUAUCAGUUUGCAAAAUAUCAAUUGCUGGAGGUUUGAUUCUAACUUCCGCUCUUCAUUUUUAUGGCAUAUUGUGUUGUACUUGCAUCCGAAAAUCAUAUUUUAGUUUACUUGCACUCAAUGCUUGGAUUAAAGUUUUUUUGGGGGGGGGGGGGGGAUUGAAGAAGACUAAAAUUACACCAAAAAAGAGUUGAGCGAGAGCGGGUUUUGUCUUCAUUUAAGGAGCUCUUUAUAAAUUUUGGGAUUUUUUUCCUGAGAAAAUUUAUGCCAACUCAUUCUUUGCUUCUUUUCUGAAGGGACACAUGCAACCGAAAGUAUAUUCUUGAAUUCUCCAGGAUAAGAGACAUACGUUUAGAUUCUGGAGCAUUUAAAACAAUGUCAAAUUUUAGAUUGCUGAAAUUUUAUAUAUCCGAGUAUGAUGGUGUUCCAAUUAUAAGCUCCAGGGUGCAACUUCACUGAGGUUUAGAAUGCCUUCCUAUAGAAUUGAGAAAUCUCCAUUGGCAUAAAUAUCUUUUGAAAAUACUGACAUCAGAUUUUGAAUUGGAGAACCUGAUUGGACUCAGCUUGCCCUGUAGUAAGGUUAAGCAAAUUUGGAAAAGAGAAAAGGUAUAAUGUAUUACUAUUACCAAAGUAUCUAUUUUUCUUUCUUUAAGUAUUUAUAAUGAAUAACUUUGAAAUUCAAUGAUGCUCAUUUAGUAUAGUUAUGUAUCUUUGGUUAUAGGAAGCUGUCAAGUUAAAAUCUAUAGACCUUCACCACCCCUUUAUCUCAAUAGGAUCCCAGAAAUACUAAAUCUUAAAAAAAUAAAUCUUUCAAAUUGUGAAAGCAUGCUUACGUUACCCCCGUAUAUCCACAAUUUCAACUAGCUGAGUAUGUUGUGUUUCAGGGAUGCAAAAUUCAUUUUGUUUCUCAUGAAAGGAUUGACUUGUCCGGAUGUAUUAGGGUUAGUAAACCAACUAAUCCCAUAAUUUGUUGAUGUAGGGUCCUAACAAAUUAUUGCAGUAGAUUGUAGAUCAGUACACUAUUCGAAAACGUAUUUGAUCCACACAGUGAAGUGGAUAUUGGACCAAUUUGAUGAUAAUGAAUUUCUUUCAAUCUCAAUCUUUUUUCUUUUUAGCAACAUGACUAGUCAUUGUGCAAAUUCAAACUCUGACAAUAAUUUCUCAAUCGGUUUCUAAGAUGAUGACCAUGCAUGUAUAUGUAUAUGCGUGUGUAUAUGUGUGUGUGUGUAGAGAGAGAGAGAGAGAUCACACGUGUGUGAUUUCCUUUUGCCAAUAGGAUAUGCAGAGAGCUUGAUCUUACCCAAUAGCGAAACAAACUUCCUAAUAAGUGAAGGUAUAGUAUAAAUACUUAUACUUUCAUGUUAUUUUGUUCAUCAGUAGCUUGAUUAUUUUAUAUGCGUCUUCGAUUUUAAUUUUCUUUCCCUAUAAUCGCUAUUAUCUUUGAACUGGUCAUAAUUUGCCCAUAAGAUUUCUCAUGUUGUUUUGAGGUGCAACGGAUUUUGAAUUUAGUGACAAGCAGUGGAAGCCAGAAGGCAAAUUAUGAAAAUGGAUAAAGAUCUAUAAUUAGCUGUUAUGGGAUGUCACAUAUCAUAUUGAUGGUAACGUUAUAUAUAUGUACAUAUAAUUAAUGGGGUUGGCUCACGAGCCCAUUAAUAAUGGUAUAUUAGCUUAUAUACUUCAAACAAUGUACUAUGAAGCAAUUUCACAAAUACUUGUUAGCUUAUGUUGAGCUUUAUUGAAUCAGUAGUUCACAGUUCAAUAAAAUGCAGGUUUGCUAUUUGAAGUACAUGGUUAUGGUGCGUACAUUCUUCAUAAGGCUAACUACUAAUUUAUCAUUGAAACUUGAAAAAUGUGAUAGAGAGAUGUAGAUAACAGCCGCAAAACACUGAGAUUGAAAAUCAGGGCUACUAAAUUCUAUUAAAAGUCCUUAAAAUAGACAGCGAUCACCCUGAAAUGUAUAUACUGAAACUAAGAAAUAUUAAUCGCAAAGUUAUGCAUUAAUAGAACUAUUGACUACUUAUCUUUAGCAUAAAGUAUAUUUUUAACUACAGCUUUCUGCUUUGUUCUAAGAACUAGGCAAAAGUGGUGUAUCUUCAAUCCAAUCAACAUAUAUACCACUUAUCUUCCUCUUCACUUCUGUCUAUUUUGAUUUGCACUUCAUAUCCUGCACUUGCUGCUUAGAAAUAGUCUUUAUUCUGGACAUUGAAAGUAGAAAAAGUACUUGAAACAAUCAUUGGCACAGCCCGAGAUUCCAUUGAAUCGUGGACUCCAAGCUUUCAUAGUUCUAUAAAGAAGAUGACAAAACUUCAUACAACUGGCAUUCUGCUUUUAACAUUUGCACAACCUGAGCGAGUUAGCAAGCCCCUUGUUGCGUUCCCAUUGAAUAGACCUACUUCUGUUAUCCGCAGAAGAUCCACCACUCAAAAUGUUUAUCACCAGGCUAUUCUUAAACUGAGCCUAAACUGAGUAGAAACUUCCGCACAUCUCUCAGCAUUUACAUGAAGAAAUCGACAACUAUCCUCAUCUCUCAGCAUUCUACAAAGUUGCAUUUCACUAAGCAAUCUAUCCUCUCCAUUCCUAGCAAAGUGACAUUGAUUCCCGUAUUUGUAAUCGCCUAACUUGGGUUUUGGGCAUAGCGUGGUCUUAAAAUUACCACCCAAUACUUUGUUCAGUGCCACUGGCAUCCACAAGCUCUAGCCCUGUUAGUUGAAUCAUAUUCAAUGGGACAGUGAGGCAGCAUUUCACUAACAUAUUCAAUUUGACUACUUAUAUUGACGCAAAUAUUAGAAUUUGAAAUCACUUCUUUUAUUGGAAUAUUAUAUUAAUAUGACCCCAAAUGAAAGUUCUUGAAUGGAAAUGAUUUUUAUUUACUUUUCGAACAGAUUCAAGAAAACCCAGAGAACACAAAAUUUACACAGUAAUAUGAUUAAGAGCUGAGAACGUACAUGUAGUAAAUGUCUAUCAAAAAACACCCAAGGGUUUCUUUAAAAUUAGUAACUAGUAAACAAAAAGAAAGAAUCAUUUUACAUUUUUAGCAACUUUGGGGUGAGUGAGUGAGUGAGAAAUUGAAACCCUCAAGUGAUGACAACAGUAAGAUUCAGUAUGAAGUGAAACCCCAAUUUGAAAUGUAGGCAUGAGUUGCUGAGUCAGUAGAUGAAGCUAUAAAUAGGCAUUCGGUUUCCUUCUUUUCGGUUUGGAGGGCCAUGGAAUAGUGUAUUGGAGUGGGCUCCAAGUAAUAGCCUCUAUCACUGGAACGACACAUCUAUAAAAUGUGAUACAUGGGGAAGGAUUGGGCAUUUUAUUCUUAGAUUAGCCCCUUAUUUAGGGUGUAUAUUAAGCAGAUUAUAUAUUACAUGGAGAUGGAGUUUAUGAAAUAGAUUAAAAAGAAAAGGAAAUUUUGGUGCCUAAAGUUUGCCACUUGGAAUAUUUCGGUGUCUAAAAUUCACUCACCACUUAUUUCAUGUUUGAUUAUAUGUUGAAAAGAUAUUAAAAUAGUAUAAUGCUAUUAAGGCUUAACGUAUAUUUUUUAUUAGUAGAGUGUAGAAUUUUUAAGAAAUAAAUUAUUAAAUUAUUAUAACUAACAUAUUAUUUUAAAGUUGUGUUAUGAAAAAAAUGAAAUAAAAAUGUACAGUAAAUAAGAAUAUUUUAAAACUUUUAUCUUUUUAAAAUUAGUUUUUAACAUAAGGUGAACUAUUUUUUUUUUAAAAUCACAUAUUCUAGUUAAAAUCAAAUAUGUAUUUAUACGAAGCUUGUAAUUUUUUUUUUUAGUACUGAUAUUUGAAUAUUAUCAAUAAAAAAAAGGGUAAUGUUCAUGCUGCAUUAUUUUUGUAGCACACAAAAGGACAACACCGUUUAUGGUAUAAUACUAUCGCUUCUGUUAUGAUAAUUUUUUUUGUGGCCAAAUAUCUUUUUUUUUUUUAAGUAAAAAAAAGUGGACAAAAUGCAAAUCAGUUUUUAAUCCUCAAUCUCUCCCAAAAUAUAUAUUUCGGUGUCUAAAAAUUCACUCACAAAACUAUAGCUGACAAAAAGUUACUAACAAAAAGUUAGGUCCAUGGGUUGUUAAAACUAUAGCUGACAAAAAGUUACUAACAAAAACAGAAUGUCCAUUUUAUAACUUUCUUAAAAAACUUUCCUUAACUUUUUAAACAAAAAGUUAUUUCCAAUUUUUAUUUUGUUAUAAUGUUUAUAACAAAAUUCGUAGUUAACUAAACUCUUCUUAUACCCUUUCUCAACUGCCAUACCCUAACCCACUAAACCACGCUCAAUUAAGGCCAUCAGAUUCUCCCGGGCCCACAUUAAUCCAACUGCUCACAGAGACCGACAGCCUCUCUAUCUCCAUUUCAAGCUCCCUCUUCAACUGGCUUCUGCUACCGUCCUACUCUUUCUCGGCUUCGGAGUCCGUAUUUGCUCGGCCUGUCCCACGAAGCUCCCUCUCACUCCAAUUGUCGCCCCACAAGACCAAUUGCUUAAUCAAGACACCGAACAAGAAAAGGAUGAGAAGUUGAAACAAGAAUUUGAGAAUUGGAAAUAAAAAACGUACGCAUUGACCGUGCCUUUGAGAGUCGUUUCUCUUCAGAACUCAGUGCCUCAAUCUUGGAUUAAGGAUUUUAUGCGAAGUCAGGGAAAGAGAUUGAAGUUUCAGAUGAAUUUGUGUGCUAGCAUUGAUGGGAUCUUUAACAAUUUAUCUGUGCCCUUUAACAAAGUUAAGGCUAAGUCAGCUUCUUAUAUGGCUGCUGAUUUGGUUAGUGUUGGUGAUUCAUGGCUUAGUUUUGCCAUUAAAAAGAGAUUGAUUGAGCCAAUGGCUGGAGCUGAAGACCAAGAUUGGUUCAAAUGCUUAAGUCACAAAUGGAAGGUAACAUCUUUGUCUUUGAUCCUCGAGGUAAAAUAUGGGCGGCACCGUACAGGUGGGGCACAACGGUGAUAGCCUACAAGAAAAGUAAAUUUCGAAAGCAUAAUUUGGCUCCGAUUGAGGUAAUAAUUUUCUUUAAACUCAUUUAGUUUUAUAUCAAACAAAAUCAAGACUGCCUUUCUCUUCAAUAUUUUUUAUGAUAAUAUCUUUAGAAGCAUCUCAUUGACGGGUAACAAUGGCAUCCCUGAAAGAGUCUAUAAACUCAAUGAUAUUAUCUUCUACAAAUGGUUCAUUAAACUUUGUCGUUGUACUCAAAUGUACACUCAGAUCAAUGAGAAGCUAUGCUACGUUAGCAUGUAGUGAUGGCACUUAAUAAGUGAGUUGCUAGGAUGUGAACUAGAAAAAUUAAAUAUUGUCUCCUUGGGUAUGCUAGCUGGUAAGUCAGGGUUAAUAUCAGAGCUUAAGAUAGUAUAACCGUGAGAACCUAUUGACUGCCAAUUAAAAUAUCCAUUGAAAUGUCUAGGGAGUUAUGAAGGUGGAGGUAACUUCCAAUUUCUAAGGCCACAGAGUAGACAUCAUCCAGGAUCCUAGGAAAGUCCAGUUAACCUCCUGCUCGAUGCAAUUAAUAAAUUUGGUCAAUGCCACUGAAACCUGCUAACUGACGUCACAAUGCGACAUGAGCACUUCAAAAUGGGACAGACGGUCAGUAGCACUAAAUUUUUCUUGCCCAAGAUUGAGCAAUUGGUCUAACUACUAAUCCCUAUUGUAGGUUGAUCAUUAUUUUUUCAAUUAUGUUCAGUUUGACCCAAAAAGUUGCAGAAUCUUGAGCUGAAUAUUGUCACUGAACACUGUCAAUGUCAUUUAGCAUAGCCAACUAACUUGAUGUUAAAACAAACACACAGUGUGUCUCAUGUCUCACAAUUCAAAUUAUCAUCUGUAAUGUUGGAGAAUUUUUCCAAUGUAUGAAGUAUGCUUUGAUACGUGGGUUACCUUGGAGAAGAUAUCUCAAAAUAAAGAAUAUGGGGAGAAAACAGUUCAGUAGUUUAUUAUUCUGUAGUCAAGUUUUGUCUCGAAAAUGGUCAAAAUUUAAAUGAAUAAGGACAGGGGAUCUUCAUUCUUUUUUCCCUUUUUUAUACCAAGAUAUCUCUCAACCUUUAUAUAAUCCCCACUGGAUAUCUGCUUCUAAUAAUUAAAAUAAAAAUUUCACCGCUCUAACAAUAAAAAGUAACAUCUUUCCUCAAAUAAUUUACAGUUCCUCAUCAUCUUAGUGUGAGACUAUCAGUACAUUCCAAAAACAUAAUAAAACUGGUUUGAUCCUGUUUAUUGAUGUUUAAAUGUUGUUCAUUGUGACAGGUAGAAAUGAUGAGGCGAAGUUUAUUUGGACAUCAAUUAGUAAGAUCUUGUUUGAAGUUGUUUUCUGAAAUGAACUGCCAAAUGGUAGUUUUUUGGGGGCAUUUGAUGGCUCUUUUUUUUUCCUCAUUUUCAACAUGUGCCUGCUUGGAACAUGAAGGAUUAGGCUGCAGAGUUGUUAUAUAUUUUGAGAUGCUCUGGUCAUUGCACAAUUUGUUCACACUGGAAAUUAGAAUGAGAAAUUUGUUGAUGCUGUUUUGAGAGAUCUGCAUUCUAUGCACAAUAACAUGAUUAAUGAAAAUGCAUUGUAGGACUGGAAAGAUCUGUGGCAGCCUGAGCUCGCAGGAAGAAUUUCAAUGGUUAAUUCUCCCCGAGAGGUUAUUGGUUCAGUUUUGAAGUAUAGGGGAACAUCAUACAAUUCAAACUAUAUUGAUUCGCAAGUUGCUGGUGGGAAGAUUGCUGUUCAGCAGAAUCUGGCAUUACUGGCAAACCAGGUACUCUUACAGAAAUCAUAUCUGGUCAUUGCAUGUUAUUGCCUGACAACUGAUUUUGUUUGUAAAAGUCUGCUUCUUCAUACAUAUGAAUGCAUAUGUUAGUGUUUUCUUCUCCUUUUCAUACAUAUAAAUGCAUAUGUUAGUGUUGUCUUUUCCUUUUCACACAUAUUAAUACAUAUGUUGGUGUUCUCUCCUGAGAUGGAUGCAAUAAAGGCUUUUGCUCCUAAAUUUAGCUGAAGAAAUGGCAAGGGAUGUGAGAUUCUGUCUCAUUAAAUUAACAAAAACCCAAAACAAUGAAAAUCCAUAAUAAUGUGGUGUGGGUAAAUUGGCUCCAUUUGGUUCGUUUCCUUAAUGUGAAUGCGCGAGCAAUAGAGACUAACAAAAUGAAGUGACAACAAGAAGUCAGUGUCCUUUGAUGGAUGCAUUUUUAGGCAGAAAUAUGUUUGUAAUUGACCAAAUUUGUCUGGCAUGCCAAUUUCAAAAAAAUUAAAUUAUGUGGUUAUUAGCUGUAAUGAAGGGGGAUAGUAGGUGCAAUCAGGUGUAUCCAGGAAAGUUCAACAAAGUUUUGGUAUGGCGUAGUGAAAUUGGUUUGUGCAACUCAGGAGUCUUUCAGGUGAACGAUGAUAGGUUUUGAUUUAUGAAUAUUAUAAAUCUACUGUGCAUAGUAUUCUAGUAGAAUCAUCUAUAAGUUCUAGUUAUUGUAUACUUUGCCCGGUUUGAGUUAAGGGCACAUGUAAUAUGAAAGAUAGUUGUCGCAUCUUUUAGGUUACCUAACAUUUGAUCAAUCCUAUUAUGGGGGCUUCAAGAUGUCUAACAAUAUGUAGAAUGCCCAUGCUCCUCCCCAUUGUUUAUCUUCUACAAUAAUUUGUUUUAGAUGCUAAUAUCUUUGUCGAUACCGGUAACAAUAUUACAAUAUCUGCGUUUAUUGGGUUUUACAUAGGUUCGACUGUUUGACAGUACACACUAUCUGAAGGCAUUUGCAAUUGGAGAUGUAUGGGUUGCUGUUGGGUGGAUUAGUGAUGUUCUUCCUGCUGUCAAACAUAUGUCUAAUGUUGCUGUUGUUGUUCCCAAGUCUGGUGCUAGCUUAUGGGCUGAUCUUUGGGUAUACCCAUGCCUGCCAUUCUACUUCAAUAUUCACAUUGUUAUCUCCUUCAUAUUAGUGAUCAGUAAACACGAUAAUGUGACUAAUAAGUUCGUAUUCUCUUUAUAGGCAAUCCCUGCUGCCUCAAGACUUGAAACAAAACAAAUUGGAGGGCGAGUCAGAGGUGCAUUUCCAUUAAUCCAUCAAUGGAUAGAAUUCUGCUUGCAAACAGCGAGAGCAUUGCCUUUCAAGCAAGAGGUUAUCCCGAGCGCAUCUCCCUCUGCCCUUGAGAGUACUCUGGUUAAGUUGCCUGAAGAACUUUUCAAGGGUAAACCAAGUCUGGAUACUAACUUAAUUGCUGGAGUACCCCCGACUGAAAUUCUGGCCAGAUGUGAGUUUUUGGAGCCUUUAUUUGAAGCUACAUUGUCGGAUUAUGAGUGGCUGGUUACUAAUCUGCAAAAAUCCACUCCUGUACUGAUCAACAAGAUGCAACAUUACAUGUCAUCAUUGAUCUUUAGCUAAAGGUACAUUGAAAAGUUAAUGGCACUGCAUACCAGUCAUUAUAAUUGGGUCAGGGCAAUUAGGUCAGAGCAUAACUUCAUUAGGAAAAGAUGCUUCAGCUACGUUAAAUAUUACAGGAUGUACUGAGAUGGCUGAAGCUGUUGAGGUUUUACGAGAAUCGAAAGAUAGUGUUUGUUUGAACAAAGUUGUUGCCAAUCUUGCAGAGUUCGAGAAGAAAGAUCACGAAGUGAAUGCCACCGAUUUCUUCAUCAUUGUAGCCUCCAUAGUUGAAGUUUCCUCAUUUGAAGCUGUUUAUGCAUAUGUUUUUUCCCUGCUCAAGUACAGGAAAUUGAAGAAUUAACCAGAUGUGAUAUGCUGAAAGAGGGAAGUUUUCUUCCUUGAAUGUGGUCUUUGUGAUUUGUCUUGAAGGAAUAGGGUGAUCACUGGCAAGAACCCUAUCAAGGUAGAUUUUAUGAUGUUAACAUAUCAUUAAGCAUUUUGUUACAUCAGCAAUGAUGCUUUCAUAGCAGCAUGAAAGUGUUUAAAUUUAACUGAAUGAUCUUGAUUGAUCAAUUAUGAGUUUUAAUCGAGUAAAAACUAAAUACAAUCAUCGUUAACAAAUAUUGAAAUUGGGUAAAUAAGAUCUUGAUAUUGAAGAAUUUGAAAUCACAACCCACACAGGAAAUCACCCUUCGCGUGGGGAUGGAGAUGUUUACUGCAGCGAUAUUGAAUAUGUCCACCGCUCUUUGGGUUAUGGUGCGACUUGCCCUGAAACAAUGGAAAAGAAUAAUUAAUAAUUUAACGCCAAGACAUAAAAUUAAAACGUGUGGACUCCGGUAGCUGCCCUACAAGUCUACAACUCUACAAACAUUAACUCUACAAACAUUAAAACGUGUGGACUCCGGUAGCUGCCCUACAAGUCUACAACUCUACGAGAAUAAUUUCUAGCCCUGUUGACUCCACUAACUAAAGAAAUUUCAAAACGUACAUAGAAUUCCACAACAAGCAAAACGUAUGGAAUUUAAUUUUUUGCCGUGUGGAACAAAAUACAAUUUAACAAAAAAGGAUAAGAAAAAUGGUAAGAUUUCUAAAAUGCAUGGAAGGUGAUUCAUAUUUUACUGAAACGACUUGUCCUGAACAUUAAGACGAUUGAUUUUUUUUUUUUUUUUAAUAACAUCAACUUCCAUAUCUUUCUAACCCCUAGAAUAUGCUCACGUUCAAGUCUAUCUUGGUAAUUUGAAAAAGAAAAUCAAAUCAAAUCAACACCAAAACAAUGAAAAGUAAAACUUUUGAAUUUCAACUUUAAACUUUUGUUAACCCCUAGAAUAUUCAGCGUUUUCAAAUUCUUCCGAUUGCAUAUCUUCUUCCUCCAUCAAUGCAAUAUUUGAACGAUUAUGAAAGAGUUUAAGAACAUAAAAAAUCUCCAAGGUUUAUACGGUAUAACAAAUUUAAAUUCUCAAUUACAAUAGAUAAUAAUUAAACUAAUAAUUUUUUAUGUACUUAUUUUAGUAAUUUCACCUAAGAAUAAUAUUGUAAUUAGAAAAAAAAAUCUAAUAAGUAGGGUGGUCUUAUACAAAAUCAACUGUACUGUGAUGAGUUUCCUUUUGUUAAUAAUUUUAGUCUAAUUUCAAUUGUACUGUGAUCGCUUCUCAAGGUAAGUGAAAGUUACAGAUGUGGCAAAAUAAAUAAUUAAGUUAACAAAAUGCUAACUAAUUUUCCUCAAUACCUAGGGUUGUACAAUUUCACCAACCUGGAAGAAUUGACAUUAAUGGACUGGUCUCCUCCCCAUAUAAUUAUAAUCCUUCUAGAAAGCUAUUUUUUAUUAAAUAUUUGCUUUUAAGUUAAUUUCAAUUAAAAAAUGUUUUAAGUUAUAUAUACUCUAAUGAGAUUCUGAAUUCCUUUAUUCCAAUAAUAAUGAAAACGUAUUAAAUUAGAAAUGAAAAAAUUGGUGUUGAUGAUUCAACCUAUUUGGAUAGAUUACGUGAAUAAAAUUAAAAUUUUGAUUUAAUUUUUGUUUAUUGUUAAUUCUCAGGCUAUCUUAAUUUCAAGAAUUUAGAAUGUUAAUUUGGUCAUGGAUUUCAACCCGUGAGUGUCAUAUUCUAGACUUAAUGGUACCAUUCUUUGAUUGAGGGCAAUGACUCUCACUCCUCUUGUAAAAAAAUAUUUUCAACUAUUUUGAUGACUUAAAAAUUGAUAGAUUUAUUGUUGUCAUGACCAAAUUAUUCAUUUUAAUGAAAUAUAAUUAAUGCAUCAAAGUUACCAGGUUUAUGUUCUAUCUUAAUGCGCUUUUUUUUUUUUUUUCAGUUAUAGCUUCUGCUUACGUCUGUUUCAUUUUUUUUUAAUAAAAAAACAAGGGAAGGUUUUUCCGAGUCAUCCAUUAUUUGAUUACCGUCAAUCAAGAAAACAACCAAAUUAAUUUCUCUCCAAAAUUUCCAAAAGCUAGAAAAUUUUGUUAUUUGAAAAUAACAUCAUUAAUUAUAGAGUGGAUCAAACCGCGUUAUUGUCUUUCAUAAAAUUGAUGUCUUUUUAAGAGUCAAUACUUUUUAUUUACGCAAACCAGUCGACAUCACACAUAUACUCUUUAAUUUGAUAAAUGGUUACACAAAUUUUGUUUACAAAAAUAUAUUAUUCAUGUUCUGUAUUAUUUUUUAACAUCAUAUUUUUAUUUAUUAUAAUUGUUUAAAGUUAAUUGUUAGGUUGAUAUAUAAUAAAAACGUAUAAUCGUUCUCUUACUAAACACACAUACUCAUAGUUUCUGUUCAUUUGUCAUCUCAAUCUAUCUCAUUUAUCCUUUGUUGAUAGCUCAAAACGCGUCACUGUGGAAAAUUAUAGCAAAACGACAAAUAUGGAAAAAAAUGGGAAGAAAAUUAAUGCAUGAAAGAGUUGCAGAAGACAACCAAAUAAGUCAACUAUACGCUAGUUGGGUGUAUAAAUUGUUAGAUGUGUUAUAAACAAAUAGCAUAGAGCCUUGGUUGGUUACAGAGAUAGAAAAAGUGUGUGUGUUUUUUAGAACUUAAAGAUAUAGUUAGAAUGGGUGGUUCAAAAUCAAAAAUGGUGAUAAUGUUUGUUCUGUUAUUAAUAAUAUUAGAAGGUGGGUGGAGUGAAGGAUGUUUGGAUCACGAGAGAUUUGCUCUUUUGCGACUCAAACAUUUCUUCGAUGAUACUGGUAGUUAUCUUUACAACUGGGGAGAUGGUGAGGGAGCUACUGAUUGUUGUCAGUGGGAAAGGGUUGAGUGCAGCAACACCACAGGCCGAGUGAUAGCGCUAGACCUUUUUGGCACGUAUCGGCGAGAGUACAGCUGGUAUUUGAAUGCUUCUUUGUUUACUCCCUUCCAACAACUUGAGUCACUUGAUUUACAUGGCAAAAAUAUAGCUGGUUUUGUUGAGAAUGAAGGUGCUUCGUCUAAUUCAAUUAAAUUACAUUUCGCUCUCCUAAUUUAAGUCGAAUAUCAAGACUGAGCAGCUAUAUGCAUAUUCAUUCAAUUGACAAUUUUUACAUAUUUUUUAAAAUGUUUAAUUUUGAAAUUACACCAAACAUCAUAUGUGAUCUUUGUUUUGAUUUUACUUGCAGGUCUAGAAAGAUUGAGCAACUUGAAGAGGCUUGAUUUAAGUCAUAACUUGUUCAACAAUAGCAUCUUAUCAUCUGUGGCUCAUCUUUCAUCACUAACAUCAUUAGAUUUAUCUGAAAAUAGAUUGGAAGGAAGUAUUAAUGUUAAAGGUACGUAAUUAAAACGUCAUCGCUUUUCCCAACUCUUUCAUUAACAUGUUAAAAUAAGAUUCAAGGCUUUGAAUUCAAUUUUUUUUAUGAGUAAAUAUUAGAAAAAUAGUUUUAAGCAAUUCAUAAAUACAAUUUUCAAUGUUUCUCAUAAUUACUCUAACUGUGAAGCAAAUACCCCAUGACUAAUUUAUCAUUUUGUCCAGUUAAAAAUGAUAAAAUUUAUCAUUUGUUUAUAUUGAUUUAUUAACUCUAUUUUAAGUCUUAAGUCUUGGCGUCUUGGCAUGUUUGCAGAAUUUGAUUCCUUGAGCAACUUAGAGGAGUUGGACAUGAGCUACAAUGAAAUAGACAAUUUCGAGGUUCCUCAAGGUAAACAAUUAAAAUAUUAUUUAAUUACAUUAAUUUAAUUCGUUUGAUUAGGGAAGACCCAAAAUGUACAAAAACAUAAUUAAAAAAAAAUAAAGAAACAGAGAAUUCAUAUUAUUUCAAAAAACAAAAGGUAAUACUAUUAUUUCAAAAAAAGAAUGUAAUAAAGAUUUGAUUCCGGUUCUUUAAUCUUUAUAGCAAUUGAACAACAAUGUUGCUCUUUUCCUAAAGCAUAAAAUAUGAAAUGAGUCAUAAUUGAAUUAGUCAUUUAUUUUGUUUAGAUCUAAAUUUAGACAAUAAAUUUUGAUUUUUUUUUCAAUCCUAUCCUUAUUAUUAUUGUUAAACAGGUUACAGAGGUUUGAGGAAGUUGAAAAGCCUCUAUCUAUCGAAUGUUGGAGUUAGAGAUGGAAGCAAGUUGUUACAGUCUAUGGGAUCAUUCCCAUCCCUCAACACUCUUUACCUGAAGGAUAAUAAUUUUACCGAUAUAGCGACAACUACUACUCAAGGUAAGUAAAAGGUACAUAUGUGGCCAAAUUUAUAAAUAAAUUGUUAAUUAAUUAAUUUUUCCGUAUUAUUAAUAAAGCUAAAUUCGUCGCUCAUUCCUUCUAAUUCUAAACAGAGUUGGCAAUUUCACCAACUUGGAGUAUUUGACAUUGGACUUGUCCUCACUCCAUUUAAGCCUUCUGCAAUUGCUUGAAGAAUGAAUUUAUUUAUUUAUUUAUUAUUAUUAUUAUUGUUGUUGUUGUUGUUGUUGUUGUUGAAGUGAGGUGGGCAAGCGUUCACUCAAUUAAUAUGUGAGGAAUUAAUAAUUACAAUCCAAGGUAGAAUUGUGGAAAAUUAAAGCAAAAUGAGAAAUAUGGAAAGAAAGGAAGAAAGUUAAGGGCAUGAAAGACUAGGAGAAGACUAAAGACCACCAAAUAAGUCAACUGAAAACUAGCUGGGGCCUGGGUGUACAAAUUGUUAGAUGUGUUUGUUAUAAAUAACAUAGAGCCAUCUUGUUGGUUGCAGAGGCAGAGAGACACAGAGUGUGCAUUUUAUUAAUUAAAAAUAUAUAUAAAAUGGGUGGUUCAAAAUCCAAAAUGGUGAUAAUGUUAGUUUUGUUAGUAUUAAUAAUAUUAGAAGGGAGGUGGCGUGAGGGAUGUUUGGUGCAUGAGAGAUUUGGUCUUUCGAGACUUAAAACAUUUCUUCAAUUCUCCUUAUAAUUUUUGUCACGACUGACCGUUGUCAAUAGAAUGGGGCUGGGUGCAGGGUUGAUUUACGUUAGAACAAUAUAGCCGGUAGUGUUGAGAAUGAAGGUGUUUCAUUUAAUUUAAUUAAUUUACUUUCUCCCUCCUAAUUUAAGUGGAAUAUCAAGACAGAACAAUUAUAUGCAUCUUCGUUCAGUUGACAAUUUUGACAUAUUUUUUUAAGUGAUUAAUUUUGAAAUUACACCAAACAUUAUUUGUGAUCUCUGUUUUGACUUUACUUGCAGCGCUAGAGACGUUAUCAAGAUUGAGCAACUUGACGAUACUUGAUUUAAGUUAUAACUUGUUCAAUAAUAGCAUCUUGUCAUUUGUUGCCCGUCUUUCAUCAUUAACAUCAUUAGAUUUAUCUUACAAUGGAUUGGAAGGAAGUAUUAAUGUUAAAGGUACGUAAUUAAAACGUCAUCGCUUCUCCCAACUCUUCCAUUAACAUGCUAAAAUAAGAUUCAAGGCUUUGAAUUCAAUUUUUUUUUAUGAGUAAUAUUAGAAAAAUAGUUUUAAGCAAUUCAUAAAUACAAUUUUCAAUGUUUCUCAUAAUUUCAUCUUGUACUUUUGUAUGUCUUGACUUUAAGAUUAAAAAAAAAUUACUCUAACUGUGAAGCAAAUACCCCAUGACUAAUUUACAAUUUUGUCCAGUUAAAAAUGAUAAAAUUUAGGGAAAUUAUCAUUUGUAUACCCUUAGUUUACUCUAUUAUCAAAAAUACUACAACACUUUGAGGGUGUAUCAAUCGUCCACCCUAAGUUGACAAAAUGUAUUAGCCAACCACCAAACCGUUAGUUGCCGUUUAAAUAUGAUAACAUCAUAAGGGUAAUCUGGUCUUUUCAUAUGAUACAAGUGAUAAUUUAAGGGUAUACAAGUGAUAAAAAGAGAGUUUAAGGGAUACAAGUGAUAAUUUUCAAGGGUAAAAUCGUCAAUUUACUGUAAUUCCAUUAACUUUCAAACGGCAAUUAACAGUUUGGUGGUCGGUUGAUACAUUUCAUCAACUUAGGGUGGACGAUUGAUACACCCUUAAAGUGUUGUAGUAUUUUUGAUAAUAAAGCAAAUAUAGGGUAUACGAAUGAUAAUUUCCCUAAAAUUUAUCAUUUGUUUAUAUUGAUUUAUUAACUCUAUUUUAAGUCUUAAGUCUUAAGUCUUGGCAUGUUUGCAGAAUUUGAUUCCUUGAGCAACUUAGAGGAGUUGGACAUGAGCGGCAAUGAAAUAGACAAUUUCAAGGUUCCUCAAGGUAAACAAUUAAAAUAUUAUUUAAUUACAUUAAUUUAAUUCGUUUGAUUAGGGAAGACCCAAAAUGUACAAAAACAUAAUUAAAAAAAAAUAAAGAAACAGAGAAUUCAUAUUAUUUCAAAAAACAAAAGGUAAUACUAUUAUUUCAAAAAAAGAAUGUAAUAAAGAUUUGAUUCCGGUUCUUUAAUCUUUAUAGCAAUUGAAAAACAAUGUUGCUCUUUUCCUAAAGCAUAAAAUAUGAAAUGAGUCAUAAUUGAAUUAGUCAUUUAUUUUGUUUAGAUCUAAAUUUAGACAAUAAAUUUUGAUUUUUUUUUCAAUUCUAUCCUUAUUAUUAUUGUUAAACAGGUUACAGAGGUUUGAGGAAGUUGAAAAGCCUCUAUCUAUCGAAUGUUGGAGUUAGAGAUGGAAGCAAGUUGUUACAGUCUAUGGGAUCAUUCCCAUCCCUCAACACUCUUUACCUGAAGGAUAAUAAUUUUACCGAUAUAGCGACAACUACUACUCAAGGUAAGUAAAAGGUACAGAUGUGGCCAAAUUUAUAAAUAAACUGUUAAUUAAUUAAUUUUCUGUAUUAUUAAUAAAGCUAAAUUUUUGCUCAUUCCCUCUAAUUCUAAACAGAGUUGCACAAUUUCACCAACUUGGAAUAUUUGACAUUGCACGGUUCCUCUCUCCAUAUAAGCCUUCUGCAAAGCAUUGCAUCAAUAUUCCCUUCGUUAAAAAAUCUGUCGAUAUCUUAUUGUGAAGUCAAUGGUGUCGUACAUGGUCAAGGUAAAAGAAAAGUGUUGGUUGUGCACUCACUGAGUGUUGUCCUACGUAUUCAAUAUUUUUAUUUAUUUAUUUUAUUGUUUAAUGUUUCUGCUAGGUUUUCCUCAUUUCAAGAGUUUGGAACAUUUGGGCAUGAUGUCCACGCGCAUUGCACUCAACACCAACUUUCUUCAAGUCAUCAGUGAAUCGAUGCCUUCUCUUAAGUACUUAUCACUGUCAUAUUCUACUCUUGGCACUAACAGCAGCAGGAUUCUUGAUCGAGGUUAAUCAGAUGCUCCCACCCUCCAUUCUUAAUCUAUAAUAUUAAUUUUCAGUUAAAUAUUUAAUUACACAAACCAAUCACUUAUUAUAAAAGAACAAUACGCAUUCAUUAAUUUUUAUAUUAUAUUAAUUGAUGAAUUUAAUAAAUUCCAGGCCUCUGUUCGCCGGUGCAUCUGCAAGAGUUAUACAUUGGUUCUAACGAUUUAAGAGGUAGCUUGCCUUGGUGCAUGACAAAUUUGACAUCCCUCCGAAUAUUAGAUGUUUCUUCCAAUCAACUUACUGGAAGCAUCUCCUCGUCUCCCCUCAUUCAUUUGACAUCCAUUGAAAAGCUGUAUCUUUCAAACAAUCACUUCCAGAUCCCAAUUUCACUUGAACCACUUUUCAAUCAUUCAAGACUCAAGACUUUUUAUGCUGACAACAACGAACUAAAUGCAGAAAUAACUCAGUCACAUUCUUUGACCGCCCCAAACUUCCAAUUAUCACGUCUCUCAUUGUCUUCCGGUUAUGAAGAUGGCGUCACAUUCCCCAAAUUCCUUUACCAUCAACAUGAUCUGGAGACUGUUGAGCUCUCACAUAUAAAGAUGAAUGGAGAAUUUCCAACUUGGUUGUUGGAAAACAACACAAAAUUGAGACAACUUUCUCUCGUCAAUGAUUCUCUUGGAGGACCUUUCCGGUUGCCAAUUCAUUCACACAAGCGGUUAGGAAUGUUGGAUAUAUCCAACAACAACUUCCGAGGCCACAUUCCAAUAGAAAUUGGAGAUGUUUUACCAAGUCUAUACCUUUUCAACAAUUCCAUGAAUGCUUUAGACGGUAGCAUUCCCUCUUCAUUUGGUAAUAUGAAAUUCCUCCAAAUUCUGGACUUAUCCAACAAUCACUUGACUGGUGAAAUCCCCGAGCACUUGGCCGUUGGUUGCGUCAACUUGCAGUCUCUUGCAUUAUCAAAUAACAACCUACAAGGUCACAUGUUCUCUAGAAAUUUUAACUUGAUAAACUUGAAAUGGUUACAAUUGGAGGGCAAUCGCUUCAUAGGUGAGAUCCCACAAAGUUUGUCUAAAUGCUCCUCACUAGAAGGAUUGUAUCUUAACAAUAAUAGUCUUUCGGGUAAGAUUCCACGAUGGUUGGGUAAUCUCACAUGGUUACAAUAUAUUAUAAUGCCCAAUAAUCAUCUUGAAGGCCCUAUUCCAGUGGAGUUUUGUCAGCUUGAUUUGCUUCAGAUUUUGGACAUUUCAGACAACAACAUAUCUGGAAGUUUACCAUCUUGUUUCCAUCCUCUCUCUAUCAAACAAGUUCAUCUUUCAAAAAAUAUGUUACAUGGACAGCUAAAAAGAGGUACAUUCUUUAAUUGCUCUUCCCUUGUGAUAUUAGAUCUUAGCUAUAAUCGCUUGAAUGGCAGCAUUCCGGAUUGGGUUGAUGGGCUUUCUCAGUUAAGCCACCUUAUCUUAGGUCAUAAUAAUCUUGAAGGUGAAGUGCUAGUUCAAUUGUGCGAAUUGAACCAACUACAAUUGUUAGAUCUUUCUAAUAAUAAUCUUCACGGUCCUAUUCCUCCUUGCUUUGAUAACACCACACUUUAUGAAAGUUACAGCAAUAGUUCUAGUCUUGAUGAGCAAUUUGAAAUAUUUUUUUCCAUCGAAAGCCCUCAGGGAAAUGUAGAAAAGCAAAUCCAUGAAAUUUUUGAGUUCACAACAAAGAACAUUGUGUACAUUUACCAAGGAAAAGUGCUUAGCCUCCUAUCAGGACUUGAUCUUUCUUGCAACAAGCUAAUUGGUCCUAUUCCUCCUCAAAUUGGAAAUUUGACAAGGAUUCAAACAUUGAAUCUAUCACACAACGACUUGAUAGGAUUGAUCCCAUCAACAUUUUCAAACUUGAAGCAUGUCGAAAGUUUGGAUCUUUCCAACAACAAAUUGAAUGGGAAAAUCCCUCAUCAACUAGUGGAGUUAAAGACAUUGGAGGUUUUCAGUGUGGCAUACAAUAACUUAUCAGGCGAAAUUCCAGAAUGGACUGCACAAUUUGCAACCUUCAAUGAGAGUAGCUAUGAGGGAAAUACUUUUCUUUGUGGAUUGCCAUUGCCCAUUUGCAGAUCACCAGCAACUAUGUCGGAGGCUUCAAUUGGCAAUGAACGAGAUGAUAAUUUAAUUGACAUGGACAAUUUCUUUAUCACAUUUACAACAUCGUACGUAAUUGUGAUAUUUGCAAUUGUUAUUAUUUUAUAUGUAAAUUCUUAUUGGCGACGUAGAUGGUUUUACUUUGUUGAAAUGUGGAUAACUUCAUCUUACUAUUUUGUUGUAGACAAUCUUAUUCCAACAAGAUUUUAUCAUUGAAAUUAAUUAGUAGUUUAAUUACGAUUCUUUAAGUACUAAUCAAGUUUGUUUAGGAAAUAUUUUUUUAUUAAAAUUGUAGUAGUAUUUAGCAUUAUAUAGCUUCCAACUUCCAAGCACUUCACAUUUGUCUCUACACUUAAAAAACUGAGUGAUCAUGUUUUGCAGAUCUGGAUUUGGAGCAGGAUGGAUCCAAACCCAUAUCUGUCCACCGUAACUUAUAGCUUCCCUAUACUGUGCAGCAUACUUAAAUAAGAGAACCAUCUCCAAUGUUAAAAGCAUUCACUCUAUAACAUUCAUUUAGAAACUAUAUUCAGAAUAAUUUUAUAAUUAAACACAAGAAAUGAAACACACAGAUACACUUGAUCGCCUAUUUUACUCUAAAAAAGAACGAUUAUUGUGCUAUCAUCAUCUUCUUCACUAGCAACAUUAACACCAAAUCGAUGGACCCAUACAUUUCAUCAAGAAAGGUCUAUAUCCAAUAAAGUUGAAGCCUAACAAAAAAUUCAAGAAGAUUCAUGCCUCGCCACAACAAGGGGCACAACAACAUCAAAGUAGAGAUUAAGCAGUAUUCUCAAAGCUAAAACUCUCAAAUCCACCCACCAGAAUUUCAUAUCUCCUCAACAAUUUUAAGAACUAAAGAUAAUUAGGAUUUAACAUUAGUUUUUUAUAUAUUAGUUUCAUAAUUUACAAAUCAAUGAAGAUGAAGAUUAUGCUAAUAAAUUCAAAUUAUACCAUACAUUCUCUAGAUGUUACCAAAAAUUUCUAAGUCAAUCCCACAUAUUUCAUAAUUUUAAGACUAGAAAAUUUCACUAGUUAGAAGUUUCAUUACCUUCAAGUGGAAGAUGAAGAACAUUAUACAAGUGAUUCAGAUUAUAUCAUACAUACUCCAAAUGCAACUAGAAAUUAACAAGUUCAUGCACACAUAUUUCAUAACAUUAUGAUUGAAAAGUUUCACAGAGAAAUUCUAAAUUCAAUCUCUUGCAUGAAGGCAAUUUGAUUGAUUUGAGUUACUUUCUUAUCAAGCUACUAAUAUAACAUUCAAGUCAGGGAGAAAAUAAAUUAAAACUGGGAAGAAAUAACAGUAAAAAUUUGUUGCUCAACAUGAUGUGUAUUUUUUUUCAAGGCAAUUUGGAAACACAAUUGUUACCACAGAUAUUCUUCUCAACUUGGAGAUAAAUACAAAUAUUAAAAUGCAUAUGAUCGCACAUACUACUUCGAGUUUAGUAAGAUUUCAUUAAAAGAAGCAAUCAAACCACUUAUCAAUUGUCGCAGUCGUUCUAUAAACUAAAAUAGCAAUAUAAUACAAGAAAAAGAACAUAUAGAUACUUGGCAAGAGUUCAUUAAGAAGUCACAUCACAUUCAGGUGAGGAGUUUGCUUCUGAUAUCUUGCUAGCUGGGGCUUUUUCUUGUCUUUCUACGUAUGCCGAGGGAAACCAACCAGCUUGGCCCUUGCAUUCACCUUCCGACCAUCCAAUAGGAGCCACCUUGAGAAGUUAUAACUAAAAUGGUGAAUUAAACAAAAGUUGACCGUUCAAAGACCUAAGGGGAAAACUAAUUCUUUUACGUAGGAGGAGUGAAUUAGUUGUGAUCACUGAAAUAACAGCAUAACUAUGGAAGCAUAACAAGAUAUAAAUUCACACGUCUAUAAGGGUAAACUGGGUGGUUGAGAACUGAGCUAGCAACCCUACUAUAUUCUGAUUUGCACUUCAAUGUAAAAGGGAAUAUAUGGUAGGAAGAAAGAAAACCAACCAUCAUUUGUUAACUCAUUGCUUUUCAAUCAAAAUUUUAAGAACAAAAUGCCAUGUGCUUUGAACAUCAAAUAAGUAUAAGCAUUAGUUCUAAAUUCCACAUAUCAUAAGUUGUUAGAAGGAUAAGUUAAUAGCAGAGUAGAAAAAUCUAUGUGUUGGUAUUUAGAGGGGAAAGUACCUGGCGAACCACAACAUAAUCAUCAAUUGAAAGACUUAGCUCUCCAUUUGCUUGAGCAUCAAAUGGAUGUAUAACCUGCAAGAUAAUGGGAUAAAUAGAACAUAAAAAAAGCAUAACAAAAGCGGCAACAGUAGCAGCAACGUUCAUUGUAACCACUAUGAUCAUGGCCAACAAAGAUAUAUUAGAAACAAAAUUCCAUUUUUACUACGACAUUAAUAUGUACUAUACGAUAUCAUGACGAUUGGGUUACUAAGAGCUAUCAAAGUCUAAUAAGUUCUGUAUAACUUUAUGUAGUUAUUUAAAUUAUGGAUCAGAUUUUAAAUUUGAAAUUUUGACUGCUCUCCACAAAACAUGGCCUAUGCACAAGAAAGUCAUAGAUAAUGAGGAUUACAAGUGUCCGACAUCUUUUGAGUGAUGGAUUUAACAUGAGAGCUUAUGGUCAGUCAAUUUCCUCUGCCUAGCAAUAUAAGCUUUCUCGGCCAGAUUUAUCAUCAAAUACAUAGAUUGCCCCCAAGUCACAUCCAUAUAAACAUAGUUUUUCUAGGUAAACCAAGUAAGGAGUAUCAUAAUUCAGACAUAAUCAUAAAAAGGCCCAUCUAACUUAAGAGAAAAUCUCAAAAAGAGGGAUGCUGAGCUAUCAGUCUUGUAUCUAUAAGCAAUAUCAAGACUUUACGUCACCUGCUACAUCGUGAGUGGCUACACAACUUUCAGUGGUUUGUCUUUCUUUGGCACGCCUAACUCAGCUUUGAUGUUGCUGAGAUAUUGAUAGUAGAGACACAUGAUACUUCUAGCUCAUGCAUUCUAUCUAACUCAUCCAACAACUAUCUCUUUUUUAAUUCAUUAGUGUUUGCUAAACCUCAUGCUUAAAAGUCCUGUUCUCCUAAACAAAGUUUCCUAAGAAUGACUUCCUUAGCACCACAGUUGGACACUUUUAGAGCAAUUUUAUUUGGGGGAAAAGAAUUUUCAAGGUGUUAACUAAUAAAUUUUAAAAAAUAAUUACAAUUUGUCCUACGAUCAUAUGACAAUUUAUCUGGGAUGAAAGGAUACAGAUAGACAUCUUCCACUUUCAAGACUAAUCACUACUUCCGUAGAUGUUGUGCAAUAAUACAAAUACUUGACCAGAUGGUAGAAAAAAAUUUUAUUGCUCCAAAAUUAAAAUAAGAAUGCAAUAUGUUAAGCAAAAGGCUGUGCAACAUCAAAUUAAUUGAUAAGUUUGUAAUUCAGUAAAUUAACAACUUUCAUGGUAAAAUACA